Molecule: long non-coding RNA, 90619 nt
Filed under: Medicago truncatula (barrel medic)
Lineage: Eukaryota; Viridiplantae; Streptophyta; Magnoliopsida; Fabales; Fabaceae
Source: RNAcentral
CAGGGCGAUAUACCAGAUAAUGCACCGAUCCAUCAGAACUCCGCAGUUAAGCGUGCUUGGGCGAGAGUAGUCUAGGAUGGGUGACCUCCUGGGAAGUCCUUGUGUUGCACCUCUUUUUGCCAAAAUUUCGUGUUCUUUUUGUUAAUUAGCGUAAUUUUACGUCGUUUUUGAAAAAUAAACUUCGAUUGUAUUUCAUUUUUCCGUUAAUUUACGCUACCUAACACUCUAUUAGUUAAUUAAUUAGCGUAGUUUGACGUCUUUUUUGAAAAUAAAUUAGAAAUGCAUAUAUACAAUUACAACGCUUUACUCUCAGGUGCGAUCAUACCAGCACUAAUGCACCGGAUCCCAUCAGAACUCCGCAGUUAAGCGUGCUUGGGCGAGAGUAGUACUAGGAUGGGUGACCUCCUGGGAAGUCCUUGUGUUGCACCUCUUUUUGCCAAAAUUUCGUGUUCUUUUUGUUAAUUAGCGUAAUUUUACGUCGUUCCGUUAAUUUACGCUACCUAACACUCUAUUAGUUAAUUAAUUAGCGUAGUUUGACGUCUUUUUUGAAAAAUAAAUUAGAAAUGCAUAUAUACAAUUACAACGCUUUACUCUCAGGUGCGAUCAUACCAGCACUAAUGCACCGGAUCCCAUCAGAACUCCGCAGUUAAGCGUGCUUGGGCGAGAGUAGUACUAGGAUGGGUGACCUCCUGGGAAGUCCUUGUGUUGCACCUCUUUUUGCCAAAAUUUCGUGUUCUUUUUGUUAAUUAGCGUAAUUUUACGUCGUUUUUGAAAAAUAAACUUCGAUUGUAUUUCAUUUUUUCCGUUAAUUUACGCUACCUAACACUCUAUUAGUUAAUUAAUUAGCGUAGUUUGACGUCUUUUUUGAAAAAUAAAUUAGAAAUGCAUAUAUACAAUUACAACGCUUUACUCUCAGGUGCGAUCAUACCAGCACUAAUGCACCGGAUCCCAUCAGAACUCCGCAGUUAAGCGUGCUUGGGCGAGAGUAGUACUAGGAUGGGUGACCUCCUGGGAAGUCCUUGUGUUGCACCUCUUUUUGCCAAAAUUUCGUGUUCUUUUUGUUAAUUAGCGUAAUUUUACGUCGUUCCGUUAAUUUACGCUACCUAACACUCUAUUAGUUAAUUAAUUAGCGUAGUUUGACGUCUUUUUUGAAAAAUAAAUUAGAAAUGCAUAUAUACAAUUACAACGCUUUACUCUCAGGUGCGAUCAUACCAGCACUAAUGCACCGGAUCCCAUCAGAACUCCGCAGUUAAGCGUGCUUGGGCGAGAGUAGUACUAGGAUGGGUGACCUCCUGGGAAGUCCUUGUGUUGCACCUCUUUUUGCCAAAAUUUCGUGUUCUUUUUGUUAAUUAGCGUAAUUUUACGUCGUUCCGUUAAUUUACGCUACCUAACACUCUAUUAGUUAAUUAAUUAGCGUAGUUUGACGUCUUUUUUGAAAAAUAAAUUAGAAAUGCAUAUAUACAAUUACAACGCUUUACUCUCAGGUGCGAUCAUACCAGCACUAAUGCACCGGAUCCCAUCAGAACUCCGCAGUUAAGCGUGCUUGGGCGAGAGUAGUACUAGGAUGGGUGACCUCCUGGGAAGUCCUUGUGUUGCACCUCUUUUUGCCAAAAUUUCGUGUUCUUUUUGUUAAUUAGCGUAAUUUUACGUCGUUUUGAUCUCGUUGUAAUUUACGCUACCUAACACUCUAUUAGUUAAUUAAUUAGCGUAGUUUGACGUCUUUUUUGAAAAAUAAAUUAGAAAUGCAUAUAUACAAUUACAACGCUUUACUCUCAGGUGCGAUCAUACCAGCACUAAUGCACCGGAUCCCAUCAGAACUCCGCAGUUAAGCGUGCUUGGGCGAGAGUAGUACUAGGAUGGGUGACCUCCUGGGAAGUCCUUGUGUUGCACCUCUUUUUGCCAAAAUUUCGUGUUCUUUUUGUUAAUUAGCGUAAUUUUACGUCGUUUUUGAAAAAUAAACUUCGAUUGUAUUCAUUUUUUCCGUUAAUUUACGCUACCUAACACUCUAUUAGUUAAUUAAUUAGCGUAGUUUGACGUCUUUUUUGAAAAAUAAAUUAGAAAUGCAUAUAUACAAUUACAACGCUUUACUCUCAGGUGCGAUCAUACCAGCACUAAUGCACCGGAUCCCAUCAGAACUCCGCAGUUAAGCGUGCUUGGGCGAGAGUAGUACUAGGAUGGGUGACCUCCUGGAAGUCCUUGUGUUGCACCUCUUUUUGCCAAAAUUUCGUGUUCUUUUUGUUAAUUAGCGUAAUUUUACGUCGUUCCGUUAAUUUACGCUACCUAACACUCUAUUAGUUAAUUAAUUAGCGUAGUUUGACGUCUUUUUUGAAAAAUAAAUUAGAAAUGCAUAUAUACAAUUACAACGCUUUACUCUCAGGUGCGAUCAUACCAGCACUAAUGCACCGGAUCCCAUCAGAACUCCGCAGUUAAGCGUGCUUGGGCGAGAGUAGUACUAGGAUGGGUGACCUCCUGGGAAGUCCUUGUGUUGCACCUCUUUUUGCCAAAAUUUCGUGUUCUUUUUGUUAAUUAGCGUAAUUUUACGUCGUUUUUGAAAAAUAAACUUCGAUUGUAUUCAUUUUUCCGUUAAUUUACGCUACCUAACACUCUAUUAGUUAAUUAAUUAGCGUAGUUUGACGUCUUUUUUGAAAAAUAAAUUAGAAAUGCAUAUAUACAAUUACAACGCUUUACUCUCAGGUGCGAUCAUACCAGCACUAAUGCACCGGAUCCCAUCAGAACUCCGCAGUUAAGCGUGCUUGGGCGAGAGUAGUACUAGGAUGGGUGACCUCCUGGGAAGUCCUUGUGUUGCACCUCUUUUUGCCAAAAUUUCGUGUUCUUUUUGUUAAUUAGCGUAAUUUUACGUUUUGAAAAUAAACUCGUUGAUCUCCGUUAAUUUACGCUACCUAACACUCUAUUAGUUAAUUAAUUAGCGUAGUUUGACGUCUUUUUUGAAAAAUAAAUUAGAAAUGCAUAUAUACAAUUACAACGCUUUACUCUCAGGUGCGAUCAUACCAGCACUAAUGCACCGGAUCCCAUCAGAACUCCGCAGUUAAGCGUGCUUGGGCGAGAGUAGUACUAGGAUGGGUGACCUCCUGGGAAGUCCUUGUGUUGCACCUCUUUUUGCCAAAAUUUCGUGUUCUUUUUGUUAAUUAGCGUAAUUUUACGUCGUUUUUGAAAAAUAAACUUCGAUUGUAUUUCAUUUUUUCCGUUAAUUUACGCUACCUAACACUCUAUUAGUUAAUUAAUUAGCGUAGUUUGACGUCUUUUUUGAAAAAUAAAUUAGAAAUGCAUAUAUACAAUUACAACGCUUUACUCUCAGGUGCGAUCAUACCAGCACUAAUGCACCGGAUCCCAUCAGAACUCCGCAGUUAAGCGUGCUUGGGCGAGAGUAGUACUAGGAUGGGUGACCUCCUGGGAAGUCCUUGUGUUGCACCUCUUUUUGCCAAAAUUUCGUGUUCUUUUUGUUAAUUAGCGUAAUUUUACGUCGUUCCGUUAAUUUACGCUACCUAACACUCUAUUAGUUAAUUAAUUAGCGUAGUUUGACGUCUUUUUUGAAAAAUAAAUUAGAAAUGCAUAUAUACAAUUACAACGCUUUACUCUCAGGUGCGAUCAUACCAGCACUAAUGCACCGGAUCCCAUCAGAACUCCGCAGUUAAGCGUGCUUGGGCGAGAGUAGUACUAGGAUGGGUGACCUCCUGGGAAGUCCUUGUGUUGCACCUCUUUUUGCCAAAAUUUCGUGUUCUUUUUGUUAAUUAGCGUAAUUUUACGUCGUUCCGUUAAUUUACGCUACCUAACACUCUAUUAGUUAAUUAAUUAGCGUAGUUUGACGUCUUUUUUGAAAAAUAAAUUAGAAAUGCAUAUAUACAAUUACAACGCUUUACUCUCAGGUGCGAUCAUACCAGCACUAAUGCACCGGAUCCCAUCAGAACUCCGCAGUUAAGCGUGCUUGGGCGAGAGUAGUACUAGGAUGGGUGACCUCCUGGGAAGUCCUUGUGUUGCACCUCUUUUUGCCAAAAUUUCGUGUUCUUUUUGUUAAUUAGCGUAAUUUUACGUCGUUCCGUUAAUUUACGCUACCUAACACUCUAUUAGUUAAUUAAUUAGCGUAGUUUGACGUCUUUUUUGAAAAAUAAAUUAGAAAUGCAUAUAUACAAUUACAACGCUUUACUCUCAGGUGCGAUCAUACCAGCACUAAUGCACCGGAUCCCAUCAGAACUCCGCAGUUAAGCGUGCUUGGGCGAGAGUAGUACUAGGAUGGGUGACCUCCUGGGAAGUCCUUGUGUUGCACCUCUUUUUGCCAAAAUUUCGUGUUCUUUUUGUUAAUUAGCGUAAUUUUACGUCGUUUUGAAAAUAAACUUCGAUUGUAUUCAUUUUUUCCGUUAAUUUACGCUACCUAACACUCUAUUAGUUAAUUAAUUAGCGUAGUUUGACGUCUUUUUUGAAAAAUAAAUUAGAAAUGCAUAUAUACAAUUACAACGCUUUACUCUCAGGUGCGAUCAUACCAGCACUAAUGCACCGGAUCCCAUCAGAACUCCGCAGUUAAGCGUGCUUGGGCGAGAGUAGUACUAGGAUGGGUGACCUCCUGGGAAGUCCUUGUGUUGCACCUCUUUUUGCCAAAAUUUCGUGUUCUUUUUGUUAAUUAGCGUAAUUUUACGUCGUUUUAUACUUGAUUUUUUUUCCGUUAAUUUACGCUACCUAACACUCUAUUAGUUAAUUAAUUAGCGUAGUUUGACGUCUUUUUUGAAAAAUAAAUUAGAAAUGCAUAUAUACAAUUACAACGCUUUACUCUCAGGUGCGAUCAUACCAGCACUAAUGCACCGGAUCCCAUCAGAACUCCGCAGUUAAGCGUGCUUGGGCGAGAGUAGUACUAGGAUGGGUGACCUCCUGGGAAGUCCUUGUGUUGCACCUCUUUUUGCCAAAAUUUCGUGUUCUUUUUGUUAAUUAGCGUAAUUUUACGUCGUUUUGAAAAUAACUUCGAUUGUAUUUCAUUUUUCCGUUAAUUUACGCUACCUAACACUCUAUUAGUUAAUUAAUUAGCGUAGUUUGACGUCUUUUUUGAAAAAUAAAUUAGAAAUGCAUAUAUACAAUUACAACGCUUUACUCUCAGGUGCGAUCAUACCAGCACUAAUGCACCGGAUCCCAUCAGAACUCCGCAGUUAAGCGUGCUUGGGCGAGAGUAGUACUAGGAUGGGUGACCUCCUGGGAAGUCCUUGUGUUGCACCUCUUUUUGCCAAAAUUUCGUGUUCUUUUUGUUAAUUAGCGUAAUUUUACGUCGUUUUUGAAAAAUAAACUUCGAUUGUAUUUCAUUUUUUCCGUUAAUUUACGCUACCUAACACUCUAUUAGUUAAUUAAUUAGCGUAGUUUGACGUCUUUUUUGAAAAAUAAAUUAGAAAUGCAUAUAUACAAUUACAACGCUUUACUCUCAGGUGCGAUCAUACCAGCACUAAUGCACCGGAUCCCAUCAGAACUCCGCAGUUAAGCGUGCUUGGGCGAGAGUAGUACUAGGAUGGGUGACCUCCUGGGAAGUCCUUGUGUUGCACCUCUUUUUGCCAAAAUUUCGUGUUCUUUUUGUUAAUUAGCGUAAUUUUACGUCGUUUUUGAAAAAUAAACUUCGAUUGUAUUUCAUUUUUUCCGUUAAUUUACGCUACCUAACACUCUAUUAGUUAAUUAAUUAGCGUAGUUUGACGUCUUUUUUGAAAAAUAAAUUAGAAAUGCAUAUAUACAAUUACAACGCUUUACUCUCAGGUGCGAUCAUACCAGCACUAAUGCACCGGAUCCCAUCAGAACUCCGCAGUUAAGCGUGCUUGGGCGAGAGUAGUACUAGGAUGGGUGACCUCCUGGAAGUCCUUGUGUUGCACCUCUUUUUGCCAAAAUUUCGUGUUCUUUUUGUUAAUUAGCGUAAUUUUACGUCGUUCCGUUAAUUUACGCUACCUAACACUCUAUUAGUUAAUUAAUUAGCGUAGUUUGACGUCUUUUUUGAAAAAUAAAUUAGAAAUGCAUAUAUACAAUUACAACGCUUUACUCUCAGGUGCGAUCAUACCAGCACUAAUGCACCGGAUCCCAUCAGAACUCCGCAGUUAAGCGUGCUUGGGCGAGAGUAGUACUAGGAUGGGUGACCUCCUGGGAAGUCCUUGUGUUGCACCUCUUUUUGCCAAAAUUUCGUGUUCUUUUUGUUAAUUAGCGUAAUUUUACGUCGUUUUGAAAAUAAACUUCGAUUGUAUUUCAUUUUUUCCGUUAAUUUACGCUACCUAACACUCUAUUAGUUAAUUAAUUAGCGUAGUUUGACGUCUUUUUUGAAAAAUAAAUUAGAAAUGCAUAUAUACAAUUACAACGCUUUACUCUCAGGUGCGAUCAUACCAGCACUAAUGCACCGGAUCCCAUCAGAACUCCGCAGUUAAGCGUGCUUGGGCGAGAGUAGUACUAGGAUGGGUGACCUCCUGGGAAGUCCUUGUGUUGCACCUCUUUUUGCCAAAAUUUCGUGUUCUUUUUGUUAAUUAGCGUAAUUUUACGUCGUUUUUGAAAAAUAAACUUCGAUUGUAUUUCAUUUUUUCCGUUAAUUUACGCUACCUAACACUCUAUUAGUUAAUUAAUUAGCGUAGUUUGACGUCUUUUUUGAAAAAUAAAUUAGAAAUGCAUAUAUACAAUUACAACGCUUUACUCUCAGGUGCGAUCAUACCAGCACUAAUGCACCGGAUCCCAUCAGAACUCCGCAGUUAAGCGUGCUUGGGCGAGAGUAGUACUAGGAUGGGUGACCUCCUGGGAAGUCCUUGUGUUGCACCUCUUUUUGCCAAAAUUUCGUGUUCUUUUUGUUAAUUAGCGUAAUUUUACGUCGUUCCGUUAAUUUACGCUACCUAACACUCUAUUAGUUAAUUAAUUAGCGUAGUUUGACGUCUUUUUUGAAAAAUAAAUUAGAAAUGCAUAUAUACAAUUACAACGCUUUACUCUCAGGUGCGAUCAUACCAGCACUAAUGCACCGGAUCCCAUCAGAACUCCGCAGUUAAGCGUGCUUGGGCGAGAGUAGUACUAGGAUGGGUGACCUCCUGGGAAGUCCUUGUGUUGCACCUCUUUUUGCCAAAAUUUCGUGUUCUUUUUGUUAAUUAGCGUAAUUUUACGUCGUUUUUGAAAAAUAAACUUCGAUUGUAUUUCAUUUUUUCCGUUAAUUUACGCUACCUAACACUCUAUUAGUUAAUUAAUUAGCGUAGUUUGACGUCUUUUUUGAAAAAUAAAUUAGAAAUGCAUAUAUACAAUUACAACGCUUUACUCUCAGGUGCGAUCAUACCAGCACUAAUGCACCGGAUCCCAUCAGAACUCCGCAGUUAAGCGUGCUUGGGCGAGAGUAGUACUAGGAUGGGUGACCUCCUGGGAAGUCCUUGUGUUGCACCUCUUUUUGCCAAAAUUUCGUGUUCUUUUUGUUAAUUAGCGUAAUUUUACGUCGUUUUUGAAAAAUAAACUUCGAUUGUAUUUCAUUUUUUCCGUUAAUUUACGCUACCUAACACUCUAUUAGUUAAUUAAUUAGCGUAGUUUGACGUCUUUUUUGAAAAAUAAAUUAGAAAUGCAUAUAUACAAUUACAACGCUUUACUCUCAGGUGCGAUCAUACCAGCACUAAUGCACCGGAUCCCAUCAGAACUCCGCAGUUAAGCGUGCUUGGGCGAGAGUAGUACUAGGAUGGGUGACCUCCUGGAAGUCCUUGUGUUGCACCUCUUUUUGCCAAAAUUUCGUGUUCUUUUUGUUAAUUAGCGUAAUUUUACGUCGUUCCGUUAAUUUACGCUACCUAACACUCUAUUAGUUAAUUAAUUAGCGUAGUUUGACGUCUUUUUUGAAAAAUAAAUUAGAAAUGCAUAUAUACAAUUACAACGCUUUACUCUCAGGUGCGAUCAUACCAGCACUAAUGCACCGGAUCCCAUCAGAACUCCGCAGUUAAGCGUGCUUGGGCGAGAGUAGUACUAGGAUGGGUGACCUCCUGGGAAGUCCUUGUGUUGCACCUCUUUUUGCCAAAAUUUCGUGUUCUUUUUGUUAAUUAGCGUAAUUUUACGUCGUUUUUGAAAAAUAAACUUCGAUUGUAUUUCAUUUUUUCCGUUAAUUUACGCUACCUAACACUCUAUUAGUUAAUUAAUUAGCGUAGUUUGACGUCUUUUUUGAAAAAUAAAUUAGAAAUGCAUAUAUACAAUUACAACGCUUUACUCUCAGGUGCGAUCAUACCAGCACUAAUGCACCGGAUCCCAUCAGAACUCCGCAGUUAAGCGUGCUUGGGCGAGAGUAGUACUAGGAUGGGUGACCUCCUGGGAAGUCCUUGUGUUGCACCUCUUUUUGCCAAAAUUUCGUGUUCUUUUUGUUAAUUAGCGUAAUUUUACGUCGUUUUUGAAAAAUAAACUUCGAUUGUAUUUCAUUUUUUCCGUUAAUUUACGCUACCUAACACUCUAUUAGUUAAUUAAUUAGCGUAGUUUGACGUCUUUUUUGAAAAAUAAAUUAGAAAUGCAUAUAUACAAUUACAACGCUUUACUCUCAGGUGCGAUCAUACCAGCACUAAUGCACCGGAUCCCAUCAGAACUCCGCAGUUAAGCGUGCUUGGGCGAGAGUAGUACUAGGAUGGGUGACCUCCUGGGAAGUCCUUGUGUUGCACCUCUUUUUGCCAAAAUUUCGUGUUCUUUUUGUUAAUUAGCGUAAUUUUACGUCGUUCCGUUAAUUUACGCUACCUAACACUCUAUUAGUUAAUUAAUUAGCGUAGUUUGACGUCUUUUUUGAAAAAUAAAUUAGAAAUGCAUAUAUACAAUUACAACGCUUUACUCUCAGGUGCGAUCAUACCAGCACUAAUGCACCGGAUCCCAUCAGAACUCCGCAGUUAAGCGUGCUUGGGCGAGAGUAGUACUAGGAUGGGUGACCUCCUGGGAAGUCCUUGUGUUGCACCUCUUUUUGCCAAAAUUUCGUGUUCUUUUUGUUAAUUAGCGUAAUUUUACGUCGUUUUUGAAAAAUAAACUUCGAUUGUAUUUCAUUUUUUCCGUUAAUUUACGCUACCUAACACUCUAUUAGUUAAUUAAUUAGCGUAGUUUGACGUCUUUUUUGAAAAAUAAAUUAGAAAUGCAUAUAUACAAUUACAACGCUUUACUCUCAGGUGCGAUCAUACCAGCACUAAUGCACCGGAUCCCAUCAGAACUCCGCAGUUAAGCGUGCUUGGGCGAGAGUAGUACUAGGAUGGGUGACCUCCUGGGAAGUCCUUGUGUUGCACCUCUUUUUGCCAAAAUUUCGUGUUCUUUUUGUUAAUUAGCGUAAUUUUACGUCGUUUUUGAAAAAUAAACUUCGAUUGUAUUUCAUUUUUUCCGUUAAUUUACGCUACCUAACACUCUAUUAGUUAAUUAAUUAGCGUAGUUUGACGUCUUUUUUGAAAAAUAAAUUAGAAAUGCAUAUAUACAAUUACAACGCUUUACUCUCAGGUGCGAUCAUACCAGCACUAAUGCACCGGAUCCCAUCAGAACUCCGCAGUUAAGCGUGCUUGGGCGAGAGUAGUACUAGGAUGGGUGACCUCCUGGGAAGUCCUUGUGUUGCACCUCUUUUUGCCAAAAUUUCGUGUUCUUUUUGUUAAUUAGCGUAAUUUUACGUCGUUCCGUUAAUUUACGCUACCUAACACUCUAUUAGUUAAUUAAUUAGCGUAGUUUGACGUCUUUUUUGAAAAAUAAAUUAGAAAUGCAUAUAUACAAUUACAACGCUUUACUCUCAGGUGCGAUCAUACCAGCACUAAUGCACCGGAUCCCAUCAGAACUCCGCAGUUAAGCGUGCUUGGGCGAGAGUAGUACUAGGAUGGGUGACCUCCUGGGAAGUCCUUGUGUUGCACCUCUUUUUGCCAAAAUUUCGUGUUCUUUUUGUUAAUUAGCGUAAUUUUACGUCGUUCCGUUAAUUUACGCUACCUAACACUCUAUUAGUUAAUUAAUUAGCGUAGUUUGACGUCUUUUUUGAAAAAUAAAUUAGAAAUGCAUAUAUACAAUUACAACGCUUUACUCUCAGGUGCGAUCAUACCAGCACUAAUGCACCGGAUCCCAUCAGAACUCCGCAGUUAAGCGUGCUUGGGCGAGAGUAGUACUAGGAUGGGUGACCUCCUGGGAAGUCCUUGUGUUGCACCUCUUUUUGCCAAAAUUUCGUGUUCUUUUUGUUAAUUAGCGUAAUUUUACGUCGUUUUUGAAAAAUAAACUUCGAUUGUAUUUCAUUUUUUCCGUUAAUUUACGCUACCUAACACUCUAUUAGUUAAUUAAUUAGCGUAGUUUGACGUCUUUUUUGAAAAAUAAAUUAGAAAUGCAUAUAUACAAUUACAACGCUUUACUCUCAGGUGCGAUCAUACCAGCACUAAUGCACCGGAUCCCAUCAGAACUCCGCAGUUAAGCGUGCUUGGGCGAGAGUAGUACUAGGAUGGGUGACCUCCUGGGAAGUCCUUGUGUUGCACCUCUUUUUGCCAAAAUUUCGUGUUCUUUUUGUUAAUUAGCGUAAUUUUACGUCGUUUUUGAAAAAUAAACUUCGAUUGUAUUUCAUUUUUUCCGUUAAUUUACGCUACCUAACACUCUAUUAGUUAAUUAAUUAGCGUAGUUUGACGUCUUUUUUGAAAAAUAAAUUAGAAAUGCAUAUAUACAAUUACAACGCUUUACUCUCAGGUGCGAUCAUACCAGCACUAAUGCACCGGAUCCCAUCAGAACUCCGCAGUUAAGCGUGCUUGGGCGAGAGUAGUACUAGGAUGGGUGACCUCCUGGGAAGUCCUUGUGUUGCACCUCUUUUUGCCAAAAUUUCGUGUUCUUUUUGUUAAUUAGCGUAAUUUUACGUCGUUCCGUUAAUUUACGCUACCUAACACUCUAUUAGUUAAUUAAUUAGCGUAGUUUGACGUCUUUUUUGAAAAAUAAAUUAGAAAUGCAUAUAUACAAUUACAACGCUUUACUCUCAGGUGCGAUCAUACCAGCACUAAUGCACCGGAUCCCAUCAGAACUCCGCAGUUAAGCGUGCUUGGGCGAGAGUAGUACUAGGAUGGGUGACCUCCUGGGAAGUCCUUGUGUUGCACCUCUUUUUGCCAAAAUUUCGUGUUCUUUUUGUUAAUUAGCGUAAUUUUACGUCGUUUUUGAAAAAUAAACUUCGAUUGUAUUUCAUUUUUUCCGUUAAUUUACGCUACCUAACACUCUAUUAGUUAAUUAAUUAGCGUAGUUUGACGUCUUUUUUGAAAAAUAAAUUAGAAAUGCAUAUAUACAAUUACAACGCUUUACUCUCAGGUGCGAUCAUACCAGCACUAAUGCACCGGAUCCCAUCAGAACUCCGCAGUUAAGCGUGCUUGGGCGAGAGUAGUACUAGGAUGGGUGACCUCCUGGGAAGUCCUUGUGUUGCACCUCUUUUUGCCAAAAUUUCGUGUUCUUUUUGUUAAUUAGCGUAAUUUUACGUCGUUUUUGAAAAAUAAACUUCGAUUGUAUUUCAUUUUUUCCGUUAAUUUACGCUACCUAACACUCUAUUAGUUAAUUAAUUAGCGUAGUUUGACGUCUUUUUUGAAAAAUAAAUUAGAAAUGCAUAUAUACAAUUACAACGCUUUACUCUCAGGUGCGAUCAUACCAGCACUAAUGCACCGGAUCCCAUCAGAACUCCGCAGUUAAGCGUGCUUGGGCGAGAGUAGUACUAGGAUGGGUGACCUCCUGGGAAGUCCUUGUGUUGCACCUCUUUUUGCCAAAAUUUCGUGUUCUUUUGUUAAUUAGCGUAAUUUUACGUCGUUUUUGAAAAAUAAACUUCGAUUGUAUUUCAUUUUUUCCGUUAAUUUACGCUACCUAACACUCUAUUAGUUAAUUAAUUAGCGUAGUUUGACGUCUUUUUUGAAAAAUAAAUUAGAAAUGCAUAUAUACAAUUACAACGCUUUACUCUCAGGUGCGAUCAUACCAGCACUAAUGCACCGGAUCCCAUCAGAACUCCGCAGUUAAGCGUGCUUGGGCGAGAGUAGUACUAGGAUGGGUGACCUCCUGGGAAGUCCUUGUGUUGCACCUCUUUUUGCCAAAAUUUCGUGUUCUUUUUGUUAAUUAGCGUAAUUUUACGUCGUUCCGUUAAUUUACGCUACCUAACACUCUAUUAGUUAAUUAAUUAGCGUAGUUUGACGUCUUUUUUGAAAAAUAAAUUAGAAAUGCAUAUAUACAAUUACAACGCUUUACUCUCAGGUGCGAUCAUACCAGCACUAAUGCACCGGAUCCCAUCAGAACUCCGCAGUUAAGCGUGCUUGGGCGAGAGUAGUACUAGGAUGGGUGACCUCCUGGGAAGUCCUUGUGUUGCACCUCUUUUUGCCAAAAUUUCGUGUUCUUUUUGUUAAUUAGCGUAAUUUUACGUCGUUUUUGAAAAAUAAACUUCGAUUGUAUUUCAUUUUUUCCGUUAAUUUACGCUACCUAACACUCUAUUAGUUAAUUAAUUAGCGUAGUUUGACGUCUUUUUUGAAAAAUAAAUUAGAAAUGCAUAUAUACAAUUACAACGCUUUACUCUCAGGUGCGAUCAUACCAGCACUAAUGCACCGGAUCCCAUCAGAACUCCGCAGUUAAGCGUGCUUGGGCGAGAGUAGUACUAGGAUGGGUGACCUCCUGGGAAGUCCUUGUGUUGCACCUCUUUUUGCCAAAAUUUCGUGUUCUUUUUGUUAAUUAGCGUAAUUUUACGUCGUUUUUGAAAAAUAAACUUCGAUUGUAUUUCAUUUUUUCCGUUAAUUUACGCUACCUAACACUCUAUUAGUUAAUUAAUUAGCGUAGUUUGACGUCUUUUUUGAAAAAUAAAUUAGAAAUGCAUAUAUACAAUUACAACGCUUUACUCUCAGGUGCGAUCAUACCAGCACUAAUGCACCGGAUCCCAUCAGAACUCCGCAGUUAAGCGUGCUUGGGCGAGAGUAGUACUAGGAUGGGUGACCUCCUGGGAAGUCCUUGUGUUGCACCUCUUUUUGCCAAAAUUUCGUGUUCUUUUUGUUAAUUAGCGUAAUUUUACGUCGUUUUUGAAAAAUAAACUUCGAUUGUAUUUCAUUUUUCCGUUAAUUUACGCUACCUAACACUCUAUUAGUUAAUUAAUUAGCGUAGUUUGACGUCUUUUUUGAAAAAUAAAUUAGAAAUGCAUAUAUACAAUUACAACGCUUUACUCUCAGGUGCGAUCAUACCAGCACUAAUGCACCGGAUCCCAUCAGAACUCCGCAGUUAAGCGUGCUUGGGCGAGAGUAGUACUAGGAUGGGUGACCUCCUGGGAAGUCCUUGUGUUGCACCUCUUUUUGCCAAAAUUUCGUGUUCUUUUUGUUAAUUAGCGUAAUUUUACGUCGUUUUUGAAAAAUAAACUUCGAUUGUAUUUCAUUUUUUCCGUUAAUUUACGCUACCUAACACUCUAUUAGUUAAUUAAUUAGCGUAGUUUGACGUCUUUUUUGAAAAAUAAAUUAGAAAUGCAUAUAUACAAUUACAACGCUUUACUCUCAGGUGCGAUCAUACCAGCACUAAUGCACCGGAUCCCAUCAGAACUCCGCAGUUAAGCGUGCUUGGGCGAGAGUAGUACUAGGAUGGGUGACCUCCUGGGAAGUCCUUGUGUUGCACCUCUUUUUGCCAAAAUUUCGUGUUCUUUUUGUUAAUUAGCGUAAUUUUACGUCGUUCCGUUAAUUUACGCUACCUAACACUCUAUUAGUUAAUUAAUUAGCGUAGUUUGACGUCUUUUUUGAAAAAUAAAUUAGAAAUGCAUAUAUACAAUUACAACGCUUUACUCUCAGGUGCGAUCAUACCAGCACUAAUGCACCGGAUCCCAUCAGAACUCCGCAGUUAAGCGUGCUUGGGCGAGAGUAGUACUAGGAUGGGUGACCUCCUGGGAAGUCCUUGUGUUGCACCUCUUUUUGCCAAAAUUUCGUGUUCUUUUUGUUAAUUAGCGUAAUUUUACGUCGUUUUUGAAAAAUAAACUUCGAUUGUAUUUCAUUUUUUCCGUUAAUUUACGCUACCUAACACUCUAUUAGUUAAUUAAUUAGCGUAGUUUGACGUCUUUUUUGAAAAAUAAAUUAGAAAUGCAUAUAUACAAUUACAACGCUUUACUCUCAGGUGCGAUCAUACCAGCACUAAUGCACCGGAUCCCAUCAGAACUCCGCAGUUAAGCGUGCUUGGGCGAGAGUAGUACUAGGAUGGGUGACCUCCUGGGAAGUCCUUGUGUUGCACCUCUUUUUGCCAAAAUUUCGUGUUCUUUUUGUUAAUUAGCGUAAUUUUACGUCGUUUUUGAAAAAUAAACUUCGAUUGUAUUUCAUUUUUUCCGUUAAUUUACGCUACCUAACACUCUAUUAGUUAAUUAAUUAGCGUAGUUUGACGUCUUUUUUGAAAAAUAAAUUAGAAAUGCAUAUAUACAAUUACAACGCUUUACUCUCAGGUGCGAUCAUACCAGCACUAAUGCACCGGAUCCCAUCAGAACUCCGCAGUUAAGCGUGCUUGGGCGAGAGUAGUACUAGGAUGGGUGACCUCCUGGGAAGUCCUUGUGUUGCACCUCUUUUUGCCAAAAUUUCGUGUUCUUUUUGUUAAUUAGCGUAAUUUUACGUCGUUUUUGAAAAAUAAACUUCGAUUGUAUUUCAUUUUUUCCGUUAAUUUACGCUACCUAACACUCUAUUAGUUAAUUAAUUAGCGUAGUUUGACGUCUUUUUUGAAAAAUAAAUUAGAAAUGCAUAUAUACAAUUACAACGCUUUACUCUCAGGUGCGAUCAUACCAGCACUAAUGCACCGGAUCCCAUCAGAACUCCGCAGUUAAGCGUGCUUGGGCGAGAGUAGUACUAGGAUGGGUGACCUCCUGGGAAGUCCUUGUGUUGCACCUCUUUUUGCCAAAAUUUCGUGUUCUUUUUGUUAAUUAGCGUAAUUUUACGUCGUUCCGUUAAUUUACGCUACCUAACACUCUAUUAGUUAAUUAAUUAGCGUAGUUUGACGUCUUUUUUGAAAAAUAAAUUAGAAAUGCAUAUAUACAAUUACAACGCUUUACUCUCAGGUGCGAUCAUACCAGCACUAAUGCACCGGAUCCCAUCAGAACUCCGCAGUUAAGCGUGCUUGGGCGAGAGUAGUACUAGGAUGGGUGACCUCCUGGGAAGUCCUUGUGUUGCACCUCUUUUUGCCAAAAUUUCGUGUUCUUUUUGUUAAUUAGCGUAAUUUUACGUCGUUCCGUUAAUUUACGCUACCUAACACUCUAUUAGUUAAUUAAUUAGCGUAGUUUGACGUCUUUUUUGAAAAAUAAAUUAGAAAUGCAUAUAUACAAUUACAACGCUUUACUCUCAGGUGCGAUCAUACCAGCACUAAUGCACCGGAUCCCAUCAGAACUCCGCAGUUAAGCGUGCUUGGGCGAGAGUAGUACUAGGAUGGGUGACCUCCUGGGAAGUCCUUGUGUUGCACCUCUUUUUGCCAAAAUUUCGUGUUCUUUUUGUUAAUUAGCGUAAUUUUACGUCGUUUUUGAAAAAUAAACUUCGAUUGUAUUUCAUUUUUUCCGUUAAUUUACGCUACCUAACACUCUAUUAGUUAAUUAAUUAGCGUAGUUUGACGUCUUUUUUGAAAAAUAAAUUAGAAAUGCAUAUAUACAAUUACAACGCUUUACUCUCAGGUGCGAUCAUACCAGCACUAAUGCACCGGAUCCCAUCAGAACUCCGCAGUUAAGCGUGCUUGGGCGAGAGUAGUACUAGGAUGGGUGACCUCCUGGGAAGUCCUUGUGUUGCACCUCUUUUUGCCAAAAUUUCGUGUUCUUUUUGUUAAUUAGCGUAAUUUUACGUCGUUUUUGAAAAAUAAACUUCGAUUGUAUUUCAUUUUUUCCGUUAAUUUACGCUACCUAACACUCUAUUAGUUAAUUAAUUAGCGUAGUUUGACGUCUUUUUUGAAAAAUAAAUUAGAAAUGCAUAUAUACAAUUACAACGCUUUACUCUCAGGUGCGAUCAUACCAGCACUAAUGCACCGGAUCCCAUCAGAACUCCGCAGUUAAGCGUGCUUGGGCGAGAGUAGUACUAGGAUGGGUGACCUCCUGGGAAGUCCUUGUGUUGCACCUCUUUUUGCCAAAAUUUCGUGUUCUUUUUGUUAAUUAGCGUAAUUUUACGUCGUUCCGUUAAUUUACGCUACCUAACACUCUAUUAGUUAAUUAAUUAGCGUAGUUUGACGUCUUUUUUGAAAAAUAAAUUAGAAAUGCAUAUAUACAAUUACAACGCUUUACUCUCAGGUGCGAUCAUACCAGCACUAAUGCACCGGAUCCCAUCAGAACUCCGCAGUUAAGCGUGCUUGGGCGAGAGUAGUACUAGGAUGGGUGACCUCCUGGGAAGUCCUUGUGUUGCACCUCUUUUUGCCAAAAUUUCGUGUUCUUUUUGUUAAUUAGCGUAAUUUUACGUGUUUUUGAAAAAUAAACUUCGAUUGUAUUUCAUUUUUUCCGUUAAUUUACGCUACCUAACACUCUAUUAGUUAAUUAAUUAGCGUAGUUUGACGUCUUUUUUGAAAAAUAAAUUAGAAAUGCAUAUAUACAAUUACAACGCUUUACUCUCAGGUGCGAUCAUACCAGCACUAAUGCACCGGAUCCCAUCAGAACUCCGCAGUUAAGCGUGCUUGGGCGAGAGUAGUACUAGGAUGGGUGACCUCCUGGGAAGUCCUUGUGUUGCACCUCUUUUUGCCAAAAUUUCGUGUUCUUUUUGUUAAUUAGCGUAAUUUUACGUCGUUUUUGAAAAAUAAACUUCGAUUGUAUUUCAUUUUUUCCGUUAAUUUACGCUACCUAACACUCUAUUAGUUAAUUAAUUAGCGUAGUUUGACGUCUUUUUUGAAAAAUAAAUUAGAAAUGCAUAUAUACAAUUACAACGCUUUACUCUCAGGUGCGAUCAUACCAGCACUAAUGCACCGGAUCCCAUCAGAACUCCGCAGUUAAGCGUGCUUGGGCGAGAGUAGUACUAGGAUGGGUGACCUCCUGGGAAGUCCUUGUGUUGCACCUCUUUUUGCCAAAAUUUCGUGUUCUUUUUGUUAAUUAGCGUAAUUUUACGUCGUUUUUGAAAAAUAAACUUCGAUUGUAUUUCAUUUUUUCCGUUAAUUUACGCUACCUAACACUCUAUUAGUUAAUUAAUUAGCGUAGUUUGACGUCUUUUUUGAAAAUAAAUUAGAAAUGCAUAUAUACAAUUACAACGCUUUACUCUCAGGUGCGAUCAUACCAGCACUAAUGCACCGGAUCCCAUCAGAACUCCGCAGUUAAGCGUGCUUGGGCGAGAGUAGUACUAGGAUGGGUGACCUCCUGGGAAGUCCUUGUGUUGCACCUCUUUUUGCCAAAAUUUCGUGUUCUUUUUGUUAAUUAGCGUAAUUUUACGUCGUUCCGUUAAUUUACGCUACCUAACACUCUAUUAGUUAAUUAAUUAGCGUAGUUUGACGUCUUUUUUGAAAAAUAAAUUAGAAAUGCAUAUAUACAAUUACAACGCUUUACUCUCAGGUGCGAUCAUACCAGCACUAAUGCACCGGAUCCCAUCAGAACUCCGCAGUUAAGCGUGCUUGGGCGAGAGUAGUACUAGGAUGGGUGACCUCCUGGGAAGUCCUUGUGUUGCACCUCUUUUUGCCAAAAUUUCGUGUUCUUUUUGUUAAUUAGCGUAAUUUUACGUCGUUCCGUUAAUUUACGCUACCUAACACUCUAUUAGUUAAUUAAUUAGCGUAGUUUGACGUCUUUUUUGAAAAAUAAAUUAGAAAUGCAUAUAUACAAUUACAACGCUUUACUCUCAGGUGCGAUCAUACCAGCACUAAUGCACCGGAUCCCAUCAGAACUCCGCAGUUAAGCGUGCUUGGGCGAGAGUAGUACUAGGAUGGGUGACCUCCUGGGAAGUCCUUGUGUUGCACCUCUUUUUGCCAAAAUUUCGUGUUCUUUUUUUUAAUUAGCGUAAUUUUACGUCGUUUUUGAAAAAUAAACUUCGAUUGUAUUUCAUUUUUUCCGUUAAUUUACGCUACCUAACACUCUAUUAGUUAAUUAAUUAGCGUAGUUUGACGUCUUUUUUGAAAAAUAAAUUAGAAAUGCAUAUAUACAAUUACAACGCUUUACUCUCAGGUGCGAUCAUACCAGCACUAAUGCACCGGAUCCCAUCAGAACUCCGCAGUUAAGCGUGCUUGGGCGAGAGUAGUACUAGGAUGGGUGACCUCCUGGGAAGUCCUUGUGUUGCACCUCUUUUUGCCAAAAUUUCGUGUUCUUUUUGUUAAUUAGCGUAAUUUUACGUCGUUCCGUUAAUUUACGCUACCUAACACUCUAUUAGUUAAUUAAUUAGCGUAGUUUGACGUCUUUUUUGAAAAAUAAAUUAGAAAUGCAUAUAUACAAUUACAACGCUUUACUCUCAGGUGCGAUCAUACCAGCACUAAUGCACCGGAUCCCAUCAGAACUCCGCAGUUAAGCGUGCUUGGGCGAGAGUAGUACUAGGAUGGGUGACCUCCUGGGAAGUCCUUGUGUUGCACCUCUUUUUGCCAAAAUUUCGUGUUCUUUUUGUUAAUUAGCGUAAUUUUACGUCGUUUUUGAAAAAUAAACUUCGAUUGUAUUUCAUUUUUUCCGUUAAUUUACGCUACCUAACACUCUAUUAGUUAAUUAAUUAGCGUAGUUUGACGUCUUUUUUGAAAAAUAAAUUAGAAAUGCAUAUAUACAAUUACAACGCUUUACUCUCAGGUGCGAUCAUACCAGCACUAAUGCACCGGAUCCCAUCAGAACUCCGCAGUUAAGCGUGCUUGGGCGAGAGUAGUACUAGGAUGGGUGACCUCCUGGGAAGUCCUUGUGUUGCACCUCUUUUUGCCAAAAUUUCGUGUUCUUUUUGUUAAUUAGCGUAAUUUUACGUCGUUCCGUUAAUUUACGCUACCUAACACUCUAUUAGUUAAUUAAUUAGCGUAGUUUGACGUCUUUUUUGAAAAAUAAAUUAGAAAUGCAUAUAUACAAUUACAACGCUUUACUCUCAGGUGCGAUCAUACCAGCACUAAUGCACCGGAUCCCAUCAGAACUCCGCAGUUAAGCGUGCUUGGGCGAGAGUAGUACUAGGAUGGGUGACCUCCUGGGAAGUCCUUGUGUUGCACCUCUUUUUGCCAAAAUUUCGUGUUCUUUUUGUUAAUUAGCGUAAUUUUACGUCGUUUUUGAAAAAUAAACUUCGAUUGUAUUUCAUUUUUUCCGUUAAUUUACGCUACCUAACACUCUAUUAGUUAAUUAAUUAGCGUAGUUUGACGUCUUUUUUGAAAAAUAAAUUAGAAAUGCAUAUAUACAAUUACAACGCUUUACUCUCAGGUGCGAUCAUACCAGCACUAAUGCACCGGAUCCCAUCAGAACUCCGCAGUUAAGCGUGCUUGGGCGAGAGUAGUACUAGGAUGGGUGACCUCCUGGGAAGUCCUUGUGUUGCACCUCUUUUUGCCAAAAUUUCGUGUUCUUUUUGUUAAUUAGCGUAAUUUUACGUCGUUUUUGAAAAAUAAACUUCGAUUGUAUUUCAUUUUUUCCGUUAAUUUACGCUACCUAACACUCUAUUAGUUAAUUAAUUAGCGUAGUUUGACGUCUUUUUUGAAAAAUAAAUUAGAAAUGCAUAUAUACAAUUACAACGCUUUACUCUCAGGUGCGAUCAUACCAGCACUAAUGCACCGGAUCCCAUCAGAACUCCGCAGUUAAGCGUGCUUGGGCGAGAGUAGUACUAGGAUGGGUGACCUCCUGGGAAGUCCUUGUGUUGCACCUCUUUUUGCCAAAAUUUCGUGUUCUUUUUGUUAAUUAGCGUAAUUUUACGUCGUUUUUGAAAAAUAAACUUCGAUUGUAUUUCAUUUUUUCCGUUAAUUUACGCUACCUAACACUCUAUUAGUUAAUUAAUUAGCGUAGUUUGACGUCUUUUUUGAAAAAUAAAUUAGAAAUGCAUAUAUACAAUUACAACGCUUUACUCUCAGGUGCGAUCAUACCAGCACUAAUGCACCGGAUCCCAUCAGAACUCCGCAGUUAAGCGUGCUUGGGCGAGAGUAGUACUAGGAUGGGUGACCUCCUGGGAAGUCCUUGUGUUGCACCUCUUUUUGCCAAAAUUUCGUGUUCUUUUUGUUAAUUAGCGUAAUUUUACGUCGUUUUUGAAAAAUAAACUUCGAUUGUAUUUCAUUUUUUCCGUUAAUUUACGCUACCUAACACUCUAUUAGUUAAUUAAUUAGCGUAGUUUGACGUCUUUUUUGAAAAAUAAAUUAGAAAUGCAUAUAUACAAUUACAACGCUUUACUCUCAGGUGCGAUCAUACCAGCACUAAUGCACCGGAUCCCAUCAGAACUCCGCAGUUAAGCGUGCUUGGGCGAGAGUAGUACUAGGAUGGGUGACCUCCUGGGAAGUCCUUGUGUUGCACCUCUUUUUGCCAAAAUUUCGUGUUCUUUUGUUAAUUAGCGUAAUUUUACGUCGUUUUUGAAAAAUAAACUUCGAUUGUAUUUCAUUUUUUCCGUUAAUUUACGCUACCUAACACUCUAUUAGUUAAUUAAUUAGCGUAGUUUGACGUCUUUUUUGAAAAAUAAAUUAGAAAUGCAUAUAUACAAUUACAACGCUUUACUCUCAGGUGCGAUCAUACCAGCACUAAUGCACCGGAUCCCAUCAGAACUCCGCAGUUAAGCGUGCUUGGGCGAGAGUAGUACUAGGAUGGGUGACCUCCUGGGAAGUCCUUGUGUUGCACCUCUUUUUGCCAAAAUUUCGUGUUCUUUUUGUUAAUUAGCGUAAUUUUACGUCGUUUUUGAAAAAUAAACUUCGAUUGUAUUUCAUUUUUUCCGUUAAUUUACGCUACCUAACACUCUAUUAGUUAAUUAAUUAGCGUAGUUUGACGUCUUUUUUGAAAAAUAAAUUAGAAAUGCAUAUAUACAAUUACAACGCUUUACUCUCAGGUGCGAUCAUACCAGCACUAAUGCACCGGAUCCCAUCAGAACUCCGCAGUUAAGCGUGCUUGGGCGAGAGUAGUACUAGGAUGGGUGACCUCCUGGGAAGUCCUUGUGUUGCACCUCUUUUUGCCAAAAUUUCGUGUUCUUUUUGUUAAUUAGCGUAAUUUUACGUCGUUUUUGAAAAAUAAACUUCGAUUGUAUUUCAUUUUUUCCGUUAAUUUACGCUACCUAACACUCUAUUAGUUAAUUAAUUAGCGUAGUUUGACGUCUUUUUUGAAAAAUAAAUUAGAAAUGCAUAUAUACAAUUACAACGCUUUACUCUCAGGUGCGAUCAUACCAGCACUAAUGCACCGGAUCCCAUCAGAACUCCGCAGUUAAGCGUGCUUGGGCGAGAGUAGUACUAGGAUGGGUGACCUCCUGGGAAGUCCUUGUGUUGCACCUCUUUUUGCCAAAAUUUCGUGUUCUUUUUGUUAAUUAGCGUAAUUUUACGUCGUUUUUGAAAAAUAAACUUCGAUUGUAUUUCAUUUUUUCCGUUAAUUUACGCUACCUAACACUCUAUUAGUUAAUUAAUUAGCGUAGUUUGACGUCUUUUUUGAAAAAUAAAUUAGAAAUGCAUAUAUACAAUUACAACGCUUUACUCUCAGGUGCGAUCAUACCAGCACUAAUGCACCGGAUCCCAUCAGAACUCCGCAGUUAAGCGUGCUUGGGCGAGAGUAGUACUAGGAUGGGUGACCUCCUGGGAAGUCCUUGUGUUGCACCUCUUUUUGCCAAAAUUUCGUGUUCUUUUUGUUAAUUAGCGUAAUUUUACGUCGUUUUUGAAAAAUAAACUUCGAUUGUAUUUCAUUUUUUCCGUUAAUUUACGCUACCUAACACUCUAUUAGUUAAUUAAUUAGCGUAGUUUGACGUCUUUUUUGAAAAAUAAAUUAGAAAUGCAUAUAUACAAUUACAACGCUUUACUCUCAGGUGCGAUCAUACCAGCACUAAUGCACCGGAUCCCAUCAGAACUCCGCAGUUAAGCGUGCUUGGGCGAGAGUAGUACUAGGAUGGGUGACCUCCUGGGAAGUCCUUGUGUUGCACCUCUUUUUGCCAAAAUUUCGUGUUCUUUUUGUUAAUUAGCGUAAUUUUACGUCGUUUUUGAAAAAUAAACUUCGAUUGUAUUUCAUUUUUUCCGUUAAUUUACGCUACCUAACACUCUAUUAGUUAAUUAAUUAGCGUAGUUUGACGUCUUUUUUGAAAAAUAAAUUAGAAAUGCAUAUAUACAAUUACAACGCUUUACUCUCAGGUGCGAUCAUACCAGCACUAAUGCACCGGAUCCCAUCAGAACUCCGCAGUUAAGCGUGCUUGGGCGAGAGUAGUACUAGGAUGGGUGACCUCCUGGGAAGUCCUUGUGUUGCACCUCUUUUUGCCAAAAUUUCGUGUUCUUUUUGUUAAUUAGCGUAAUUUUACGUCGUUUGAAAAAACUCGAUUGUAUUUUUUCCGUUAAUUUACGCUACCUAACACUCUAUUAGUUAAUUAAUUAGCGUAGUUUGACGUCUUUUUUGAAAAAUAAAUUAGAAAUGCAUAUAUACAAUUACAACGCUUUACUCUCAGGUGCGAUCAUACCAGCACUAAUGCACCGGAUCCCAUCAGAACUCCGCAGUUAAGCGUGCUUGGGCGAGAGUAGUACUAGGAUGGGUGACCUCCUGGGAAGUCCUUGUGUUGCACCUCUUUUUGCCAAAAUUUCGUGUUCUUUUUGUUAAUUAGCGUAAUUUUACGUCGUUUUUGAAAAAUAAACUUCGAUUGUAUUUCAUUUUUUCCGUUAAUUUACGCUACCUAACACUCUAUUAGUUAAUUAAUUAGCGUAGUUUGACGUCUUUUUUGAAAAAUAAAUUAGAAAUGCAUAUAUACAAUUACAACGCUUUACUCUCAGGUGCGAUCAUACCAGCACUAAUGCACCGGAUCCCAUCAGAACUCCGCAGUUAAGCGUGCUUGGGCGAGAGUAGUACUAGGAUGGGUGACCUCCUGGGAAGUCCUUGUGUUGCACCUCUUUUUGCCAAAAUUUCGUGUUCUUUUUGUUAAUUAGCGUAAUUUUACGUCGUUUUUGAAAAAUAAACUUCGAUUGUAUUUCAUUUUUUCCGUUAAUUUACGCUACCUAACACUCUAUUAGUUAAUUAAUUAGCGUAGUUUGACGUCUUUUUUGAAAAAUAAAUUAGAAAUGCAUAUAUACAAUUACAACGCUUUACUCUCAGGUGCGAUCAUACCAGCACUAAUGCACCGGAUCCCAUCAGAACUCCGCAGUUAAGCGUGCUUGGGCGAGAGUAGUACUAGGAUGGGUGACCUCCUGGGAAGUCCUUGUGUUGCACCUCUUUUUGCCAAAAUUUCGUGUUCUUUUUGUUAAUUAGCGUAAUUUUACGUCGUUUUUGAAAAAUAAACUUCGAUUGUAUUUCAUUUUUUCCGUUAAUUUACGCUACCUAACACUCUAUUAGUUAAUUAAUUAGCGUAGUUUGACGUCUUUUUUGAAAAAUAAAUUAGAAAUGCAUAUAUACAAUUACAACGCUUUACUCUCAGGUGCGAUCAUACCAGCACUAAUGCACCGGAUCCCAUCAGAACUCCGCAGUUAAGCGUGCUUGGGCGAGAGUAGUACUAGGAUGGGUGACCUCCUGGGAAGUCCUUGUGUUGCACCUCUUUUUGCCAAAAUUUCGUGUUCUUUUUGUUAAUUAGCGUAAUUUUACGUCGUUUUGAAAUAACUUCGAUUGUAUUUCAUUUUUCCGUUAAUUUACGCUACCUAACACUCUAUUAGUUAAUUAAUUAGCGUAGUUUGACGUCUUUUUUGAAAAAUAAAUUAGAAAUGCAUAUAUACAAUUACAACGCUUUACUCUCAGGUGCGAUCAUACCAGCACUAAUGCACCGGAUCCCAUCAGAACUCCGCAGUUAAGCGUGCUUGGGCGAGAGUAGUACUAGGAUGGGUGACCUCCUGGGAAGUCCUUGUGUUGCACCUCUUUUUGCCAAAAUUUCGUGUUCUUUUUGUUAAUUAGCGUAAUUUUACGUCGUUUUUGAAAAAUAAACUUCGAUUGUAUUUCAUUUUUUCCGUUAAUUUACGCUACCUAACACUCUAUUAGUUAAUUAAUUAGCGUAGUUUGACGUCUUUUUUGAAAAAUAAAUUAGAAAUGCAUAUAUACAAUUACAACGCUUUACUCUCAGGUGCGAUCAUACCAGCACUAAUGCACCGGAUCCCAUCAGAACUCCGCAGUUAAGCGUGCUUGGGCGAGAGUAGUACUAGGAUGGGUGACCUCCUGGGAAGUCCUUGUGUUGCACCUCUUUUUGCCAAAAUUUCGUGUUCUUUUGUUAAUUAGCGUAAUUUUACGUCGUUUUCCGUUAAUUUACGCUACCUAACACUCUAUUAGUUAAUUAAUUAGCGUAGUUUGACGUCUUUUUUGAAAAAUAAAUUAGAAAUGCAUAUAUACAAUUACAACGCUUUACUCUCAGGUGCGAUCAUACCAGCACUAAUGCACCGGAUCCCAUCAGAACUCCGCAGUUAAGCGUGCUUGGGCGAGAGUAGUACUAGGAUGGGUGACCUCCUGGGAAGUCCUUGUGUUGCACCUCUUUUUGCCAAAAUUUCGUGUUCUUUUUGUUAAUUAGCGUAAUUUUACGUCGUUUUUGAAAAAUAAACUUCGAUUGUAUUUCAUUUUUUCCGUUAAUUUACGCUACCUAACACUCUAUUAGUUAAUUAAUUAGCGUAGUUUGACGUCUUUUUUGAAAAAUAAAUUAGAAAUGCAUAUAUACAAUUACAACGCUUUACUCUCAGGUGCGAUCAUACCAGCACUAAUGCACCGGAUCCCAUCAGAACUCCGCAGUUAAGCGUGCUUGGGCGAGAGUAGUACUAGGAUGGGUGACCUCCUGGGAAGUCCUUGUGUUGCACCUCUUUUUGCCAAAAUUUCGUGUUCUUUUUGUUAAUUAGCGUAAUUUUACGUCGUUUUUGAAAAAUAAACUUCGAUUGUAUUUCAUUUUUUCCGUUAAUUUACGCUACCUAACACUCUAUUAGUUAAUUAAUUAGCGUAGUUUGACGUCUUUUUUGAAAAAUAAAUUAGAAAUGCAUAUAUACAAUUACAACGCUUUACUCUCAGGUGCGAUCAUACCAGCACUAAUGCACCGGAUCCCAUCAGAACUCCGCAGUUAAGCGUGCUUGGGCGAGAGUAGUACUAGGAUGGGUGACCUCCUGGGAAGUCCUUGUGUUGCACCUCUUUUUGCCAAAAUUUCGUGUUCUUUUUGUUAAUUAGCGUAAUUUUACGUCGUUUUUGAAAAAUAAACUUCGAUUGUAUUUCAUUUUUUCCGUUAAUUUACGCUACCUAACACUCUAUUAGUUAAUUAAUUAGCGUAGUUUGACGUCUUUUUUGAAAAAUAAAUUAGAAAUGCAUAUAUACAAUUACAACGCUUUACUCUCAGGUGCGAUCAUACCAGCACUAAUGCACCGGAUCCCAUCAGAACUCCGCAGUUAAGCGUGCUUGGGCGAGAGUAGUACUAGGAUGGGUGACCUCCUGGGAAGUCCUUGUGUUGCACCUCUUUUUGCCAAAAUUUCGUGUUCUUUUUGUUAAUUAGCGUAAUUUUACGUCGUUUUUGAAAAUAACUUCGAUUGUUUCAUUUUUCCGUUAAUUUACGCUACCUAACACUCUAUUAGUUAAUUAAUUAGCGUAGUUUGACGUCUUUUUUGAAAAAUAAAUUAGAAAUGCAUAUAUACAAUUACAACGCUUUACUCUCAGGUGCGAUCAUACCAGCACUAAUGCACCGGAUCCCAUCAGAACUCCGCAGUUAAGCGUGCUUGGGCGAGAGUAGUACUAGGAUGGGUGACCUCCUGGGAAGUCCUUGUGUUGCACCUCUUUUUGCCAAAAUUUCGUGUUCUUUUUGUUAAUUAGCGUAAUUUUACGUCGUUUUUGAAAAAUAAACUUCGAUUGUAUUUCAUUUUUUCCGUUAAUUUACGCUACCUAACACUCUAUUAGUUAAUUAAUUAGCGUAGUUUGACGUCUUUUUUGAAAAAUAAAUUAGAAAUGCAUAUAUACAAUUACAACGCUUUACUCUCAGGUGCGAUCAUACCAGCACUAAUGCACCGGAUCCCAUCAGAACUCCGCAGUUAAGCGUGCUUGGGCGAGAGUAGUACUAGGAUGGGUGACCUCCUGGGAAGUCCUUGUGUUGCACCUCUUUUUGCCAAAAUUUCGUGUUCUUUUUGUUAAUUAGCGUAAUUUUACGUCGUUUUUGAAAAAUAAACUUCGAUUGUAUUUCAUUUUUUCCGUUAAUUUACGCUACCUAACACUCUAUUAGUUAAUUAAUUAGCGUAGUUUGACGUCUUUUUUGAAAAAUAAAUUAGAAAUGCAUAUAUACAAUUACAACGCUUUACUCUCAGGUGCGAUCAUACCAGCACUAAUGCACCGGAUCCCAUCAGAACUCCGCAGUUAAGCGUGCUUGGGCGAGAGUAGUACUAGGAUGGGUGACCUCCUGGGAAGUCCUUGUGUUGCACCUCUUUUUGCCAAAAUUUCGUGUUCUUUUUGUUAAUUAGCGUAAUUUUACGUCGUUUUUGAAAAAUAAACUUCGAUUGUAUUUCAUUUUUUCCGUUAAUUUACGCUACCUAACACUCUAUUAGUUAAUUAAUUAGCGUAGUUUGACGUCUUUUUUGAAAAAUAAAUUAGAAAUGCAUAUAUACAAUUACAACGCUUUACUCUCAGGUGCGAUCAUACCAGCACUAAUGCACCGGAUCCCAUCAGAACUCCGCAGUUAAGCGUGCUUGGGCGAGAGUAGUACUAGGAUGGGUGACCUCCUGGGAAGUCCUUGUGUUGCACCUCUUUUUGCCAAAAUUUCGUGUUCUUUUUGUUAAUUAGCGUAAUUUUACGUCGUUUUUGAAAAUAAACUUCGAUUGUAUUUCAUUUUUCCGUUAAUUUACGCUACCUAACACUCUAUUAGUUAAUUAAUUAGCGUAGUUUGACGUCUUUUUUGAAAAAUAAAUUAGAAAUGCAUAUAUACAAUUACAACGCUUUACUCUCAGGUGCGAUCAUACCAGCACUAAUGCACCGGAUCCCAUCAGAACUCCGCAGUUAAGCGUGCUUGGGCGAGAGUAGUACUAGGAUGGGUGACCUCCUGGGAAGUCCUUGUGUUGCACCUCUUUUUGCCAAAAUUUCGUGUUCUUUUUGUUAAUUAGCGUAAUUUUACGUCGUUUUUGAAAAAUAAACUUCGAUUGUAUUUCAUUUUUUCCGUUAAUUUACGCUACCUAACACUCUAUUAGUUAAUUAAUUAGCGUAGUUUGACGUCUUUUUUGAAAAAUAAAUUAGAAAUGCAUAUAUACAAUUACAACGCUUUACUCUCAGGUGCGAUCAUACCAGCACUAAUGCACCGGAUCCCAUCAGAACUCCGCAGUUAAGCGUGCUUGGGCGAGAGUAGUACUAGGAUGGGUGACCUCCUGGGAAGUCCUUGUGUUGCACCUCUUUUUGCCAAAAUUUCGUGUUCUUUUUGUUAAUUAGCGUAAUUUUACGUCGUUUUUGAAAAAUAAACUUCGAUUGUAUUUCAUUUUUUCCGUUAAUUUACGCUACCUAACACUCUAUUAGUUAAUUAAUUAGCGUAGUUUGACGUCUUUUUUGAAAAAUAAAUUAGAAAUGCAUAUAUACAAUUACAACGCUUUACUCUCAGGUGCGAUCAUACCAGCACUAAUGCACCGGAUCCCAUCAGAACUCCGCAGUUAAGCGUGCUUGGGCGAGAGUAGUACUAGGAUGGGUGACCUCCUGGGAAGUCCUUGUGUUGCACCUCUUUUUGCCAAAAUUUCGUGUUCUUUUUGUUAAUUAGCGUAAUUUUACGUCGUUUUUGAAAAAUAAACUUCGAUUGUAUUUCAUUUUUUCCGUUAAUUUACGCUACCUAACACUCUAUUAGUUAAUUAAUUAGCGUAGUUUGACGUCUUUUUUGAAAAAUAAAUUAGAAAUGCAUAUAUACAAUUACAACGCUUUACUCUCAGGUGCGAUCAUACCAGCACUAAUGCACCGGAUCCCAUCAGAACUCCGCAGUUAAGCGUGCUUGGGCGAGAGUAGUACUAGGAUGGGUGACCUCCUGGGAAGUCCUUGUGUUGCACCUCUUUUUGCCAAAAUUUCGUGUUCUUUUUGUUAAUUAGCGUAAUUUUACGUCGUUUUUGAAAAAUAAACUUCGAUUGUAUUUCAUUUUUUCCGUUAAUUUACGCUACCUAACACUCUAUUAGUUAAUUAAUUAGCGUAGUUUGACGUCUUUUUUGAAAAAUAAAUUAGAAAUGCAUAUAUACAAUUACAACGCUUUACUCUCAGGUGCGAUCAUACCAGCACUAAUGCACCGGAUCCCAUCAGAACUCCGCAGUUAAGCGUGCUUGGGCGAGAGUAGUACUAGGAUGGGUGACCUCCUGGGAAGUCCUUGUGUUGCACCUCUUUUUGCCAAAAUUUCGUGUUCUUUUUGUUAAUUAGCGUAAUUUUACGUCGUUUUUGAAAAAUAAACUUCGAUUGUAUUUCAUUUUUUCCGUUAAUUUACGCUACCUAACACUCUAUUAGUUAAUUAAUUAGCGUAGUUUGACGUCUUUUUUGAAAAAUAAAUUAGAAAUGCAUAUAUACAAUUACAACGCUUUACUCUCAGGUGCGAUCAUACCAGCACUAAUGCACCGGAUCCCAUCAGAACUCCGCAGUUAAGCGUGCUUGGGCGAGAGUAGUACUAGGAUGGGUGACCUCCUGGGAAGUCCUUGUGUUGCACCUCUUUUUGCCAAAAUUUCGUGUUCUUUUUGUUAAUUAGCGUAAUUUUACGUCGUUUUUGAAAAAUAAACUUCGAUUGUAUUUCAUUUUUUCCGUUAAUUUACGCUACCUAACACUCUAUUAGUUAAUUAAUUAGCGUAGUUUGACGUCUUUUUUGAAAAAUAAAUUAGAAAUGCAUAUAUACAAUUACAACGCUUUACUCUCAGGUGCGAUCAUACCAGCACUAAUGCACCGGAUCCCAUCAGAACUCCGCAGUUAAGCGUGCUUGGGCGAGAGUAGUACUAGGAUGGGUGACCUCCUGGGAAGUCCUUGUGUUGCACCUCUUUUUGCCAAAAUUUCGUGUUCUUUUUGUUAAUUAGCGUAAUUUUACGUCGUUUUUGAAAAAUAAACUUCGAUUGUAUUUCAUUUUUUCCGUUAAUUUACGCUACCUAACACUCUAUUAGUUAAUUAAUUAGCGUAGUUUGACGUCUUUUUUGAAAAAUAAAUUAGAAAUGCAUAUAUACAAUUACAACGCUUUACUCUCAGGUGCGAUCAUACCAGCACUAAUGCACCGGAUCCCAUCAGAACUCCGCAGUUAAGCGUGCUUGGGCGAGAGUAGUACUAGGAUGGGUGACCUCCUGGGAAGUCCUUGUGUUGCACCUCUUUUUGCCAAAAUUUCGUGUUCUUUUUGUUAAUUAGCGUAAUUUUACGUCGUUUUUGAAAAAUAAACUUCGAUUGUAUUUCAUUUUUUCCGUUAAUUUACGCUACCUAACACUCUAUUAGUUAAUUAAUUAGCGUAGUUUGACGUCUUUUUUGAAAAAUAAAUUAGAAAUGCAUAUAUACAAUUACAACGCUUUACUCUCAGGUGCGAUCAUACCAGCACUAAUGCACCGGAUCCCAUCAGAACUCCGCAGUUAAGCGUGCUUGGGCGAGAGUAGUACUAGGAUGGGUGACCUCCUGGGAAGUCCUUGUGUUGCACCUCUUUUUGCCAAAAUUUCGUGUUCUUUUUGUUAAUUAGCGUAAUUUUACGUCGUUUUUGAAAAAUAAACUUCGAUUGUAUUUCAUUUUUUCCGUUAAUUUACGCUACCUAACACUCUAUUAGUUAAUUAAUUAGCGUAGUUUGACGUCUUUUUUGAAAAAUAAAUUAGAAAUGCAUAUAUACAAUUACAACGCUUUACUCUCAGGUGCGAUCAUACCAGCACUAAUGCACCGGAUCCCAUCAGAACUCCGCAGUUAAGCGUGCUUGGGCGAGAGUAGUACUAGGAUGGGUGACCUCCUGGGAAGUCCUUGUGUUGCACCUCUUUUUGCCAAAAUUUCGUGUUCUUUUUGUUAAUUAGCGUAAUUUUACGUCGUUUUUGAAAAAUAAACUUCGAUUGUAUUUCAUUUUUUCCGUUAAUUUACGCUACCUAACACUCUAUUAGUUAAUUAAUUAGCGUAGUUUGACGUCUUUUUUGAAAAAUAAAUUAGAAAUGCAUAUAUACAAUUACAACGCUUUACUCUCAGGUGCGAUCAUACCAGCACUAAUGCACCGGAUCCCAUCAGAACUCCGCAGUUAAGCGUGCUUGGGCGAGAGUAGUACUAGGAUGGGUGACCUCCUGGGAAGUCCUUGUGUUGCACCUCUUUUUGCCAAAAUUUCGUGUUCUUUUUGUUAAUUAGCGUAAUUUUACGUCGUUUUUGAAAAUAAACUUCGAUUGUAUUUCAUUUUUUCCGUUAAUUUACGCUACCUAACACUCUAUUAGUUAAUUAAUUAGCGUAGUUUGACGUCUUUUUUGAAAAAUAAAUUAGAAAUGCAUAUAUACAAUUACAACGCUUUACUCUCAGGUGCGAUCAUACCAGCACUAAUGCACCGGAUCCCAUCAGAACUCCGCAGUUAAGCGUGCUUGGGCGAGAGUAGUACUAGGAUGGGUGACCUCCUGGGAAGUCCUUGUGUUGCACCUCUUUUUGCCAAAAUUUCGUGUUCUUUUUGUUAAUUAGCGUAAUUUUACGUCGUUUUUGAAAAAUAAACUUCGAUUGUAUUUCAUUUUUUCCGUUAAUUUACGCUACCUAACACUCUAUUAGUUAAUUAAUUAGCGUAGUUUGACGUCUUUUUUGAAAAAUAAAUUAGAAAUGCAUAUAUACAAUUACAACGCUUUACUCUCAGGUGCGAUCAUACCAGCACUAAUGCACCGGAUCCCAUCAGAACUCCGCAGUUAAGCGUGCUUGGGCGAGAGUAGUACUAGGAUGGGUGACCUCCUGGGAAGUCCUUGUGUUGCACCUCUUUUUGCCAAAAUUUCGUGUUCUUUUUGUUAAUUAGCGUAAUUUUACGUCGUUUUUGAAAAAUAAACUUCGAUUGUAUUUCAUUUUUUCCGUUAAUUUACGCUACCUAACACUCUAUUAGUUAAUUAAUUAGCGUAGUUUGACGUCUUUUUUGAAAAAUAAAUUAGAAAUGCAUAUAUACAAUUACAACGCUUUACUCUCAGGUGCGAUCAUACCAGCACUAAUGCACCGGAUCCCAUCAAACUCCGCAGUUAAGCGUGCUUGGGCGAGAGUAGUACUAGGAUGGGUGACCUCCUGGGAAGUCCUUGUGUUGCACCUCUUUUUGCCAAAAUUUCGUGUUCUUUUUGUUAAUUAGCGUAAUUUUACGUCGUUUUUGAAAAAUAAACUUCGAUUGUAUUUCAUUUUUUCCGUUAAUUUACGCUACCUAACACUCUAUUAGUUAAUUAAUUAGCGUAGUUUGACGUCUUUUUUGAAAAAUAAAUUAGAAAUGCAUAUAUACAAUUACAACGCUUUACUCUCAGGUGCGAUCAUACCAGCACUAAUGCACCGGAUCCCAUCAAACUCCGCAGUUAAGCGUGCUUGGGCGAGAGUAGUACUAGGAUGGGUGACCUCCUGGGAAGUCCUUGUGUUGCACCUCUUUUUGCCAAAAUUUCGUGUUCUUUUUGUUAAUUAGCGUAAUUUUACGUCGUUCCGUUAAUUUACGCUACCUAACACUCUAUUAGUUAAUUAAUUAGCGUAGUUUGACGUCUUUUUUGAAAAAUAAAUUAGAAAUGCAUAUAUACAAUUACAACGCUUUACUCUCAGGUGCGAUCAUACCAGCACUAAUGCACCGGAUCCCAUCAGAACUCCGCAGUUAAGCGUGCUUGGGCGAGAGUAGUACUAGGAUGGGUGACCUCCUGGGAAGUCCUUGUGUUGCACCUCUUUUUGCCAAAAUUUCGUGUUCUUUUUGUUAAUUAGCGUAAUUUUACGUCGUUUUUGAAAAAUAAACUUCGAUUGUAUUUCAUUUUUUCCGUUAAUUUACGCUACCUAACACUCUAUUAGUUAAUUAAUUAGCGUAGUUUGACGUCUUUUUUGAAAAAUAAAUUAGAAAUGCAUAUAUACAAUUACAACGCUUUACUCUCAGGUGCGAUCAUACCAGCACUAAUGCACCGGAUCCCAUCAGAACUCCGCAGUUAAGCGUGCUUGGGCGAGAGUAGUACUAGGAUGGGUGACCUCCUGGGAAGUCCUUGUGUUGCACCUCUUUUUGCCAAAAUUUCGUGUUCUUUUUGUUAAUUAGCGUAAUUUUACGUCGUUCCGUUAAUUUACGCUACCUAACACUCUAUUAGUUAAUUAAUUAGCGUAGUUUGACGUCUUUUUUGAAAAAUAAAUUAGAAAUGCAUAUAUACAAUUACAACGCUUUACUCUCAGGUGCGAUCAUACCAGCACUAAUGCACCGGAUCCCAUCAGAACUCCGCAGUUAAGCGUGCUUGGGCGAGAGUAGUACUAGGAUGGGUGACCUCCUGGGAAGUCCUUGUGUUGCACCUCUUUUUGCCAAAAUUUCGUGUUCUUUUUGUUAAUUAGCGUAAUUUUACGUCGUUUUUGAAAAAUAAACUUCGAUUGUAUUUCAUUUUUUCCGUUAAUUUACGCUACCUAACACUCUAUUAGUUAAUUAAUUAGCGUAGUUUGACGUCUUUUUUGAAAAAUAAAUUAGAAAUGCAUAUAUACAAUUACAACGCUUUACUCUCAGGUGCGAUCAUACCAGCACUAAUGCACCGGAUCCCAUCAGAACUCCGCAGUUAAGCGUGCUUGGGCGAGAGUAGUACUAGGAUGGGUGACCUCCUGGGAAGUCCUUGUGUUGCACCUCUUUUUGCCAAAAUUUCGUGUUCUUUUUGUUAAUUAGCGUAAUUUUACGUCGUUUUUGAAAAAUAAACUUCGAUUGUAUUUCAUUUUUUCCGUUAAUUUACGCUACCUAACACUCUAUUAGUUAAUUAAUUAGCGUAGUUUGACGUCUUUUUUGAAAAAUAAAUUAGAAAUGCAUAUAUACAAUUACAACGCUUUACUCUCAGGUGCGAUCAUACCAGCACUAAUGCACCGGAUCCCAUCAGAACUCCGCAGUUAAGCGUGCUUGGGCGAGAGUAGUACUAGGAUGGGUGACCUCCUGGGAAGUCCUUGUGUUGCACCUCUUUUUGCCAAAAUUUCGUGUUCUUUUUGUUAAUUAGCGUAAUUUUACGUCGUUCCGUUAAUUUACGCUACCUAACACUCUAUUAGUUAAUUAAUUAGCGUAGUUUGACGUCUUUUUUGAAAAAUAAAUUAGAAAUGCAUAUAUACAAUUACAACGCUUUACUCUCAGGUGCGAUCAUACCAGCACUAAUGCACCGGAUCCCAUCAGAACUCCGCAGUUAAGCGUGCUUGGGCGAGAGUAGUACUAGGAUGGGUGACCUCCUGGGAAGUCCUUGUGUUGCACCUCUUUUUGCCAAAAUUUCGUGUUCUUUUUGUUAAUUAGCGUAAUUUUACGUCGUUUUUGAAAAAUAAACUUCGAUUGUAUUUCAUUUUUUCCGUUAAUUUACGCUACCUAACACUCUAUUAGUUAAUUAAUUAGCGUAGUUUGACGUCUUUUUUGAAAAAUAAAUUAGAAAUGCAUAUAUACAAUUACAACGCUUUACUCUCAGGUGCGAUCAUACCAGCACUAAUGCACCGGAUCCCAUCAGAACUCCGCAGUUAAGCGUGCUUGGGCGAGAGUAGUACUAGGAUGGGUGACCUCCUGGGAAGUCCUUGUGUUGCACCUCUUUUUGCCAAAAUUUCGUGUUCUUUUUGUUAAUUAGCGUAAUUUUACGUCGUUCCGUUAAUUUACGCUACCUAACACUCUAUUAGUUAAUUAAUUAGCGUAGUUUGACGUCUUUUUUGAAAAAUAAAUUAGAAAUGCAUAUAUACAAUUACAACGCUUUACUCUCAGGUGCGAUCAUACCAGCACUAAUGCACCGGAUCCCAUCAGAACUCCGCAGUUAAGCGUGCUUGGGCGAGAGUAGUACUAGGAUGGGUGACCUCCUGGGAAGUCCUUGUGUUGCACCUCUUUUUGCCAAAAUUUCGUGUUCUUUUUGUUAAUUAGCGUAAUUUUACGUCGUUUUUGAAAAAUAAACUUCGAUUGUAUUUCAUUUUUUCCGUUAAUUUACGCUACCUAACACUCUAUUAGUUAAUUAAUUAGCGUAGUUUGACGUCUUUUUUGAAAAAUAAAUUAGAAAUGCAUAUAUACAAUUACAACGCUUUACUCUCAGGUGCGAUCAUACCAGCACUAAUGCACCGGAUCCCAUCAGAACUCCGCAGUUAAGCGUGCUUGGGCGAGAGUAGUACUAGGAUGGGUGACCUCCUGGGAAGUCCUUGUGUUGCACCUCUUUUUGCCAAAAUUUCGUGUUCUUUUUGUUAAUUAGCGUAAUUUUACGUCGUUCCGUUAAUUUACGCUACCUAACACUCUAUUAGUUAAUUAAUUAGCGUAGUUUGACGUCUUUUUUGAAAAAUAAAUUAGAAAUGCAUAUAUACAAUUACAACGCUUUACUCUCAGGUGCGAUCAUACCAGCACUAAUGCACCGGAUCCCAUCAGAACUCCGCAGUUAAGCGUGCUUGGGCGAGAGUAGUACUAGGAUGGGUGACCUCCUGGGAAGUCCUUGUGUUGCACCUCUUUUUGCCAAAAUUUCGUGUUCUUUUUGUUAAUUAGCGUAAUUUUACGUCGUUUUGAAAAAUAAACUUCGAUUGUAUUUCAUUUUUUCCGUUAAUUUACGCUACCUAACACUCUAUUAGUUAAUUAAUUAGCGUAGUUUGACGUCUUUUUUGAAAAAUAAAUUAGAAAUGCAUAUAUACAAUUACAACGCUUUACUCUCAGGUGCGAUCAUACCAGCACUAAUGCACCGGAUCCCAUCAGAACUCCGCAGUUAAGCGUGCUUGGGCGAGAGUAGUACUAGGAUGGGUGACCUCCUGGGAAGUCCUUGUGUUGCACCUCUUUUUGCCAAAAUUUCGUGUUCUUUUUGUUAAUUAGCGUAAUUUUACGUCGUUCCGUUAAUUUACGCUACCUAACACUCUAUUAGUUAAUUAAUUAGCGUAGUUUGACGUCUUUUUUGAAAAAUAAAUUAGAAAUGCAUAUAUACAAUUACAACGCUUUACUCUCAGGUGCGAUCAUACCAGCACUAAUGCACCGGAUCCCAUCAGAACUCCGCAGUUAAGCGUGCUUGGGCGAGAGUAGUACUAGGAUGGGUGACCUCCUGGGAAGUCCUUGUGUUGCACCUCUUUUUGCCAAAAUUUCGUGUUCUUUUUGUUAAUUAGCGUAAUUUUACGUCGUUUUUGAAAAAUAAACUUCGAUUGUAUUUCAUUUUUUCCGUUAAUUUACGCUACCUAACACUCUAUUAGUUAAUUAAUUAGCGUAGUUUGACGUCUUUUUUGAAAAAUAAAUUAGAAAUGCAUAUAUACAAUUACAACGCUUUACUCUCAGGUGCGAUCAUACCAGCACUAAUGCACCGGAUCCCAUCAGAACUCCGCAGUUAAGCGUGCUUGGGCGAGAGUAGUACUAGGAUGGGUGACCUCCUGGGAAGUCCUUGUGUUGCACCUCUUUUUGCCAAAAUUUCGUGUUCUUUUUGUUAAUUAGCGUAAUUUUACGUCGUUCCGUUAAUUUACGCUACCUAACACUCUAUUAGUUAAUUAAUUAGCGUAGUUUGACGUCUUUUUUGAAAAAUAAAUUAGAAAUGCAUAUAUACAAUUACAACGCUUUACUCUCAGGUGCGAUCAUACCAGCACUAAUGCACCGGAUCCCAUCAGAACUCCGCAGUUAAGCGUGCUUGGGCGAGAGUAGUACUAGGAUGGGUGACCUCCUGGGAAGUCCUUGUGUUGCACCUCUUUUUGCCAAAAUUUCGUGUUCUUUUUGUUAAUUAGCGUAAUUUUACGUCGUUUUUGAAAAAUAAACUUCGAUUGUAUUUCAUUUUUUCCGUUAAUUUACGCUACCUAACACUCUAUUAGUUAAUUAAUUAGCGUAGUUUGACGUCUUUUUUGAAAAAUAAAUUAGAAAUGCAUAUAUACAAUUACAACGCUUUACUCUCAGGUGCGAUCAUACCAGCACUAAUGCACCGGAUCCCAUCAGAACUCCGCAGUUAAGCGUGCUUGGGCGAGAGUAGUACUAGGAUGGGUGACCUCCUGGGAAGUCCUUGUGUUGCACCUCUUUUUGCCAAAAUUUCGUGUUCUUUUUGUUAAUUAGCGUAAUUUUACGUCGUUCCGUUAAUUUACGCUACCUAACACUCUAUUAGUUAAUUAAUUAGCGUAGUUUGACGUCUUUUUUGAAAAAUAAAUUAGAAAUGCAUAUAUACAAUUACAACGCUUUACUCUCAGGUGCGAUCAUACCAGCACUAAUGCACCGGAUCCCAUCAGAACUCCGCAGUUAAGCGUGCUUGGGCGAGAGUAGUACUAGGAUGGGUGACCUCCUGGGAAGUCCUUGUGUUGCACCUCUUUUUGCCAAAAUUUCGUGUUCUUUUUGUUAAUUAGCGUAAUUUUACGUCGUUUUUGAAAAAUAAACUUCGAUUGUAUUUCAUUUUUUCCGUUAAUUUACGCUACCUAACACUCUAUUAGUUAAUUAAUUAGCGUAGUUUGACGUCUUUUUUGAAAAAUAAAUUAGAAAUGCAUAUAUACAAUUACAACGCUUUACUCUCAGGUGCGAUCAUACCAGCACUAAUGCACCGGAUCCCAUCAGAACUCCGCAGUUAAGCGUGCUUGGGCGAGAGUAGUACUAGGAUGGGUGACCUCCUGGGAAGUCCUUGUGUUGCACCUCUUUUUGCCAAAAUUUCGUGUUCUUUUUGUUAAUUAGCGUAAUUUUACGUCGUUCCGUUAAUUUACGCUACCUAACACUCUAUUAGUUAAUUAAUUAGCGUAGUUUGACGUCUUUUUUGAAAAAUAAAUUAGAAAUGCAUAUAUACAAUUACAACGCUUUACUCUCAGGUGCGAUCAUACCAGCACUAAUGCACCGGAUCCCAUCAGAACUCCGCAGUUAAGCGUGCUUGGGCGAGAGUAGUACUAGGAUGGGUGACCUCCUGGGAAGUCCUUGUGUUGCACCUCUUUUUGCCAAAAUUUCGUGUUCUUUUUGUUAAUUAGCGUAAUUUUACGUCGUUUUUGAAAAAUAAACUUCGAUUGUAUUUCAUUUUUUCCGUUAAUUUACGCUACCUAACACUCUAUUAGUUAAUUAAUUAGCGUAGUUUGACGUCUUUUUGAAAAAUAAAUUAGAAAUGCAUAUAUACAAUUACAACGCUUUACUCUCAGGUGCGAUCAUACCAGCACUAAUGCACCGGAUCCCAUCAGAACUCCGCAGUUAAGCGUGCUUGGGCGAGAGUAGUACUAGGAUGGGUGACCUCCUGGGAAGUCCUUGUGUUGCACCUCUUUUUGCCAAAAUUUCGUGUUCUUUUUGUUAAUUAGCGUAAUUUUACGUCGUUCCGUUAAUUUACGCUACCUAACACUCUAUUAGUUAAUUAAUUAGCGUAGUUUGACGUCUUUUUUGAAAAAUAAAUUAGAAAUGCAUAUAUACAAUUACAACGCUUUACUCUCAGGUGCGAUCAUACCAGCACUAAUGCACCGGAUCCCAUCAGAACUCCGCAGUUAAGCGUGCUUGGGCGAGAGUAGUACUAGGAUGGGUGACCUCCUGGGAAGUCCUUGUGUUGCACCUCUUUUUGCCAAAAUUUCGUGUUCUUUUUGUUAAUUAGCGUAAUUUUACGUCGUUUUUGAAAAAUAAACUUCGAUUGUAUUUCAUUUUUUCCGUUAAUUUACGCUACCUAACACUCUAUUAGUUAAUUAAUUAGCGUAGUUUGACGUCUUUUUUGAAAAAUAAAUUAGAAAUGCAUAUAUACAAUUACAACGCUUUACUCUCAGGUGCGAUCAUACCAGCACUAAUGCACCGGAUCCCAUCAGAACUCCGCAGUUAAGCGUGCUUGGGCGAGAGUAGUACUAGGAUGGGUGACCUCCUGGGAAGUCCUUGUGUUGCACCUCUUUUUGCCAAAAUUUCGUGUUCUUUUUGUUAAUUAGCGUAAUUUUACGUCGUUCCGUUAAUUUACGCUACCUAACACUCUAUUAGUUAAUUAAUUAGCGUAGUUUGACGUCUUUUUUGAAAAAUAAAUUAGAAAUGCAUAUAUACAAUUACAACGCUUUACUCUCAGGUGCGAUCAUACCAGCACUAAUGCACCGGAUCCCAUCAGAACUCCGCAGUUAAGCGUGCUUGGGCGAGAGUAGUACUAGGAUGGGUGACCUCCUGGGAAGUCCUUGUGUUGCACCUCUUUUUGCCAAAAUUUCGUGUUCUUUUUGUUAAUUAGCGUAAUUUUACGUCGUUUUUGAAAAAUAAACUUCGAUUGUAUUUCAUUUUUUCCGUUAAUUUACGCUACCUAACACUCUAUUAGUUAAUUAAUUAGCGUAGUUUGACGUCUUUUUUGAAAAAUAAAUUAGAAAUGCAUAUAUACAAUUACAACGCUUUACUCUCAGGUGCGAUCAUACCAGCACUAAUGCACCGGAUCCCAUCAGAACUCCGCAGUUAAGCGUGCUUGGGCGAGAGUAGUACUAGGAUGGGUGACCUCCUGGGAAGUCCUUGUGUUGCACCUCUUUUUGCCAAAAUUUCGUGUUCUUUUUGUUAAUUAGCGUAAUUUUACGUCGUUCCGUUAAUUUACGCUACCUAACACUCUAUUAGUUAAUUAAUUAGCGUAGUUUGACGUCUUUUUUGAAAAAUAAAUUAGAAAUGCAUAUAUACAAUUACAACGCUUUACUCUCAGGUGCGAUCAUACCAGCACUAAUGCACCGGAUCCCAUCAGAACUCCGCAGUUAAGCGUGCUUGGGCGAGAGUAGUACUAGGAUGGGUGACCUCCUGGGAAGUCCUUGUGUUGCACCUCUUUUUGCCAAAAUUUCGUGUUCUUUUUGUUAAUUAGCGUAAUUUUACGUCGUUUUUGAAAAUAAACUUCGAUUGUAUUUCAUUUUUUCCGUUAAUUUACGCUACCUAACACUCUAUUAGUUAAUUAAUUAGCGUAGUUUGACGUCUUUUUUGAAAAAUAAAUUAGAAAUGCAUAUAUACAAUUACAACGCUUUACUCUCAGGUGCGAUCAUACCAGCACUAAUGCACCGGAUCCCAUCAGAACUCCGCAGUUAAGCGUGCUUGGGCGAGAGUAGUACUAGGAUGGGUGACCUCCUGGGAAGUCCUUGUGUUGCACCUCUUUUUGCCAAAAUUUCGUGUUCUUUUUGUUAAUUAGCGUAAUUUUACGUCGUUCCGUUAAUUUACGCUACCUAACACUCUAUUAGUUAAUUAAUUAGCGUAGUUUGACGUCUUUUUUGAAAAAUAAAUUAGAAAUGCAUAUAUACAAUUACAACGCUUUACUCUCAGGUGCGAUCAUACCAGCACUAAUGCACCGGAUCCCAUCAGAACUCCGCAGUUAAGCGUGCUUGGGCGAGAGUAGUACUAGGAUGGGUGACCUCCUGGGAAGUCCUUGUGUUGCACCUCUUUUUGCCAAAAUUUCGUGUUCUUUUUGUUAAUUAGCGUAAUUUUACGUCGUUUUUGAAAAAUAAACUUCGAUUGUAUUUCAUUUUUUCCGUUAAUUUACGCUACCUAACACUCUAUUAGUUAAUUAAUUAGCGUAGUUUGACGUCUUUUUUGAAAAAUAAAUUAGAAAUGCAUAUAUACAAUUACAACGCUUUACUCUCAGGUGCGAUCAUACCAGCACUAAUGCACCGGAUCCCAUCAGAACUCCGCAGUUAAGCGUGCUUGGGCGAGAGUAGUACUAGGAUGGGUGACCUCCUGGGAAGUCCUUGUGUUGCACCUCUUUUUGCCAAAAUUUCGUGUUCUUUUUGUUAAUUAGCGUAAUUUUACGUCGUUCCGUUAAUUUACGCUACCUAACACUCUAUUAGUUAAUUAAUUAGCGUAGUUUGACGUCUUUUUUGAAAAAUAAAUUAGAAAUGCAUAUAUACAAUUACAACGCUUUACUCUCAGGUGCGAUCAUACCAGCACUAAUGCACCGGAUCCCAUCAGAACUCCGCAGUUAAGCGUGCUUGGGCGAGAGUAGUACUAGGAUGGGUGACCUCCUGGGAAGUCCUUGUGUUGCACCUCUUUUUGCCAAAAUUUCGUGUUCUUUUUGUUAAUUAGCGUAAUUUUACGUCGUUCCGUUAAUUUACGCUACCUAACACUCUAUUAGUUAAUUAAUUAGCGUAGUUUGACGUCUUUUUUGAAAAAUAAAUUAGAAAUGCAUAUAUACAAUUACAACGCUUUACUCUCAGGUGCGAUCAUACCAGCACUAAUGCACCGGAUCCCAUCAGAACUCCGCAGUUAAGCGUGCUUGGGCGAGAGUAGUACUAGGAUGGGUGACCUCCUGGGAAGUCCUUGUGUUGCACCUCUUUUUGCCAAAAUUUCGUGUUCUUUUUGUUAAUUAGCGUAAUUUUACGUCGUUUUUGAAAAAUAAACUUCGAUUGUAUUUCAUUUUUUCCGUUAAUUUACGCUACCUAACACUCUAUUAGUUAAUUAAUUAGCGUAGUUUGACGUCUUUUUUGAAAAAUAAAUUAGAAAUGCAUAUAUACAAUUACAACGCUUUACUCUCAGGUGCGAUCAUACCAGCACUAAUGCACCGGAUCCCAUCAGAACUCCGCAGUUAAGCGUGCUUGGGCGAGAGUAGUACUAGGAUGGGUGACCUCCUGGGAAGUCCUUGUGUUGCACCUCUUUUUGCCAAAAUUUCGUGUUCUUUUUGUUAAUUAGCGUAAUUUUACGUCGUUCCGUUAAUUUACGCUACCUAACACUCUAUUAGUUAAUUAAUUAGCGUAGUUUGACGUCUUUUUUGAAAAAUAAAUUAGAAAUGCAUAUAUACAAUUACAACGCUUUACUCUCAGGUGCGAUCAUACCAGCACUAAUGCACCGGAUCCCAUCAGAACUCCGCAGUUAAGCGUGCUUGGGCGAGAGUAGUACUAGGAUGGGUGACCUCCUGGGAAGUCCUUGUGUUGCACCUCUUUUUGCCAAAAUUUCGUGUUCUUUUUGUUAAUUAGCGUAAUUUUACGUCGUUUUUGAAAAAUAAACUUCGAUUGUAUUUCAUUUUUUCCGUUAAUUUACGCUACCUAACACUCUAUUAGUUAAUUAAUUAGCGUAGUUUGACGUCUUUUUUGAAAAAUAAAUUAGAAAUGCAUAUAUACAAUUACAACGCUUUACUCUCAGGUGCGAUCAUACCAGCACUAAUGCACCGGAUCCCAUCAGAACUCCGCAGUUAAGCGUGCUUGGGCGAGAGUAGUACUAGGAUGGGUGACCUCCUGGGAAGUCCUUGUGUUGCACCUCUUUUUGCCAAAAUUUCGUGUUCUUUUUGUUAAUUAGCGUAAUUUUACGUCGUUCCGUUAAUUUACGCUACCUAACACUCUAUUAGUUAAUUAAUUAGCGUAGUUUGACGUCUUUUUUGAAAAAUAAAUUAGAAAUGCAUAUAUACAAUUACAACGCUUUACUCUCAGGUGCGAUCAUACCAGCACUAAUGCACCGGAUCCCAUCAGAACUCCGCAGUUAAGCGUGCUUGGGCGAGAGUAGUACUAGGAUGGGUGACCUCCUGGGAAGUCCUUGUGUUGCACCUCUUUUUGCCAAAAUUUCGUGUUCUUUUUGUUAAUUAGCGUAAUUUUACGUCGUUUUUGAAAAAUAAACUUCGAUUGUAUUUCAUUUUUUCCGUUAAUUUACGCUACCUAACACUCUAUUAGUUAAUUAAUUAGCGUAGUUUGACGUCUUUUUUGAAAAAUAAAUUAGAAAUGCAUAUAUACAAUUACAACGCUUUACUCUCAGGUGCGAUCAUACCAGCACUAAUGCACCGGAUCCCAUCAGAACUCCGCAGUUAAGCGUGCUUGGGCGAGAGUAGUACUAGGAUGGGUGACCUCCUGGGAAGUCCUUGUGUUGCACCUCUUUUUGCCAAAAUUUCGUGUUCUUUUUGUUAAUUAGCGUAAUUUUACGUCGUUUUUGAAAAAUAAACUUCGAUUGUAUUUCAUUUUUUCCGUUAAUUUACGCUACCUAACACUCUAUUAGUUAAUUAAUUAGCGUAGUUUGACGUCUUUUUUGAAAAAUAAAUUAGAAAUGCAUAUAUACAAUUACAACGCUUUACUCUCAGGUGCGAUCAUACCAGCACUAAUGCACCGGAUCCCAUCAGAACUCCGCAGUUAAGCGUGCUUGGGCGAGAGUAGUACUAGGAUGGGUGACCUCCUGGGAAGUCCUUGUGUUGCACCUCUUUUUGCCAAAAUUUCGUGUUCUUUUUGUUAAUUAGCGUAAUUUUACGUCGUUCCGUUAAUUUACGCUACCUAACACUCUAUUAGUUAAUUAAUUAGCGUAGUUUGACGUCUUUUUUGAAAAAUAAAUUAGAAAUGCAUAUAUACAAUUACAACGCUUUACUCUCAGGUGCGAUCAUACCAGCACUAAUGCACCGGAUCCCAUCAGAACUCCGCAGUAAGCGUGCUUGGGCGAGAGUAGUACUAGGAUGGGUGACCUUCUGCGAAGUCCUUGUGUUGCACCUCUUUUUGCCAAAAUUUCGUGUUCUUUUUGUUAAUUAGCGUAAUUUUACGUCGUUUUUGAAAAAUAAACUUCGAUUGUAUUUCAUUUUUUCCGUUAAUUUACGCUACCUAACACUCUAUUAGUUAAUUAAUUAGCGUAGUUUGACGUCUUUUUUGAAAAAUAAAUUAGAAAUGCAUAUAUACAAUUACAACGCUUUACUCUCAGGUGCGAUCAUACCAGCACUAAUGCACCGGAUCCCAUCAGAACUCCGCAGUUAAGCGUGCUUGGGCGAGAGUAGUACUAGGAUGGGUGACCUCCUGGGAAGUCCUUGUGUUGCACCUCUUUUUGCCAAAAUUUCGUGUUCUUUUUGUUAAUUAGCGUAAUUUUACGUCGUUCCGUUAAUUUACGCUACCUAACACUCUAUUAGUUAAUUAAUUAGCGUAGUUUGACGUCUUUUUUGAAAAAUAAAUUAGAAAUGCAUAUAUACAAUUACAACGCUUUACUCUCAGGUGCGAUCAUACCAGCACUAAUGCACCGGAUCCCAUCAGAACUCCGCAGUUAAGCGUGCUUGGGCGAGAGUAGUACUAGGAUGGGUGACCUCCUGGGAAGUCCUUGUGUUGCACCUCUUUUUGCCAAAAUUUCGUGUUCUUUUUGUUAAUUAGCGUAAUUUUACGUCGUUUUUGAAAAAUAAACUUCGAUUGUAUUUCAUUUUUUCCGUUAAUUUACGCUACCUAACACUCUAUUAGUUAAUUAAUUAGCGUAGUUUGACGUCUUUUUUGAAAAAUAAAUUAGAAAUGCAUAUAUACAAUUACAACGCUUUACUCUCAGGUGCGAUCAUACCAGCACUAAUGCACCGGAUCCCAUCAGAACUCCGCAGUUAAGCGUGCUUGGGCGAGAGUAGUACUAGGAUGGGUGACCUCCUGGGAAGUCCUUGUGUUGCACCUCUUUUUGCCAAAAUUUCGUGUUCUUUUUGUUAAUUAGCGUAAUUUUACGUCGUUCCGUUAAUUUACGCUACCUAACACUCUAUUAGUUAAUUAAUUAGCGUAGUUUGACGUCUUUUUUGAAAAAUAAAUUAGAAAUGCAUAUAUACAAUUACAACGCUUUACUCUCAGGUGCGAUCAUACCAGCACUAAUGCACCGGAUCCCAUCAGAACUCCGCAGUUAAGCGUGCUUGGGCGAGAGUAGUACUAGGAUGGGUGACCUCCUGGGAAGUCCUUGUGUUGCACCUCUUUUUGCCAAAAUUUCGUGUUCUUUUUGUUAAUUAGCGUAAUUUUACGUCGUUUUUGAAAAAUAAACUUCGAUUGUAUUUCAUUUUUUCCGUUAAUUUACGCUACCUAACACUCUAUUAGUUAAUUAAUUAGCGUAGUUUGACGUCUUUUUUGAAAAAUAAAUUAGAAAUGCAUAUAUACAAUUACAACGCUUUACUCUCAGGUGCGAUCAUACCAGCACUAAUGCACCGGAUCCCAUCAGAACUCCGCAGUUAAGCGUGCUUGGGCGAGAGUAGUACUAGGAUGGGUGACCUCCUGGGAAGUCCUUGUGUUGCACCUCUUUUUGCCAAAAUUUCGUGUUCUUUUUGUUAAUUAGCGUAAUUUUACGUCGUUUUUGAAAAAUAAACUUCGAUUGUAUUUCAUUUUUUCCGUUAAUUUACGCUACCUAACACUCUAUUAGUUAAUUAAUUAGCGUAGUUUGACGUCUUUUUUGAAAAAUAAAUUAGAAAUGCAUAUAUACAAUUACAACGCUUUACUCUCAGGUGCGAUCAUACCAGCACUAAUGCACCGGAUCCCAUCAGAACUCCGCAGUUAAGCGUGCUUGGGCGAGAGUAGUACUAGGAUGGGUGACCUCCUGGGAAGUCCUUGUGUUGCACCUCUUUUUGCCAAAAUUUCGUGUUCUUUUUGUUAAUUAGCGUAAUUUUACGUCGUUCCGUUAAUUUACGCUACCUAACACUCUAUUAGUUAAUUAAUUAGCGUAGUUUGACGUCUUUUUUGAAAAAUAAAUUAGAAAUGCAUAUAUACAAUUACAACGCUUUACUCUCAGGUGCGAUCAUACCAGCACUAAUGCACCGGAUCCCAUCAGAACUCCGCAGUUAAGCGUGCUUGGGCGAGAGUAGUACUAGGAUGGGUGACCUCCUGGGAAGUCCUUGUGUUGCACCUCUUUUUGCCAAAAUUUCGUGUUCUUUUUGUUAAUUAGCGUAAUUUUACGUCGUUCCGUUAAUUUACGCUACCUAACACUCUAUUAGUUAAUUAAUUAGCGUAGUUUGACGUCUUUUUUGAAAAAUAAAUUAGAAAUGCAUAUAUACAAUUACAACGCUUUACUCUCAGGUGCGAUCAUACCAGCACUAAUGCACCGGAUCCCAUCAGAACUCCGCAGUUAAGCGUGCUUGGGCGAGAGUAGUACUAGGAUGGGUGACCUCCUGGGAAGUCCUUGUGUUGCACCUCUUUUUGCCAAAAUUUCGUGUUCUUUUUGUUAAUUAGCGUAAUUUUACGUCGUUCCGUUAAUUUACGCUACCUAACACUCUAUUAGUUAAUUAAUUAGCGUAGUUUGACGUCUUUUUUGAAAAAUAAAUUAGAAAUGCAUAUAUACAAUUACAACGCUUUACUCUCAGGUGCGAUCAUACCAGCACUAAUGCACCGGAUCCCAUCAGAACUCCGCAGUUAAGCGUGCUUGGGCGAGAGUAGUACUAGGAUGGGUGACCUCCUGGGAAGUCCUUGUGUUGCACCUCUUUUUGCCAAAAUUUCGUGUUCUUUUUGUUAAUUAGCGUAAUUUUACGUCGUUUUUGAAAAAUAAACUUCGAUUGUAUUUCAUUUUUUCCGUUAAUUUACGCUACCUAACACUCUAUUAGUUAAUUAAUUAGCGUAGUUUGACGUCUUUUUUGAAAAAUAAAUUAGAAAUGCAUAUAUACAAUUACAACGCUUUACUCUCAGGUGCGAUCAUACCAGCACUAAUGCACCGGAUCCCAUCAGAACUCCGCAGUUAAGCGUGCUUGGGCGAGAGUAGUACUAGGAUGGGUGACCUCCUGGGAAGUCCUUGUGUUGCACCUCUUUUUGCCAAAAUUUCGUGUUCUUUUUGUUAAUUAGCGUAAUUUUACGUCGUUCCGUUAAUUUACGCUACCUAACACUCUAUUAGUUAAUUAAUUAGCGUAGUUUGACGUCUUUUUUGAAAAAUAAAUUAGAAAUGCAUAUAUACAAUUACAACGCUUUACUCUCAGGUGCGAUCAUACCAGCACUAAUGCACCGGAUCCCAUCAGAACUCCGCAGUUAAGCGUGCUUGGGCGAGAGUAGUACUAGGAUGGGUGACCUCCUGGGAAGUCCUUGUGUUGCACCUCUUUUUGCCAAAAUUUCGUGUUCUUUUUGUUAAUUAGCGUAAUUUUACGUCGUUUUUGAAAAAUAAACUUCGAUUGUAUUUCAUUUUUUCCGUUAAUUUACGCUACCUAACACUCUAUUAGUUAAUUAAUUAGCGUAGUUUGACGUCUUUUUUGAAAAAUAAAUUAGAAAUGCAUAUAUACAAUUACAACGCUUUACUCUCAGGUGCGAUCAUACCAGCACUAAUGCACCGGAUCCCAUCAGAACUCCGCAGUUAAGCGUGCUUGGGCGAGAGUAGUACUAGGAUGGGUGACCUCCUGGGAAGUCCUUGUGUUGCACCUCUUUUUGCCAAAAUUUCGUGUUCUUUUUGUUAAUUAGCGUAAUUUUACGUCGUUCCGUUAAUUUACGCUACCUAACACUCUAUUAGUUAAUUAAUUAGCGUAGUUUGACGUCUUUUUUGAAAAAUAAAUUAGAAAUGCAUAUAUACAAUUACAACGCUUUACUCUCAGGUGCGAUCAUACCAGCACUAAUGCACCGGAUCCCAUCAGAACUCCGCAGUUAAGCGUGCUUGGGCGAGAGUAGUACUAGGAUGGGUGACCUCCUGGGAAGUCCUUGUGUUGCACCUCUUUUUGCCAAAAUUUCGUGUUCUUUUUGUUAAUUAGCGUAAUUUUACGUCGUUCCGUUAAUUUACGCUACCUAACACUCUAUUAGUUAAUUAAUUAGCGUAGUUUGACGUCUUUUUUGAAAAAUAAAUUAGAAAUGCAUAUAUACAAUUACAACGCUUUACUCUCAGGUGCGAUCAUACCAGCACUAAUGCACCGGAUCCCAUCAGAACUCCGCAGUUAAGCGUGCUUGGGCGAGAGUAGUACUAGGAUGGGUGACCUCCUGGGAAGUCCUUGUGUUGCACCUCUUUUUGCCAAAAUUUCGUGUUCUUUUUGUUAAUUAGCGUAAUUUUACGUCGUUCCGUUAAUUUACGCUACCUAACACUCUAUUAGUUAAUUAAUUAGCGUAGUUUGACGUCUUUUUUGAAAAAUAAAUUAGAAAUGCAUAUAUACAAUUACAACGCUUUACUCUCAGGUGCGAUCAUACCAGCACUAAUGCACCGGAUCCCAUCAGAACUCCGCAGUUAAGCGUGCUUGGGCGAGAGUAGUACUAGGAUGGGUGACCUCCUGGGAAGUCCUUGUGUUGCACCUCUUUUUGCCAAAAUUUCGUGUUCUUUUUGUUAAUUAGCGUAAUUUUACGUCGUUCCGUUAAUUUACGCUACCUAACACUCUAUUAGUUAAUUAAUUAGCGUAGUUUGACGUCUUUUUUGAAAAAUAAAUUAGAAAUGCAUAUAUACAAUUACAACGCUUUACUCUCAGGUGCGAUCAUACCAGCACUAAUGCACCGGAUCCCAUCAGAACUCCGCAGUUAAGCGUGCUUGGGCGAGAGUAGUACUAGGAUGGGUGACCUCCUGGGAAGUCCUUGUGUUGCACCUCUUUUUGCCAAAAUUUCGUGUUCUUUUUGUUAAUUAGCGUAAUUUUACGUCGUUCCGUUAAUUUACGCUACCUAACACUCUAUUAGUUAAUUAAUUAGCGUAGUUUGACGUCUUUUUUGAAAAAUAAAUUAGAAAUGCAUAUAUACAAUUACAACGCUUUACUCUCAGGUGCGAUCAUACCAGCACUAAUGCACCGGAUCCCAUCAGAACUCCGCAGUUAAGCGUGCUUGGGCGAGAGUAGUACUAGGAUGGGUGACCUCCUGGGAAGUCCUUGUGUUGCACCUCUUUUUGCCAAAAUUUCGUGUUCUUUUUGUUAAUUAGCGUAAUUUUACGUCGUUUUUGAAAAAUAAACUUCGAUUGUAUUUCAUUUUUUCCGUUAAUUUACGCUACCUAACACUCUAUUAGUUAAUUAAUUAGCGUAGUUUGACGUCUUUUUUGAAAAAUAAAUUAGAAAUGCAUAUAUACAAUUACAACGCUUUACUCUCAGGUGCGAUCAUACCAGCACUAAUGCACCGGAUCCCAUCAGAACUCCGCAGUUAAGCGUGCUUGGGCGAGAGUAGUACUAGGAUGGGUGACCUCCUGGGAAGUCCUUGUGUUGCACCUCUUUUUGCCAAAAUUUCGUGUUCUUUUUGUUAAUUAGCGUAAUUUUACGUCGUUCCGUUAAUUUACGCUACCUAACACUCUAUUAGUUAAUUAAUUAGCGUAGUUUGACGUCUUUUUUGAAAAAUAAAUUAGAAAUGCAUAUAUACAAUUACAACGCUUUACUCUCAGGUGCGAUCAUACCAGCACUAAUGCACCGGAUCCCAUCAGAACUCCGCAGUUAAGCGUGCUUGGGCGAGAGUAGUACUAGGAUGGGUGACCUCCUGGGAAGUCCUUGUGUUGCACCUCUUUUUGCCAAAAUUUCGUGUUCUUUUUGUUAAUUAGCGUAAUUUUACGUCGUUCCGUUAAUUUACGCUACCUAACACUCUAUUAGUUAAUUAAUUAGCGUAGUUUGACGUCUUUUUUGAAAAAUAAAUUAGAAAUGCAUAUAUACAAUUACAACGCUUUACUCUCAGGUGCGAUCAUACCAGCACUAAUGCACCGGAUCCCAUCAGAACUCCGCAGUUAAGCGUGCUUGGGCGAGAGUAGUACUAGGAUGGGUGACCUCCUGGGAAGUCCUUGUGUUGCACCUCUUUUUGCCAAAAUUUCGUGUUCUUUUUGUUAAUUAGCGUAAUUUUACGUCGUUCCGUUAAUUUACGCUACCUAACACUCUAUUAGUUAAUUAAUUAGCGUAGUUUGACGUCUUUUUUGAAAAAUAAAUUAGAAAUGCAUAUAUACAAUUACAACGCUUUACUCUCAGGUGCGAUCAUACCAGCACUAAUGCACCGGAUCCCAUCAGAACUCCGCAGUUAAGCGUGCUUGGGCGAGAGUAGUACUAGGAUGGGUGACCUCCUGGGAAGUCCUUGUGUUGCACCUCUUUUUGCCAAAAUUUCGUGUUCUUUUUGUUAAUUAGCGUAAUUUUACGUCGUUCCGUUAAUUUACGCUACCUAACACUCUAUUAGUUAAUUAAUUAGCGUAGUUUGACGUCUUUUUUGAAAAAUAAAUUAGAAAUGCAUAUAUACAAUUACAACGCUUUACUCUCAGGUGCGAUCAUACCAGCACUAAUGCACCGGAUCCCAUCAGAACUCCGCAGUUAAGCGUGCUUGGGCGAGAGUAGUACUAGGAUGGGUGACCUCCUGGGAAGUCCUUGUGUUGCACCUCUUUUUGCCAAAAUUUCGUGUUCUUUUUGUUAAUUAGCGUAAUUUUACGUCGUUUUUGAAAAAUAAACUUCGAUUGUAUUUCAUUUUUUCCGUUAAUUUACGCUACCUAACACUCUAUUAGUUAAUUAAUUAGCGUAGUUUGACGUCUUUUUUGAAAAAUAAAUUAGAAAUGCAUAUAUACAAUUACAACGCUUUACUCUCAGGUGCGAUCAUACCAGCACUAAUGCACCGGAUCCCAUCAGAACUCCGCAGUUAAGCGUGCUUGGGCGAGAGUAGUACUAGGAUGGGUGACCUCCUGGGAAGUCCUUGUGUUGCACCUCUUUUUGCCAAAAUUUCGUGUUCUUUUUGUUAAUUAGCGUAAUUUUACGUCGUUCCGUUAAUUUACGCUACCUAACACUCUAUUAGUUAAUUAAUUAGCGUAGUUUGACGUCUUUUUUGAAAAAUAAAUUAGAAAUGCAUAUAUACAAUUACAACGCUUUACUCUCAGGUGCGAUCAUACCAGCACUAAUGCACCGGAUCCCAUCAGAACUCCGCAGUUAAGCGUGCUUGGGCGAGAGUAGUACUAGGAUGGGUGACCUCCUGGGAAGUCCUUGUGUUGCACCUCUUUUUGCCAAAAUUUCGUGUUCUUUUUGUUAAUUAGCGUAAUUUUACGUCGUUUUGAAAAUAACUUCGAUUGUAUUUCAUUUUUUCCGUUAAUUUACGCUACCUAACACUCUAUUAGUUAAUUAAUUAGCGUAGUUUGACGUCUUUUUUGAAAAAUAAAUUAGAAAUGCAUAUAUACAAUUACAACGCUUUACUCUCAGGUGCGAUCAUACCAGCACUAAUGCACCGGAUCCCAUCAGAACUCCGCAGUUAAGCGUGCUUGGGCGAGAGUAGUACUAGGAUGGGUGACCUCCUGGGAAGUCCUUGUGUUGCACCUCUUUUUGCCAAAAUUUCGUGUUCUUUUUGUUAAUUAGCGUAAUUUUACGUCGUUCCGUUAAUUUACGCUACCUAACACUCUAUUAGUUAAUUAAUUAGCGUAGUUUGACGUCUUUUUUGAAAAAUAAAUUAGAAAUGCAUAUAUACAAUUACAACGCUUUACUCUCAGGUGCGAUCAUACCAGCACUAAUGCACCGGAUCCCAUCAGAACUCCGCAGUUAAGCGUGCUUGGGCGAGAGUAGUACUAGGAUGGGUGACCUCCUGGGAAGUCCUUGUGUUGCACCUCUUUUUGCCAAAAUUUCGUGUUCUUUUUGUUAAUUAGCGUAAUUUUACGUCGUUCCGUUAAUUUACGCUACCUAACACUCUAUUAGUUAAUUAAUUAGCGUAGUUUGACGUCUUUUUUGAAAAAUAAAUUAGAAAUGCAUAUAUACAAUUACAACGCUUUACUCUCAGGUGCGAUCAUACCAGCACUAAUGCACCGGAUCCCAUCAGAACUCCGCAGUUAAGCGUGCUUGGGCGAGAGUAGUACUAGGAUGGGUGACCUCCUGGGAAGUCCUUGUGUUGCACCUCUUUUUGCCAAAAUUUCGUGUUCUUUUUGUUAAUUAGCGUAAUUUUACGUCGUUCCGUUAAUUUACGCUACCUAACACUCUAUUAGUUAAUUAAUUAGCGUAGUUUGACGUCUUUUUUGAAAAAUAAAUUAGAAAUGCAUAUAUACAAUUACAACGCUUUACUCUCAGGUGCGAUCAUACCAGCACUAAUGCACCGGAUCCCAUCAGAACUCCGCAGUUAAGCGUGCUUGGGCGAGAGUAGUACUAGGAUGGGUGACCUCCUGGGAAGUCCUUGUGUUGCACCUCUUUUUGCCAAAAUUUCGUGUUCUUUUUGUUAAUUAGCGUAAUUUUACGUCGUUUUUGAAAAAUAAACUUCGAUUGUAUUUCAUUUUUUCCGUUAAUUUACGCUACCUAACACUCUAUUAGUUAAUUAAUUAGCGUAGUUUGACGUCUUUUUUGAAAAAUAAAUUAGAAAUGCAUAUAUACAAUUACAACGCUUUACUCUCAGGUGCGAUCAUACCAGCACUAAUGCACCGGAUCCCAUCAGAACUCCGCAGUUAAGCGUGCUUGGGCGAGAGUAGUACUAGGAUGGGUGACCUCCUGGGAAGUCCUUGUGUUGCACCUCUUUUUGCCAAAAUUUCGUGUUCUUUUUGUUAAUUAGCGUAAUUUUACGUCGUUCCGUUAAUUUACGCUACCUAACACUCUAUUAGUUAAUUAAUUAGCGUAGUUUGACGUCUUUUUUGAAAAAUAAAUUAGAAAUGCAUAUAUACAAUUACAACGCUUUACUCUCAGGUGCGAUCAUACCAGCACUAAUGCACCGGAUCCCAUCAGAACUCCGCAGUUAAGCGUGCUUGGGCGAGAGUAGUACUAGGAUGGGUGACCUCCUGGGAAGUCCUUGUGUUGCACCUCUUUUUGCCAAAAUUUCGUGUUCUUUUUGUUAAUUAGCGUAAUUUUACGUCGUUCCGUUAAUUUACGCUACCUAACACUCUAUUAGUUAAUUAAUUAGCGUAGUUUGACGUCUUUUUUGAAAAAUAAAUUAGAAAUGCAUAUAUACAAUUACAACGCUUUACUCUCAGGUGCGAUCAUACCAGCACUAAUGCACCGGAUCCCAUCAGAACUCCGCAGUUAAGCGUGCUUGGGCGAGAGUAGUACUAGGAUGGGUGACCUCCUGGGAAGUCCUUGUGUUGCACCUCUUUUUGCCAAAAUUUCGUGUUCUUUUUGUUAAUUAGCGUAAUUUUACGUCGUUCCGUUAAUUUACGCUACCUAACACUCUAUUAGUUAAUUAAUUAGCGUAGUUUGACGUCUUUUUUGAAAAAUAAAUUAGAAAUGCAUAUAUACAAUUACAACGCUUUACUCUCAGGUGCGAUCAUACCAGCACUAAUGCACCGGAUCCCAUCAGAACUCCGCAGUUAAGCGUGCUUGGGCGAGAGUAGUACUAGGAUGGGUGACCUCCUGGGAAGUCCUUGUGUUGCACCUCUUUUUGCCAAAAUUUCGUGUUCUUUUUGUUAAUUAGCGUAAUUUUACGUCGUUCCGUUAAUUUACGCUACCUAACACUCUAUUAGUUAAUUAAUUAGCGUAGUUUGACGUCUUUUUUGAAAAAUAAAUUAGAAAUGCAUAUAUACAAUUACAACGCUUUACUCUCAGGUGCGAUCAUACCAGCACUAAUGCACCGGAUCCCAUCAGAACUCCGCAGUUAAGCGUGCUUGGGCGAGAGUAGUACUAGGAUGGGUGACCUCCUGGGAAGUCCUUGUGUUGCACCUCUUUUUGCCAAAAUUUCGUGUUCUUUUUGUUAAUUAGCGUAAUUUUACGUCGUUUUUGAAAAAUAAACUUCGAUUGUAUUUCAUUUUUUCCGUUAAUUUACGCUACCUAACACUCUAUUAGUUAAUUAAUUAGCGUAGUUUGACGUCUUUUUUGAAAAAUAAAUUAGAAAUGCAUAUAUACAAUUACAACGCUUUACUCUCAGGUGCGAUCAUACCAGCACUAAUGCACCGGAUCCCAUCAGAACUCCGCAGUUAAGCGUGCUUGGGCGAGAGUAGUACUAGGAUGGGUGACCUCCUGGGAAGUCCUUGUGUUGCACCUCUUUUUGCCAAAAUUUCGUGUUCUUUUUGUUAAUUAGCGUAAUUUUACGUCGUUCCGUUAAUUUACGCUACCUAACACUCUAUUAGUUAAUUAAUUAGCGUAGUUUGACGUCUUUUUUGAAAAAUAAAUUAGAAAUGCAUAUAUACAAUUACAACGCUUUACUCUCAGGUGCGAUCAUACCAGCACUAAUGCACCGGAUCCCAUCAGAACUCCGCAGUUAAGCGUGCUUGGGCGAGAGUAGUACUAGGAUGGGUGACCUCCUGGGAAGUCCUUGUGUUGCACCUCUUUUUGCCAAAAUUUCGUGUUCUUUUUGUUAAUUAGCGUAAUUUUACGUCGUUUUUGAAAAUAAACUUCGAUUGUAUUUCAUUUUUCCGUUAAUUUACGCUACCUAACACUCUAUUAGUUAAUUAAUUAGCGUAGUUUGACGUCUUUUUUGAAAAAUAAAUUAGAAAUGCAUAUAUACAAUUACAACGCUUUACUCUCAGGUGCGAUCAUACCAGCACUAAUGCACCGGAUCCCAUCAGAACUCCGCAGUUAAGCGUGCUUGGGCGAGAGUAGUACUAGGAUGGGUGACCUCCUGGGAAGUCCUUGUGUUGCACCUCUUUUUGCCAAAAUUUCGUGUUCUUUUUGUUAAUUAGCGUAAUUUUACGUCGUUCCGUUAAUUUACGCUACCUAACACUCUAUUAGUUAAUUAAUUAGCGUAGUUUGACGUCUUUUUUGAAAAAUAAAUUAGAAAUGCAUAUAUACAAUUACAACGCUUUACUCUCAGGUGCGAUCAUACCAGCACUAAUGCACCGGAUCCCAUCAGAACUCCGCAGUUAAGCGUGCUUGGGCGAGAGUAGUACUAGGAUGGGUGACCUCCUGGGAAGUCCUUGUGUUGCACCUCUUUUUGCCAAAAUUUCGUGUUCUUUUUGUUAAUUAGCGUAAUUUUACGUCGUUCCGUUAAUUUACGCUACCUAACACUCUAUUAGUUAAUUAAUUAGCGUAGUUUGACGUCUUUUUUGAAAAAUAAAUUAGAAAUGCAUAUAUACAAUUACAACGCUUUACUCUCAGGUGCGAUCAUACCAGCACUAAUGCACCGGAUCCCAUCAGAACUCCGCAGUUAAGCGUGCUUGGGCGAGAGUAGUACUAGGAUGGGUGACCUCCUGGGAAGUCCUUGUGUUGCACCUCUUUUUGCCAAAAUUUCGUGUUCUUUUUGUUAAUUAGCGUAAUUUUACGUCGUUCCGUUAAUUUACGCUACCUAACACUCUAUUAGUUAAUUAAUUAGCGUAGUUUGACGUCUUUUUUGAAAAAUAAAUUAGAAAUGCAUAUAUACAAUUACAACGCUUUACUCUCAGGUGCGAUCAUACCAGCACUAAUGCACCGGAUCCCAUCAGAACUCCGCAGUUAAGCGUGCUUGGGCGAGAGUAGUACUAGGAUGGGUGACCUCCUGGGAAGUCCUUGUGUUGCACCUCUUUUUGCCAAAAUUUCGUGUUCUUUUUGUUAAUUAGCGUAAUUUUACGUCGUUCCGUUAAUUUACGCUACCUAACACUCUAUUAGUUAAUUAAUUAGCGUAGUUUGACGUCUUUUUUGAAAAAUAAAUUAGAAAUGCAUAUAUACAAUUACAACGCUUUACUCUCAGGUGCGAUCAUACCAGCACUAAUGCACCGGAUCCCAUCAGAACUCCGCAGUUAAGCGUGCUUGGGCGAGAGUAGUACUAGGAUGGGUGACCUCCUGGGAAGUCCUUGUGUUGCACCUCUUUUUGCCAAAAUUUCGUGUUCUUUUUGUUAAUUAGCGUAAUUUUACGUCGUUUUUGAAAAUAAACUUCGAUUGUAUUUCAUUUUUUCCGUUAAUUUACGCUACCUAACACUCUAUUAGUUAAUUAAUUAGCGUAGUUUGACGUCUUUUUUGAAAAAUAAAUUAGAAAUGCAUAUAUACAAUUACAACGCUUUACUCUCAGGUGCGAUCAUACCAGCACUAAUGCACCGGAUCCCAUCAGAACUCCGCAGUUAAGCGUGCUUGGGCGAGAGUAGUACUAGGAUGGGUGACCUCCUGGGAAGUCCUUGUGUUGCACCUCUUUUUGCCAAAAUUUCGUGUUCUUUUUGUUAAUUAGCGUAAUUUUACGUCGUUCCGUUAAUUUACGCUACCUAACACUCUAUUAGUUAAUUAAUUAGCGUAGUUUGACGUCUUUUUUGAAAAAUAAAUUAGAAAUGCAUAUAUACAAUUACAACGCUUUACUCUCAGGUGCGAUCAUACCAGCACUAAUGCACCGGAUCCCAUCAGAACUCCGCAGUUAAGCGUGCUUGGGCGAGAGUAGUACUAGGAUGGGGGACCUCCUGGGAAGUCCUUGUGUUGCACCUCUUUUUGCCAAAAUUUCGUGUUCUUUUUGUUAAUUAGCGUAAUUUUACGUCGUUCCGUUAAUUUACGCUACCUAACACUCUAUUAGUUAAUUAAUUAGCGUAGUUUGACGUCUUUUUUGAAAAAUAAAUUAGAAAUGCAUAUAUACAAUUACAACGCUUUACUCUCAGGUGCGAUCAUACCAGCACUAAUGCACCGGAUCCCAUCAGAACUCCGCAGUUAAGCGUGCUUGGGCGAGAGUAGUACUAGGAUGGGUGACCUCCUGGGAAGUCCUUGUGUUGCACCUCUUUUUGCCAAAAUUUCGUGUUCUUUUUGUUAAUUAGCGUAAUUUUACGUCGUUCCGUUAAUUUACGCUACCUAACACUCUAUUAGUUAAUUAAUUAGCGUAGUUUGACGUCUUUUUUGAAAAAUAAAUUAGAAAUGCAUAUAUACAAUUACAACGCUUUACUCUCAGGUGCGAUCAUACCAGCACUAAUGCACCGGAUCCCAUCAGAACUCCGCAGUUAAGCGUGCUUGGGCGAGAGUAGUACUAGGAUGGGUGACCUCCUGGGAAGUCCUUGUGUUGCACCUCUUUUUGCCAAAAUUUCGUGUUCUUUUUGUUAAUUAGCGUAAUUUUACGUCGUUCCGUUAAUUUACGCUACCUAACACUCUAUUAGUUAAUUAAUUAGCGUAGUUUGACGUCUUUUUUGAAAAAUAAAUUAGAAAUGCAUAUAUACAAUUACAACGCUUUACUCUCAGGUGCGAUCAUACCAGCACUAAUGCACCGGAUCCCAUCAGAACUCCGCAGUUAAGCGUGCUUGGGCGAGAGUAGUACUAGGAUGGGUGACCUCCUGGGAAGUCCUUGUGUUGCACCUCUUUUUGCCAAAAUUUCGUGUUCUUUUUGUUAAUUAGCGUAAUUUUACGUCGUUCCGUUAAUUUACGCUACCUAACACUCUAUUAGUUAAUUAAUUAGCGUAGUUUGACGUCUUUUUUGAAAAUAAAUUAGAAAUGCAUAUAUACAAUUACAACGCUUUACUCUCAGGUGCGAUCAUACCAGCACUAAUGCACCGGAUCCCAUCAGAACUCCGCAGUUAAGCGUGCUUGGGCGAGAGUAGUACUAGGAUGGGUGACCUCCUGGGAAGUCCUUGUGUUGCACCUCUUUUUGCCAAAAUUUCGUGUUCUUUUUGUUAAUUAGCGUAAUUUUACGUCGUUUUGAAAAUAAACUUCGAUUGUAUUUCAUUUUUCCGUUAAUUUACGCUACCUAACACUCUAUUAGUUAAUUAAUUAGCGUAGUUUGACGUCUUUUUUGAAAAAUAAAUUAGAAAUGCAUAUAUACAAUUACAACGCUUUACUCUCAGGUGCGAUCAUACCAGCACUAAUGCACCGGAUCCCAUCAGAACUCCGCAGUUAAGCGUGCUUGGGCGAGAGUAGUACUAGGAUGGGUGACCUCCUGGGAAGUCCUUGUGUUGCACCUCUUUUUGCCAAAAUUUCGUGUUCUUUUUGUUAAUUAGCGUAAUUUUACGUCGUUCCGUUAAUUUACGCUACCUAACACUCUAUUAGUUAAUUAAUUAGCGUAGUUUGACGUCUUUUUUGAAAAAUAAAUUAGAAAUGCAUAUAUACAAUUACAACGCUUUACUCUCAGGUGCGAUCAUACCAGCACUAAUGCACCGGAUCCCAUCAGAACUCCGCAGUUAAGCGUGCUUGGGCGAGAGUAGUACUAGGAUGGGUGACCUCCUGGGAAGUCCUUGUGUUGCACCUCUUUUUGCCAAAAUUUCGUGUUCUUUUUGUUAAUUAGCGUAAUUUUACGUCGUUCCGUUAAUUUACGCUACCUAACACUCUAUUAGUUAAUUAAUUAGCGUAGUUUGACGUCUUUUUUGAAAAAUAAAUUAGAAAUGCAUAUAUACAAUUACAACGCUUUACUCUCAGGUGCGAUCAUACCAGCACUAAUGCACCGGAUCCCAUCAGAACUCCGCAGUUAAGCGUGCUUGGGCGAGAGUAGUACUAGGAUGGGUGACCUCCUGGGAAGUCCUUGUGUUGCACCUCUUUUUGCCAAAAUUUCGUGUUCUUUUUGUUAAUUAGCGUAAUUUUACGUCGUUCCGUUAAUUUACGCUACCUAACACUCUAUUAGUUAAUUAAUUAGCGUAGUUUGACGUCUUUUUUGAAAAAUAAAUUAGAAAUGCAUAUAUACAAUUACAACGCUUUACUCUCAGGUGCGAUCAUACCAGCACUAAUGCACCGGAUCCCAUCAGAACUCCGCAGUUAAGCGUGCUUGGGCGAGAGUAGUACUAGGAUGGGUGACCUCCUGGGAAGUCCUUGUGUUGCACCUCUUUUUGCCAAAAUUUCGUGUUCUUUUUGUUAAUUAGCGUAAUUUUACGUCGUUCCGUUAAUUUACGCUACCUAACACUCUAUUAGUUAAUUAAUUAGCGUAGUUUGACGUCUUUUUUGAAAAAUAAAUUAGAAAUGCAUAUAUACAAUUACAACGCUUUACUCUCAGGUGCGAUCAUACCAGCACUAAUGCACCGGAUCCCAUCAGAACUCCGCAGUUAAGCGUGCUUGGGCGAGAGUAGUACUAGGAUGGGUGACCUCCUGGAAGUCCUUGUGUUGCACCUCUUUUUGCCAAAAUUUCGUGUUCUUUUUGUUAAUUAGCGUAAUUUUACGUCGUUCCGUUAAUUUACGCUACCUAACACUCUAUUAGUUAAUUAAUUAGCGUAGUUUGACGUCUUUUUUGAAAAAUAAAUUAGAAAUGCAUAUAUACAAUUACAACGCUUUACUCUCAGGUGCGAUCAUACCAGCACUAAUGCACCGGAUCCCAUCAGAACUCCGCAGUUAAGCGUGCUUGGGCGAGAGUAGUACUAGGAUGGGUGACCUCCUGGGAAGUCCUUGUGUUGCACCUCUUUUUGCCAAAAUUUCGUGUUCUUUUUGUUAAUUAGCGUAAUUUUACGUCGUUUUUGAAAAAUAAACUUCGAUUGUAUUUCAUUUUUUCCGUUAAUUUACGCUACCUAACACUCUAUUAGUUAAUUAAUUAGCGUAGUUUGACGUCUUUUUUGAAAAAUAAAUUAGAAAUGCAUAUAUACAAUUACAACGCUUUACUCUCAGGUGCGAUCAUACCAGCACUAAUGCACCGGAUCCCAUCAGAACUCCGCAGUUAAGCGUGCUUGGGCGAGAGUAGUACUAGGAUGGGUGACCUCCUGGGAAGUCCUUGUGUUGCACCUCUUUUUGCCAAAAUUUCGUGUUCUUUUUGUUAAUUAGCGUAAUUUUACGUCGUUCCGUUAAUUUACGCUACCUAACACUCUAUUAGUUAAUUAAUUAGCGUAGUUUGACGUCUUUUUUGAAAAAUAAAUUAGAAAUGCAUAUAUACAAUUACAACGCUUUACUCUCAGGUGCGAUCAUACCAGCACUAAUGCACCGGAUCCCAUCAGAACUCCGCAGUUAAGCGUGCUUGGGCGAGAGUAGUACUAGGAUGGGUGACCUCCUGGGAAGUCCUUGUGUUGCACCUCUUUUUGCCAAAAUUUCGUGUUCUUUUUGUUAAUUAGCGUAAUUUUACGUCGUUCCGUUAAUUUACGCUACCUAACACUCUAUUAGUUAAUUAAUUAGCGUAGUUUGACGUCUUUUUUGAAAAAUAAAUUAGAAAUGCAUAUAUACAAUUACAACGCUUUACUCUCAGGUGCGAUCAUACCAGCACUAAUGCACCGGAUCCCAUCAGAACUCGCAGUUAAGCGUGCUUGGGCGAGAGUAGUACUAGGAUGGGUGACCUCCUGGGAAGUCCUUGUGUUGCACCUCUUUUUGCCAAAAUUUCGUGUUCUUUUUGUUAAUUAGCGUAAUUUUACGUCGUUCCGUUAAUUUACGCUACCUAACACUCUAUUAGUUAAUUAAUUAGCGUAGUUUGACGUCUUUUUUGAAAAAUAAAUUAGAAAUGCAUAUAUACAAUUACAACGCUUUACUCUCAGGUGCGAUCAUACCAGCACUAAUGCACCGGAUCCCAUCAGAACUCCGCAGUUAAGCGUGCUUGGGCGAGAGUAGUACUAGGAUGGGUGACCUCCUGGGAAGUCCUUGUGUUGCACCUCUUUUUGCCAAAAUUUCGUGUUCUUUUUGUUAAUUAGCGUAAUUUUACGUCGUUUUUGAAAAAUAAACUUCGAUUGUAUUUCAUUUUUUCCGUUAAUUUACGCUACCUAACACUCUAUUAGUUAAUUAAUUAGCGUAGUUUGACGUCUUUUUUGAAAAAUAAAUUAGAAAUGCAUAUAUACAAUUACAACGCUUUACUCUCAGGUGCGAUCAUACCAGCACUAAUGCACCGGAUCCCAUCAGAACUCCGCAGUUAAGCGUGCUUGGGCGAGAGUAGUACUAGGAUGGGUGACCUCCUGGGAAGUCCUUGUGUUGCACCUCUUUUUGCCAAAAUUUCGUGUUCUUUUUGUUAAUUAGCGUAAUUUUACGUCGUUCCGUUAAUUUACGCUACCUAACACUCUAUUAGUUAAUUAAUUAGCGUAGUUUGACGUCUUUUUUGAAAAAUAAAUUAGAAAUGCAUAUAUACAAUUACAACGCUUUACUCUCAGGUGCGAUCAUACCAGCACUAAUGCACCGGAUCCCAUCAGAACUCCGCAGUUAAGCGUGCUUGGGCGAGAGUAGUACUAGGAUGGGUGACCUCCUGGGAAGUCCUUGUGUUGCACCUCUUUUUGCCAAAAUUUCGUGUUCUUUUUGUUAAUUAGCGUAAUUUUACGUCGUUCCGUUAAUUUACGCUACCUAACACUCUAUUAGUUAAUUAAUUAGCGUAGUUUGACGUCUUUUUUGAAAAAUAAAUUAGAAAUGCAUAUAUACAAUUACAACGCUUUACUCUCAGGUGCGAUCAUACCAGCACUAAUGCACCGGAUCCCAUCAGAACUCCGCAGUUAAGCGUGCUUGGGCGAGAGAGUACUAGGAUGGGUGACCUCCUGGGAAGUCCUUGUGUUGCACCUCUUUUUGCCAAAAUUUCGUGUUCUUUUUGUUAAUUAGCGUAAUUUUACGUCGUUGUCCGAUGUAUUAUCGUUUACGCUACCUAACACUCUAUUAGUUAAUUAAUUAGCGUAGUUUGACGUCUUUUUUGAAAAAUAAAUUAGAAAUGCAUAUAUACAAUUACAACGCUUUACUCUCAGGUGCGAUCAUACCAGCACUAAUGCACCGGAUCCCAUCAGAACUCCGCAGUUAAGCGUGCUUGGGCGAGAGUAGUACUAGGAUGGGUGACCUCCUGGGAAGUCCUUGUGUUGCACCUCUUUUUGCCAAAAUUUCGUGUUCUUUUUGUUAAUUAGCGUAAUUUUACGUCGUUCCGUUAAUUUACGCUACCUAACACUCUAUUAGUUAAUUAAUUAGCGUAGUUUGACGUCUUUUUUGAAAAAUAAAUUAGAAAUGCAUAUAUACAAUUACAACGCUUUACUCUCAGGUGCGAUCAUACCAGCACUAAUGCACCGGAUCCCAUCAGAACUCCGCAGUUAAGCGUGCUUGGGCGAGAGUAGUACUAGGAUGGGUGACCUCCUGGGAAGUCCUUGUGUUGCACCUCUUUUUGCCAAAAUUUCGUGUUCUUUUUGUUAAUUAGCGUAAUUUUACGUCGUUUUUGAAAAAUAAACUUCGAUUGUAUUUCAUUUUUUCCGUUAAUUUACGCUACCUAACACUCUAUUAGUUAAUUAAUUAGCGUAGUUUGACGUCUUUUUUGAAAAAUAAAUUAGAAAUGCAUAUAUACAAUUACAACGCUUUACUCUCAGGUGCGAUCAUACCAGCACUAAUGCACCGGAUCCCAUCAGAACUCCGCAGUUAAGCGUGCUUGGGCGAGAGUAGUACUAGGAUGGGUGACCUCCUGGGAAGUCCUUGUGUUGCACCUCUUUUUGCCAAAAUUUCGUGUUCUUUUUGUUAAUUAGCGUAAUUUUACGUCGUUCCGUUAAUUUACGCUACCUAACACUCUAUUAGUUAAUUAAUUAGCGUAGUUUGACGUCUUUUUUGAAAAAUAAAUUAGAAAUGCAUAUAUACAAUUACAACGCUUUACUCUCAGGUGCGAUCAUACCAGCACUAAUGCACCGGAUCCCAUCAGAACUCCGCAGUUAAGCGUGCUUGGGCGAGAGUAGUACUAGGAUGGGUGACCUCCUGGGAAGUCCUUGUGUUGCACCUCUUUUUGCCAAAAUUUCGUGUUCUUUUUGUUAAUUAGCGUAAUUUUACGUCGUUCCGUUAAUUUACGCUACCUAACACUCUAUUAGUUAAUUAAUUAGCGUAGUUUGACGUCUUUUUUGAAAAAUAAAUUAGAAAUGCAUAUAUACAAUUACAACGCUUUACUCUCAGGUGCGAUCAUACCAGCACUAAUGCACCGGAUCCCAUCAGAACUCCGCAGUUAAGCGUGCUUGGGCGAGAGUAGUACUAGGAUGGGUGACCUCCUGGGAAGUCCUUGUGUUGCACCUCUUUUUGCCAAAAUUUCGUGUUCUUUUUGUUAAUUAGCGUAAUUUUACGUCGUUCCGUUAAUUUACGCUACCUAACACUCUAUUAGUUAAUUAAUUAGCGUAGUUUGACGUCUUUUUUGAAAAAUAAAUUAGAAAUGCAUAUAUACAAUUACAACGCUUUACUCUCAGGUGCGAUCAUACCAGCACUAAUGCACCGGAUCCCAUCAGAACUCCGCAGUUAAGCGUGCUUGGGCGAGAGUAGUACUAGGAUGGGUGACCUCCUGGGAAGUCCUUGUGUUGCACCUCUUUUUGCCAAAAUUUCGUGUUCUUUUUGUUAAUUAGCGUAAUUUUACGUCGUUCCGUUAAUUUACGCUACCUAACACUCUAUUAGUUAAUUAAUUAGCGUAGUUUGACGUCUUUUUUGAAAAAUAAAUUAGAAAUGCAUAUAUACAAUUACAACGCUUUACUCUCAGGUGCGAUCAUACCAGCACUAAUGCACCGGAUCCCAUCAGAACUCCGCAGUUAAGCGUGCUUGGGCGAGAGUAGUACUAGGAUGGGUGACCUCCUGGGAAGUCCUUGUGUUGCACCUCUUUUUGCCAAAAUUUCGUGUUCUUUUUGUUAAUUAGCGUAAUUUUACGUCGUUUUUGAAAAAUAAACUUCGAUUGUAUUUCAUUUUUUCCGUUAAUUUACGCUACCUAACACUCUAUUAGUUAAUUAAUUAGCGUAGUUUGACGUCUUUUUUGAAAAAUAAAUUAGAAAUGCAUAUAUACAAUUACAACGCUUUACUCUCAGGUGCGAUCAUACCAGCACUAAUGCACCGGAUCCCAUCAGAACUCCGCAGUUAAGCGUGCUUGGGCGAGAGUAGUACUAGGAUGGGUGACCUCCUGGGAAGUCCUUGUGUUGCACCUCUUUUUGCCAAAAUUUCGUGUUCUUUUUGUUAAUUAGCGUAAUUUUACGUCGUUCCGUUAAUUUACGCUACCUAACACUCUAUUAGUUAAUUAAUUAGCGUAGUUUGACGUCUUUUUUGAAAAAUAAAUUAGAAAUGCAUAUAUACAAUUACAACGCUUUACUCUCAGGUGCGAUCAUACCAGCACUAAUGCACCGGAUCCCAUCAGAACUCCGCAGUUAAGCGUGCUUGGGCGAGAGUAGUACUAGGAUGGGUGACCUCCUGGGAAGUCCUUGUGUUGCACCUCUUUUUGCCAAAAUUUCGUGUUCUUUUUGUUAAUUAGCGUAAUUUUACGUCGUUCCGUUAAUUUACGCUACCUAACACUCUAUUAGUUAAUUAAUUAGCGUAGUUUGACGUCUUUUUUGAAAAAUAAAUUAGAAAUGCAUAUAUACAAUUACAACGCUUUACUCUCAGGUGCGAUCAUACCAGCACUAAUGCACCGGAUCCCAUCAGAACUCCGCAGUUAAGCGUGCUUGGGCGAGAGUAGUACUAGGAUGGGUGACCUCCUGGGAAGUCCUUGUGUUGCACCUCUUUUUGCCAAAAUUUCGUGUUCUUUUUGUUAAUUAGCGUAAUUUUACGUCGUUCCGUUAAUUUACGCUACCUAACACUCUAUUAGUUAAUUAAUUAGCGUAGUUUGACGUCUUUUUUGAAAAAUAAAUUAGAAAUGCAUAUAUACAAUUACAACGCUUUACUCUCAGGUGCGAUCAUACCAGCACUAAUGCACCGGAUCCCAUCAGAACUCCGCAGUUAAGCGUGCUUGGGCGAGAGUAGUACUAGGAUGGGUGACCUCCUGGGAAGUCCUUGUGUUGCACCUCUUUUUGCCAAAAUUUCGUGUUCUUUUUGUUAAUUAGCGUAAUUUUACGUCGUUUUUGAAAAAUAAACUUCGAUUGUUUCAUUUUUUCCGUUAAUUUACGCUACCUAACACUCUAUUAGUUAAUUAAUUAGCGUAGUUUGACGUCUUUUUUGAAAAAUAAAUUAGAAAUGCAUAUAUACAAUUACAACGCUUUACUCUCAGGUGCGAUCAUACCAGCACUAAUGCACCGGAUCCCAUCAGAACUCCGCAGUUAAGCGUGCUUGGGCGAGAGUAGUACUAGGAUGGGUGACCUCCUGGGAAGUCCUUGUGUUGCACCUCUUUUUGCCAAAAUUUCGUGUUCUUUUUGUUAAUUAGCGUAAUUUUACGUCGUUCCGUUAAUUUACGCUACCUAACACUCUAUUAGUUAAUUAAUUAGCGUAGUUUGACGUCUUUUUGAAAAAUAAAUUAGAAAUGCAUAUAUACAAUUACAACGCUUUACUCUCAGGUGCGAUCAUACCAGCACUAAUGCACCGGAUCCCAUCAGAACUCCGCAGUUAAGCGUGCUUGGGCGAGAGUAGUACUAGGAUGGGUGACCUCCUGGGAAGUCCUUGUGUUGCACCUCUUUUUGCCAAAAUUUCGUGUUCUUUUUGUUAAUUAGCGUAAUUUUACGUCGUUCCGUUAAUUUACGCUACCUAACACUCUAUUAGUUAAUUAAUUAGCGUAGUUUGACGUCUUUUUUGAAAAAUAAAUUAGAAAUGCAUAUAUACAAUUACAACGCUUUACUCUCAGGUGCGAUCAUACCAGCACUAAUGCACCGGAUCCCAUCAGAACUCCGCAGUUAAGCGUGCUUGGGCGAGAGUAGUACUAGGAUGGGUGACCUCCUGGGAAGUCCUUGUGUUGCACCUCUUUUUGCCAAAAUUUCGUGUUCUUUUUGUUAAUUAGCGUAAUUUUACGUCGUUCCGUUAAUUUACGCUACCUAACACUCUAUUAGUUAAUUAAUUAGCGUAGUUUGACGUCUUUUUUGAAAAAUAAAUUAGAAAUGCAUAUAUACAAUUACAACGCUUUACUCUCAGGUGCGAUCAUACCAGCACUAAUGCACCGGAUCCCAUCAGAACUCCGCAGUUAAGCGUGCUUGGGCGAGAGUAGUACUAGGAUGGGUGACCUCCUGGGAAGUCCUUGUGUUGCACCUCUUUUUGCCAAAAUUUCGUGUUCUUUUUGUUAAUUAGCGUAAUUUUACGUCGUUCCGUUAAUUUACGCUACCUAACACUCUAUUAGUUAAUUAAUUAGCGUAGUUUGACGUCUUUUUUGAAAAAUAAAUUAGAAAUGCAUAUAUACAAUUACAACGCUUUACUCUCAGGUGCGAUCAUACCAGCACUAAUGCACCGGAUCCCAUCAGAACUCCGCAGUUAAGCGUGCUUGGGCGAGAGUAGUACUAGGAUGGGUGACCUCCUGGGAAGUCCUUGUGUUGCACCUCUUUUUGCCAAAAUUUCGUGUUCUUUUUGUUAAUUAGCGUAAUUUUACGUCGUUCCGUUAAUUUACGCUACCUAACACUCUAUUAGUUAAUUAAUUAGCGUAGUUUGACGUCUUUUUUGAAAAAUAAAUUAGAAAUGCAUAUAUACAAUUACAACGCUUUACUCUCAGGUGCGAUCAUACCAGCACUAAUGCACCGGAUCCCAUCAGAACUCCGCAGUUAAGCGUGCUUGGGCGAGAGUAGUACUAGGAUGGGUGACCUCCUGGGAAGUCCUUGUGUUGCACCUCUUUUUGCCAAAAUUUCGUGUUCUUUUUGUUAAUUAGCGUAAUUUUACGUCGUUUUUGAAAAUAAACUUCGAUUGUAUUUCAUUUUUCCGUUAAUUUACGCUACCUAACACUCUAUUAGUUAAUUAAUUAGCGUAGUUUGACGUCUUUUUUGAAAAAUAAAUUAGAAAUGCAUAUAUACAAUUACAACGCUUUACUCUCAGGUGCGAUCAUACCAGCACUAAUGCACCGGAUCCCAUCAGAACUCCGCAGUUAAGCGUGCUUGGGCGAGAGUAGUACUAGGAUGGGUGACCUCCUGGGAAGUCCUUGUGUUGCACCUCUUUUUGCCAAAAUUUCGUGUUCUUUUUGUUAAUUAGCGUAAUUUUACGUCGUUCCGUUAAUUUACGCUACCUAACACUCUAUUAGUUAAUUAAUUAGCGUAGUUUGACGUCUUUUUUGAAAAAUAAAUUAGAAAUGCAUAUAUACAAUUACAACGCUUUACUCUCAGGUGCGAUCAUACCAGCACUAAUGCACCGGAUCCCAUCAGAACUCCGCAGUUAAGCGUGCUUGGGCGAGAGAGUACUAGGAUGGGUGACCUCCUGGGAAGUCCUUGUGUUGCACCUCUUUUUGCCAAAAUUUCGUGUUCUUUUUGUUAAUUAGCGUAAUUUUACGUCGUUUUUGAAAAAUAACUUCGAUUGUAUUUCAUUUUUCCGUUAAUUUACGCUACCUAACACUCUAUUAGUUAAUUAAUUAGCGUAGUUUGACGUCUUUUUUGAAAAAUAAAUUAGAAAUGCAUAUAUACAAUUACAACGCUUUACUCUCAGGUGCGAUCAUACCAGCACUAAUGCACCGGAUCCCAUCAGAACUCCGCAGUUAAGCGUGCUUGGGCGAGAGUAGUACUAGGAUGGGUGACCUCCUGGGAAGUCCUUGUGUUGCACCUCUUUUUGCCAAAAUUUCGUGUUCUUUUUGUUAAUUAGCGUAAUUUUACGUCGUUCCGUUAAUUUACGCUACCUAACACUCUAUUAGUUAAUUAAUUAGCGUAGUUUGACGUCUUUUUUGAAAAAUAAAUUAGAAAUGCAUAUAUACAAUUACAACGCUUUACUCUCAGGUGCGAUCAUACCAGCACUAAUGCACCGGAUCCCAUCAGAACUCCGCAGUUAAGCGUGCUUGGGCGAGAGUAGUACUAGGAUGGGUGACCUCCUGGGAAGUCCUUGUGUUGCACCUCUUUUUGCCAAAAUUUCGUGUUCUUUUUGUUAAUUAGCGUAAUUUUACGUCGUUUUUGAAAAAUAAACUUCGAUUGUAUUUCAUUUUUUCCGUUAAUUUACGCUACCUAACACUCUAUUAGUUAAUUAAUUAGCGUAGUUUGACGUCUUUUUUGAAAAAUAAAUUAGAAAUGCAUAUAUACAAUUACAACGCUUUACUCUCAGGUGCGAUCAUACCAGCACUAAUGCACCGGAUCCCAUCAGAACUCCGCAGUUAAGCGUGCUUGGGCGAGAGUAGUACUAGGAUGGGUGACCUCCUGGGAAGUCCUUGUGUUGCACCUCUUUUUGCCAAAAUUUCGUGUUCUUUUUGUUAAUUAGCGUAAUUUUACGUCGUUCCGUUAAUUUACGCUACCUAACACUCUAUUAGUUAAUUAAUUAGCGUAGUUUGACGUCUUUUUUGAAAAAUAAAUUAGAAAUGCAUAUAUACAAUUACAACGCUUUACUCUCAGGUGCGAUCAUACCAGCACUAAUGCACCGGAUCCCAUCAGAACUCCGCAGUUAAGCGUGCUUGGGCGAGAGUAGUACUAGGAUGGGUGACCUCCUGGGAAGUCCUUGUGUUGCACCUCUUUUUGCCAAAAUUUCGUGUUCUUUUUGUUAAUUAGCGUAAUUUUACGUCGUUCCGUUAAUUUACGCUACCUAACACUCUAUUAGUUAAUUAAUUAGCGUAGUUUGACGUCUUUUUUGAAAAAUAAAUUAGAAAUGCAUAUAUACAAUUACAACGCUUUACUCUCAGGUGCGAUCAUACCAGCACUAAUGCACCGGAUCCCAUCAGAACUCCGCAGUUAAGCGUGCUUGGGCGAGAGUAGUACUAGGAUGGGUGACCUCCUGGGAAGUCCUUGUGUUGCACCUCUUUUUGCCAAAAUUUCGUGUUCUUUUUGUUAAUUAGCGUAAUUUUACGUCGUUCCGUUAAUUUACGCUACCUAACACUCUAUUAGUUAAUUAAUUAGCGUAGUUUGACGUCUUUUUUGAAAAAUAAAUUAGAAAUGCAUAUAUACAAUUACAACGCUUUACUCUCAGGUGCGAUCAUACCAGCACUAAUGCACCGGAUCCCAUCAGAACUCCGCAGUUAAGCGUGCUUGGGCGAGAGUAGUACUAGGAUGGGUGACCUCCUGGGAAGUCCUUGUGUUGCACCUCUUUUUGCCAAAAUUUCGUGUUCUUUUUGUUAAUUAGCGUAAUUUUACGUCGUUUUUGAAAAAUAAACUUCGAUUGUAUUUCAUUUUUCCGUUAAUUUACGCUACCUAACACUCUAUUAGUUAAUUAAUUAGCGUAGUUUGACGUCUUUUUUGAAAAAUAAAUUAGAAAUGCAUAUAUACAAUUACAACGCUUUACUCUCAGGUGCGAUCAUACCAGCACUAAUGCACCGGAUCCCAUCAGAACUCCGCAGUUAAGCGUGCUUGGGCGAGAGUAGUACUAGGAUGGGUGACCUCCUGGGAAGUCCUUGUGUUGCACCUCUUUUUGCCAAAAUUUCGUGUUCUUUUUGUUAAUUAGCGUAAUUUUACGUCGUUUUUGAAAAAUAAACUUCGAUUGUAUUUCAUUUUUUCCGUUAAUUUACGCUACCUAACACUCUAUUAGUUAAUUAAUUAGCGUAGUUUGACGUCUUUUUUGAAAAAUAAAUUAGAAAUGCAUAUAUACAAUUACAACGCUUUACUCUCAGGUGCGAUCAUACCAGCACUAAUGCACCGGAUCCCAUCAGAACUCCGCAGUUAAGCGUGCUUGGGCGAGAGUAGUACUAGGAUGGGUGACCUCCUGGGAAGUCCUUGUGUUGCACCUCUUUUUGCCAAAAUUUCGUGUUCUUUUUGUUAAUUAGCGUAAUUUUACGUCGUUCCGUUAAUUUACGCUACCUAACACUCUAUUAGUUAAUUAAUUAGCGUAGUUUGACGUCUUUUUUGAAAAAUAAAUUAGAAAUGCAUAUAUACAAUUACAACGCUUUACUCUCAGGUGCGAUCAUACCAGCACUAAUGCACCGGAUCCCAUCAGAACUCCGCAGUUAAGCGUGCUUGGGCGAGAGUAGUACUAGGAUGGGUGACCUCCUGGGAAGUCCUUGUGUUGCACCUCUUUUUGCCAAAAUUUCGUGUUCUUUUUGUUAAUUAGCGUAAUUUUACGUCGUUUUUGAAAAUAAACUUCGAUUGUAUUUCAUUUUUCCGUUAAUUUACGCUACCUAACACUCUAUUAGUUAAUUAAUUAGCGUAGUUUGACGUCUUUUUUGAAAAAUAAAUUAGAAAUGCAUAUAUACAAUUACAACGCUUUACUCUCAGGUGCGAUCAUACCAGCACUAAUGCACCGGAUCCCAUCAGAACUCCGCAGUUAAGCGUGCUUGGGCGAGAGUAGUACUAGGAUGGGUGACCUCCUGGGAAGUCCUUGUGUUGCACCUCUUUUUGCCAAAAUUUCGUGUUCUUUUUGUUAAUUAGCGUAAUUUUACGUCGUUCCGUUAAUUUACGCUACCUAACACUCUAUUAGUUAAUUAAUUAGCGUAGUUUGACGUCUUUUUUGAAAAAUAAAUUAGAAAUGCAUAUAUACAAUUACAACGCUUUACUCUCAGGUGCGAUCAUACCAGCACUAAUGCACCGGAUCCCAUCAGAACUCCGCAGUUAAGCGUGCUUGGGCGAGAGUAGUACUAGGAUGGGUGACCUCCUGGGAAGUCCUUGUGUUGCACCUCUUUUUGCCAAAAUUUCGUGUUCUUUUUGUUAAUUAGCGUAAUUUUACGUCGUUUUUGAAAAAUAAACUUCGAUUGUAUUUCAUUUUUUCCGUUAAUUUACGCUACCUAACACUCUAUUAGUUAAUUAAUUAGCGUAGUUUGACGUCUUUUUUGAAAAAUAAAUUAGAAAUGCAUAUAUACAAUUACAACGCUUUACUCUCAGGUGCGAUCAUACCAGCACUAAUGCACCGGAUCCCAUCAGAACUCCGCAGUUAAGCGUGCUUGGGCGAGAGUAGUACUAGGAUGGGUGACCUCCUGGGAAGUCCUUGUGUUGCACCUCUUUUUGCCAAAAUUUCGUGUUCUUUUUGUUAAUUAGCGUAAUUUUACGUCGUUCCGUUAAUUUACGCUACCUAACACUCUAUUAGUUAAUUAAUUAGCGUAGUUUGACGUCUUUUUUGAAAAUAAAUUAGAAAUGCAUAUAUACAAUUACAACGCUUUACUCUCAGGUGCGAUCAUACCAGCACUAAUGCACCGGAUCCCAUCAGAACUCCGCAGUUAAGCGUGCUUGGGCGAGAGUAGUACUAGGAUGGGUGACCUCCUGGGAAGUCCUUGUGUUGCACCUCUUUUUGCCAAAAUUUCGUGUUCUUUUUGUUAAUUAGCGUAAUUUUACGUCGUUUUUGAAAUAACUUCGAUGUAUUUAUUUUUUCCGUAUUUACCUAACACUCUAUUAGUUAAUUAAUUAGCGUAGUUUGACGUCUUUUUUGAAAAAUAAAUUAGAAAUGCAUAUAUACAAUUACAACGCUUUACUCUCAGGUGCGAUCAUACCAGCACUAAUGCACCGGAUCCCAUCAGAACUCCGCAGUUAAGCGUGCUUGGGCGAGAGUAGUACUAGGAUGGGUGACCUCCUGGGAAGUCCUUGUGUUGCACCUCUUUUUGCCAAAAUUUCGUGUUCUUUUUGUUAAUUAGCGUAAUUUUACGUCGUUCCGUUAAUUUACGCUACCUAACACUCUAUUAGUUAAUUAAUUAGCGUAGUUUGACGUCUUUUUUGAAAAAUAAAUUAGAAAUGCAUAUAUACAAUUACAACGCUUUACUCUCAGGUGCGAUCAUACCAGCACUAAUGCACCGGAUCCCAUCAGAACUCCGCAGUUAAGCGUGCUUGGGCGAGAGUAGUACUAGGAUGGGUGACCUCCUGGGAAGUCCUUGUGUUGCACCUCUUUUUGCCAAAAUUUCGUGUUCUUUUUGUUAAUUAGCGUAAUUUUACGUCGUUCCGUUAAUUUACGCUACCUAACACUCUAUUAGUUAAUUAAUUAGCGUAGUUUGACGUCUUUUUUGAAAAAUAAAUUAGAAAUGCAUAUAUACAAUUACAACGCUUUACUCUCAGGUGCGAUCAUACCAGCACUAAUGCACCGGAUCCCAUCAGAACUCCGCAGUUAAGCGUGCUUGGCGAGAGUAGUACUAGGAUGGGUGACCUCCUGGGAAGUCCUUGUGUUGCACCUCUUUUUGCCAAAAUUUCGUGUUCUUUUUGUUAAUUAGCGUAAUUUUACGUCGUUUUUGAAAAAUAAACUUCGAUUGUAUUUCAUUUUUUCCGUUAAUUUACGCUACCUAACACUCUAUUAGUUAAUUAAUUAGCGUAGUUUGACGUCUUUUUUGAAAAAUAAAUUAGAAAUGCAUAUAUACAAUUACAACGCUUUACUCUCAGGUGCGAUCAUACCAGCACUAAUGCACCGGAUCCCAUCAGAACUCCGCAGUUAAGCGUGCUUGGGCGAGAGUAGUACUAGGAUGGGUGACCUCCUGGGAAGUCCUUGUGUUGCACCUCUUUUUGCCAAAAUUUCGUGUUCUUUUUGUUAAUUAGCGUAAUUUUACGUCGUUCCGUUAAUUUACGCUACCUAACACUCUAUUAGUUAAUUAAUUAGCGUAGUUUGACGUCUUUUUUGAAAAAUAAAUUAGAAAUGCAUAUAUACAAUUACAACGCUUUACUCUCAGGUGCGAUCAUACCAGCACUAAUGCACCGGAUCCCAUCAGAACUCCGCAGUUAAGCGUGCUUGGGCGAGAGUAGUACUAGGAUGGGUGACCUCCUGGGAAGUCCUUGUGUUGCACCUCUUUUUGCCAAAAUUUCGUGUUCUUUUUGUUAAUUAGCGUAAUUUUACGUCGUUCCGUUAAUUUACGCUACCUAACACUCUAUUAGUUAAUUAAUUAGCGUAGUUUGACGUCUUUUUUGAAAAAUAAAUUAGAAAUGCAUAUAUACAAUUACAACGCUUUACUCUCAGGUGCGAUCAUACCAGCACUAAUGCACCGGAUCCCAUCAGAACUCCGCAGUUAAGCGUGCUUGGGCGAGAGUAGUACUAGGAUGGGUGACCUCCUGGGAAGUCCUUGUGUUGCACCUCUUUUUGCCAAAAUUUCGUGUUCUUUUUGUUAAUUAGCGUAAUUUUACGUCGUUCCGUUAAUUUACGCUACCUAACACUCUAUUAGUUAAUUAAUUAGCGUAGUUUGACGUCUUUUUUGAAAAAUAAAUUAGAAAUGCAUAUAUACAAUUACAACGCUUUACUCUCAGGUGCGAUCAUACCAGCACUAAUGCACCGGAUCCCAUCAGAACUCCGCAGUUAAGCGUGCUUGGGCGAGAGUAGUACUAGGAUGGGUGACCUCCUGGGAAGUCCUUGUGUUGCACCUCUUUUUGCCAAAAUUUCGUGUUCUUUUUGUUAAUUAGCGUAAUUUUACGUCGUUUUUGAAAAAUAAACUUCGAUUGUAUUUCAUUUUUCCGUUAAUUUACGCUACCUAACACUCUAUUAGUUAAUUAAUUAGCGUAGUUUGACGUCUUUUUUGAAAAAUAAAUUAGAAAUGCAUAUAUACAAUUACAACGCUUUACUCUCAGGUGCGAUCAUACCAGCACUAAUGCACCGGAUCCCAUCAGAACUCCGCAGUUAAGCGUGCUUGGGCGAGAGUAGUACUAGGAUGGGUGACCUCCUGGGAAGUCCUUGUGUUGCACCUCUUUUUGCCAAAAUUUCGUGUUCUUUUUGUUAAUUAGCGUAAUUUUACGUCGUUCCGUUAAUUUACGCUACCUAACACUCUAUUAGUUAAUUAAUUAGCGUAGUUUGACGUCUUUUUUGAAAAAUAAAUUAGAAAUGCAUAUAUACAAUUACAACGCUUUACUCUCAGGUGCGAUCAUACCAGCACUAAUGCACCGGAUCCCAUCAGAACUCCGCAGUUAAGCGUGCUUGGGCGAGAGUAGUACUAGGAUGGGUGACCUCCUGGGAAGUCCUUGUGUUGCACCUCUUUUUGCCAAAAUUUCGUGUUCUUUUUGUUAAUUAGCGUAAUUUUACGUCGUUCCGUUAAUUUACGCUACCUAACACUCUAUUAGUUAAUUAAUUAGCGUAGUUUGACGUCUUUUUUGAAAAAUAAAUUAGAAAUGCAUAUAUACAAUUACAACGCUUUACUCUCAGGUGCGAUCAUACCAGCACUAAUGCACCGGAUCCCAUCAGAACUCCGCAGUUAAGCGUGCUUGGGCGAGAGUAGUACUAGGAUGGGUGACCUCCUGGGAAGUCCUUGUGUUGCACCUCUUUUUGCCAAAAUUUCGUGUUCUUUUUGUUAAUUAGCGUAAUUUUACGUCGUUCCGUUAAUUUACGCUACCUAACACUCUAUUAGUUAAUUAAUUAGCGUAGUUUGACGUCUUUUUUGAAAAAUAAAUUAGAAAUGCAUAUAUACAAUUACAACGCUUUACUCUCAGGUGCGAUCAUACCAGCACUAAUGCACCGGAUCCCAUCAGAACUCCGCAGUUAAGCGUGCUUGGGCGAGAGUAGUACUAGGAUGGGUGACCUCCUGGGAAGUCCUUGUGUUGCACCUCUUUUUGCCAAAAUUUCGUGUUCUUUUUGUUAAUUAGCGUAAUUUUACGUCGUUCCGUUAAUUUACGCUACCUAACACUCUAUUAGUUAAUUAAUUAGCGUAGUUUGACGUCUUUUUUGAAAAAUAAAUUAGAAAUGCAUAUAUACAAUUACAACGCUUUACUCUCAGGUGCGAUCAUACCAGCACUAAUGCACCGGAUCCCAUCAGAACUCCGCAGUUAAGCGUGCUUGGGCGAGAGUAGUACUAGGAUGGGUGACCUCCUGGGAAGUCCUUGUGUUGCACCUCUUUUUGCCAAAAUUUCGUGUUCUUUUUGUUAAUUAGCGUAAUUUUACGUCGUUCCGUUAAUUUACGCUACCUAACACUCUAUUAGUUAAUUAAUUAGCGUAGUUUGACGUCUUUUUUGAAAAAUAAAUUAGAAAUGCAUAUAUACAAUUACAACGCUUUACUCUCAGGUGCGAUCAUACCAGCACUAAUGCACCGGAUCCCAUCAGAACUCCGCAGUUAAGCGUGCUUGGGCGAGAGUAGUACUAGGAUGGGUGACCUCCUGGGAAGUCCUUGUGUUGCACCUCUUUUUGCCAAAAUUUCGUGUUCUUUUUGUUAAUUAGCGUAAUUUUACGUCGUUCCGUUAAUUUACGCUACCUAACACUCUAUUAGUUAAUUAAUUAGCGUAGUUUGACGUCUUUUUUGAAAAAUAAAUUAGAAAUGCAUAUAUACAAUUACAACGCUUUACUCUCAGGUGCGAUCAUACCAGCACUAAUGCACCGGAUCCCAUCAGAACUCCGCAGUUAAGCGUGCUUGGGCGAGAGUAGUACUAGGAUGGGUGACCUCCUGGGAAGUCCUUGUGUUGCACCUCUUUUUGCCAAAAUUUCGUGUUCUUUUUGUUAAUUAGCGUAAUUUUACGUCGUUCCGUUAAUUUACGCUACCUAACACUCUAUUAGUUAAUUAAUUAGCGUAGUUUGACGUCUUUUUUGAAAAAUAAAUUAGAAAUGCAUAUAUACAAUUACAACGCUUUACUCUCAGGUGCGAUCAUACCAGCACUAAUGCACCGGAUCCCAUCAGAACUCCGCAGUUAAGCGUGCUUGGGCGAGAGUAGUACUAGGAUGGGUGACCUCCUGGGAAGUCCUUGUGUUGCACCUCUUUUUGCCAAAAUUUCGUGUUCUUUUUGUUAAUUAGCGUAAUUUUACGUCGUUCCGUUAAUUUACGCUACCUAACACUCUAUUAGUUAAUUAAUUAGCGUAGUUUGACGUCUUUUUUGAAAAAUAAAUUAGAAAUGCAUAUAUACAAUUACAACGCUUUACUCUCAGGUGCGAUCAUACCAGCACUAAUGCACCGGAUCCCAUCAGAACUCCGCAGUUAAGCGUGCUUGGGCGAGAGUAGUACUAGGAUGGGUGACCUCCUGGGAAGUCCUUGUGUUGCACCUCUUUUUGCCAAAAUUUCGUGUUCUUUUUGUUAAUUAGCGUAAUUUUACGUCGUUCCGUUAAUUUACGCUACCUAACACUCUAUUAGUUAAUUAAUUAGCGUAGUUUGACGUCUUUUUUGAAAAAUAAAUUAGAAAUGCAUAUAUACAAUUACAACGCUUUACUCUCAGGUGCGAUCAUACCAGCACUAAUGCACCGGAUCCCAUCAGAACUCCGCAGUUAAGCGUGCUUGGGCGAGAGUAGUACUAGGAUGGGUGACCUCCUGGGAAGUCCUUGUGUUGCACCUCUUUUUGCCAAAAUUUCGUGUUCUUUUUGUUAAUUAGCGUAAUUUUACGUCGUUCCGUUAAUUUACGCUACCUAACACUCUAUUAGUUAAUUAAUUAGCGUAGUUUGACGUCUUUUUUGAAAAAUAAAUUAGAAAUGCAUAUAUACAAUUACAACGCUUUACUCUCAGGUGCGAUCAUACCAGCACUAAUGCACCGGAUCCCAUCAGAACUCCGCAGUUAAGCGUGCUUGGGCGAGAGUAGUACUAGGAUGGGUGACCUCCUGGGAAGUCCUUGUGUUGCACCUCUUUUUGCCAAAAUUUCGUGUUCUUUUUGUUAAUUAGCGUAAUUUUACGUCGUUCCGUUAAUUUACGCUACCUAACACUCUAUUAGUUAAUUAAUUAGCGUAGUUUGACGUCUUUUUUGAAAAAUAAAUUAGAAAUGCAUAUAUACAAUUACAACGCUUUACUCUCAGGUGCGAUCAUACCAGCACUAAUGCACCGGAUCCCAUCAGAACUCCGCAGUUAAGCGUGCUUGGGCGAGAGUAGUACUAGGAUGGGUGACCUCCUGGGAAGUCCUUGUGUUGCACCUCUUUUUGCCAAAAUUUCGUGUUCUUUUUGUUAAUUAGCGUAAUUUUACGUCGUUUUUGAAAUAAACUUCGAUUGUAUUUCAUUUUUCCGUUAAUUUACGCUACCUAACACUCUAUUAGUUAAUUAAUUAGCGUAGUUUGACGUCUUUUUUGAAAAAUAAAUUAGAAAUGCAUAUAUACAAUUACAACGCUUUACUCUCAGGUGCGAUCAUACCAGCACUAAUGCACCGGAUCCCAUCAGAACUCCGCAGUUAAGCGUGCUUGGGCGAGAGUAGUACUAGGAUGGGUGACCUCCUGGGAAGUCCUUGUGUUGCACCUCUUUUUGCCAAAAUUUCGUGUUCUUUUUGUUAAUUAGCGUAAUUUUACGUCGUUCCGUUAAUUUACGCUACCUAACACUCUAUUAGUUAAUUAAUUAGCGUAGUUUGACGUCUUUUUUGAAAAAUAAAUUAGAAAUGCAUAUAUACAAUUACAACGCUUUACUCUCAGGUGCGAUCAUACCAGCACUAAUGCACCGGAUCCCAUCAGAACUCCGCAGUUAAGCGUGCUUGGGCGAGAGUAGUACUAGGAUGGGUGACCUCCUGGGAAGUCCUUGUGUUGCACCUCUUUUUGCCAAAAUUUCGUGUUCUUUUUGUUAAUUAGCGUAAUUUUACGUCGUUCCGUUAAUUUACGCUACCUAACACUCUAUUAGUUAAUUAAUUAGCGUAGUUUGACGUCUUUUUUGAAAAAUAAAUUAGAAAUGCAUAUAUACAAUUACAACGCUUUACUCUCAGGUGCGAUCAUACCAGCACUAAUGCACCGGAUCCCAUCAGAACUCCGCAGUUAAGCGUGCUUGGGCGAGAGUAGUACUAGGAUGGGUGACCUCCUGGGAAGUCCUUGUGUUGCACCUCUUUUUGCCAAAAUUUCGUGUUCUUUUUGUUAAUUAGCGUAAUUUUACGUCGUUCCGUUAAUUUACGCUACCUAACACUCUAUUAGUUAAUUAAUUAGCGUAGUUUGACGUCUUUUUUGAAAAAUAAAUUAGAAAUGCAUAUAUACAAUUACAACGCUUUACUCUCAGGUGCGAUCAUACCAGCACUAAUGCACCGGAUCCCAUCAGAACUCCGCAGUUAAGCGUGCUUGGGCGAGAGUAGUACUAGGAUGGGUGACCUCCUGGGAAGUCCUUGUGUUGCACCUCUUUUUGCCAAAAUUUCGUGUUCUUUUUGUUAAUUAGCGUAAUUUUACGUCGUUUUGAAAAUAAACUUCGAUUGUAUUUCAUUUUUUCCGUUAAUUUACGCUACCUAACACUCUAUUAGUUAAUUAAUUAGCGUAGUUUGACGUCUUUUUUGAAAAAUAAAUUAGAAAUGCAUAUAUACAAUUACAACGCUUUACUCUCAGGUGCGAUCAUACCAGCACUAAUGCACCGGAUCCCAUCAGAACUCCGCAGUUAAGCGUGCUUGGGCGAGAGUAGUACUAGGAUGGGUGACCUCCUGGGAAGUCCUUGUGUUGCACCUCUUUUUGCCAAAAUUUCGUGUUCUUUUUGUUAAUUAGCGUAAUUUUACGUCGUUUUUGAAAAAUAAACUUCGAUUGUAUUUCAUUUUUUCCGUUAAUUUACGCUACCUAACACUCUAUUAGUUAAUUAAUUAGCGUAGUUUGACGUCUUUUUUGAAAAAUAAAUUAGAAAUGCAUAUAUACAAUUACAACGCUUUACUCUCAGGUGCGAUCAUACCAGCACUAAUGCACCGGAUCCCAUCAGAACUCCGCAGUUAAGCGUGCUUGGGCGAGAGUAGUACUAGGAUGGGUGACCUCCUGGGAAGUCCUUGUGUUGCACCUCUUUUUGCCAAAAUUUCGUGUUCUUUUUGUUAAUUAGCGUAAUUUUACGUCGUUCCGUUAAUUUACGCUACCUAACACUCUAUUAGUUAAUUAAUUAGCGUAGUUUGACGUCUUUUUUGAAAAAUAAAUUAGAAAUGCAUAUAUACAAUUACAACGCUUUACUCUCAGGUGCGAUCAUACCAGCACUAAUGCACCGGAUCCCAUCAGAACUCCGCAGUUAAGCGUGCUUGGGCGAGAGUAGUACUAGGAUGGGUGACCUCCUGGGAAGUCCUUGUGUUGCACCUCUUUUUGCCAAAAUUUCGUGUUCUUUUUGUUAAUUAGCGUAAUUUUACGUCGUUUUGAAAAUAACUUCGAUGUAUUUAUUUUUCCGUUAAUUUACGCUACCUAACACUCUAUUAGUUAAUUAAUUAGCGUAGUUUGACGUCUUUUUGAAAAUAAAUUAGAAAUGCAUAUAUACAAUUACAACGCUUUACUCUCAGGUGCGAUCAUACCAGCACUAAUGCACCGGAUCCCAUCAGAACUCCGCAGUUAAGCGUGCUUGGGCGAGAGUAGUACUAGGAUGGGUGACCUCCUGGGAAGUCCUUGUGUUGCACCUCUUUUUGCCAAAAUUUCGUGUUCUUUUUGUUAAUUAGCGUAAUUUUACGUCGUUCCGUUAAUUUACGCUACCUAACACUCUAUUAGUUAAUUAAUUAGCGUAGUUUGACGUCUUUUUUGAAAAAUAAAUUAGAAAUGCAUAUAUACAAUUACAACGCUUUACUCUCAGGUGCGAUCAUACCAGCACUAAUGCACCGGAUCCCAUCAGAACUCCGCAGUUAAGCGUGCUUGGGCGAGAGUAGUACUAGGAUGGGUGACCUCCUGGGAAGUCCUUGUGUUGCACCUCUUUUUGCCAAAAUUUCGUGUUCUUUUUGUUAAUUAGCGUAAUUUUACGUCGUUUUUGAAAAAUAAACUUCGAUUGUAUUUCAUUUUUUCCGUUAAUUUACGCUACCUAACACUCUAUUAGUUAAUUAAUUAGCGUAGUUUGACGUCUUUUUUGAAAAAUAAAUUAGAAAUGCAUAUAUACAAUUACAACGCUUUACUCUCAGGUGCGAUCAUACCAGCACUAAUGCACCGGAUCCAUCAGAACUCCGCAGUUAAGCGUGCUUGGGCGAGAGUAGUACUAGGAUGGGUGACCUCCUGGGAAGUCCUUGUGUUGCACCUCUUUUUGCCAAAAUUUCGUGUUCUUUUUGUUAAUUAGCGUAAUUUUACGUCGUUCCGUUAAUUUACGCUACCUAACACUCUAUUAGUUAAUUAAUUAGCGUAGUUUGACGUCUUUUUUGAAAAAUAAAUUAGAAAUGCAUAUAUACAAUUACAACGCUUUACUCUCAGGUGCGAUCAUACCAGCACUAAUGCACCGGAUCCCAUCAGAACUCCGCAGUUAAGCGUGCUUGGGCGAGAGUAGUACUAGGAUGGGUGACCUCCUGGGAAGUCCUUGUGUUGCACCUCUUUUUGCCAAAAUUUCGUGUUCUUUUUGUUAAUUAGCGUAAUUUUACGUCGUUCCGUUAAUUUACGCUACCUAACACUCUAUUAGUUAAUUAAUUAGCGUAGUUUGACGUCUUUUUUGAAAAAUAAAUUAGAAAUGCAUAUAUACAAUUACAACGCUUUACUCUCAGGUGCGAUCAUACCAGCACUAAUGCACCGGAUCCCAUCAGAACUCCGCAGUUAAGCGUGCUUGGGCGAGAGUAGUACUAGGAUGGGUGACCUCCUGGGAAGUCCUUGUGUUGCACCUCUUUUUGCCAAAAUUUCGUGUUCUUUUUGUUAAUUAGCGUAAUUUUACGUCGUUCCGUUAAUUUACGCUACCUAACACUCUAUUAGUUAAUUAAUUAGCGUAGUUUGACGUCUUUUUGAAAAAUAAAUUAGAAAUGCAUAUAUACAAUUACAACGCUUUACUCUCAGGUGCGAUCAUACCAGCACUAAUGCACCGGAUCCCAUCAGAACUCCGCAGUUAAGCGUGCUUGGGCGAGAGUAGUACUAGGAUGGGUGACCUCCUGGGAAGUCCUUGUGUUGCACCUCUUUUUGCCAAAAUUUCGUGUUCUUUUUGUUAAUUAGCGUAAUUUUACGUCGUUUUUGAAAAAUAAACUUCGAUUGUAUUUCAUUUUUUCCGUUAAUUUACGCUACCUAACACUCUAUUAGUUAAUUAAUUAGCGUAGUUUGACGUCUUUUUUGAAAAAUAAAUUAGAAAUGCAUAUAUACAAUUACAACGCUUUACUCUCAGGUGCGAUCAUACCAGCACUAAUGCACCGGAUCCCAUCAGAACUCCGCAGUUAAGCGUGCUUGGCGAGAGUAGUACUAGGAUGGGUGACCUCCUGGGAAGUCCUUGUGUUGCACCUCUUUUUGCCAAAAUUUCGUGUUCUUUUUGUUAAUUAGCGUAAUUUUACGUCGUUUUUGAAAAAUAAACUUCGAUUGUAUUUCAUUUUUCCGUUAAUUUACGCUACCUAACACUCUAUUAGUUAAUUAAUUAGCGUAGUUUGACGUCUUUUUUGAAAAAUAAAUUAGAAAUGCAUAUAUACAAUUACAACGCUUUACUCUCAGGUGCGAUCAUACCAGCACUAAUGCACCGGAUCCCAUCAGAACUCCGCAGUUAAGCGUGCUUGGGCGAGAGUAGUACUAGGAUGGGUGACCUCCUGGGAAGUCCUUGUGUUGCACCUCUUUUUGCCAAAAUUUCGUGUUCUUUUUGUUAAUUAGCGUAAUUUUACGUCGUUCCGUUAAUUUACGCUACCUAACACUCUAUUAGUUAAUUAAUUAGCGUAGUUUGACGUCUUUUUUGAAAAAUAAAUUAGAAAUGCAUAUAUACAAUUACAACGCUUUACUCUCAGGUGCGAUCAUACCAGCACUAAUGCACCGGAUCCCAUCAGAACUCCGCAGUUAAGCGUGCUUGGGCGAGAGUAGUACUAGGAUGGGUGACCUCCUGGGAAGUCCUUGUGUUGCACCUCUUUUUGCCAAAAUUUCGUGUUCUUUUUGUUAAUUAGCGUAAUUUUACGUCGUUCCGUUAAUUUACGCUACCUAACACUCUAUUAGUUAAUUAAUUAGCGUAGUUUGACGUCUUUUUUGAAAAAUAAAUUAGAAAUGCAUAUAUACAAUUACAACGCUUUACUCUCAGGUGCGAUCAUACCAGCACUAAUGCACCGGAUCCCAUCAGAACUCCGCAGUUAAGCGUGCUUGGGCGAGAGUAGUACUAGGAUGGGUGACCUCCUGGGAAGUCCUUGUGUUGCACCUCUUUUUGCCAAAAUUUCGUGUUCUUUUUGUUAAUUAGCGUAAUUUUACGUCGUUCCGUUAAUUUACGCUACCUAACACUCUAUUAGUUAAUUAAUUAGCGUAGUUUGACGUCUUUUUUGAAAAAUAAAUUAGAAAUGCAUAUAUACAAUUACAACGCUUUACUCUCAGGUGCGAUCAUACCAGCACUAAUGCACCGGAUCCCAUCAGAACUCCGCAGUUAAGCGUGCUUGGGCGAGAGUAGUACUAGGAUGGGUGACCUCCUGGGAAGUCCUUGUGUUGCACCUCUUUUUGCCAAAAUUUCGUGUUCUUUUUGUUAAUUAGCGUAAUUUUACGUCGUUCCGUUAAUUUACGCUACCUAACACUCUAUUAGUUAAUUAAUUAGCGUAGUUUGACGUCUUUUUUGAAAAAUAAAUUAGAAAUGCAUAUAUACAAUUACAACGCUUUACUCUCAGGUGCGAUCAUACCAGCACUAAUGCACCGGAUCCCAUCAGAACUCCGCAGUUAAGCGUGCUUGGGCGAGAGUAGUACUAGGAUGGGUGACCUCCUGGGAAGUCCUUGUGUUGCACCUCUUUUUGCCAAAAUUUCGUGUUCUUUUUGUUAAUUAGCGUAAUUUUACGUCGUUUUGAAAAUAAACUUCGAUUGUAUUUCAUUUUUCCGUUAAUUUACGCUACCUAACACUCUAUUAGUUAAUUAAUUAGCGUAGUUUGACGUCUUUUUUGAAAAAUAAAUUAGAAAUGCAUAUAUACAAUUACAACGCUUUACUCUCAGGUGCGAUCAUACCAGCACUAAUGCACCGGAUCCCAUCAGAACUCCGCAGUUAAGCGUGCUUGGGCGAGAGUAGUACUAGGAUGGGUGACUCCUGGGAAGUCCUUGUGUUGCACCUCUUUUUGCCAAAAUUUCGUGUUCUUUUUGUUAAUUAGCGUAAUUUUACGUCGUUCCGUUAAUUUACGCUACCUAACACUCUAUUAGUUAAUUAAUUAGCGUAGUUUGACGUCUUUUUUGAAAAAUAAAUUAGAAAUGCAUAUAUACAAUUACAACGCUUUACUCUCAGGUGCGAUCAUACCAGCACUAAUGCACCGGAUCCCAUCAGAACUCCGCAGUUAAGCGUGCUUGGGCGAGAGUAGUACUAGGAUGGGUGACCUCCUGGGAAGUCCUUGUGUUGCACCUCUUUUUGCCAAAAUUUCGUGUUCUUUUUGUUAAUUAGCGUAAUUUUACGUCGUUCCGUUAAUUUACGCUACCUAACACUCUAUUAGUUAAUUAAUUAGCGUAGUUUGACGUCUUUUUGAAAAAUAAAUUAGAAAUGCAUAUAUACAAUUACAACGCUUUACUCUCAGGUGCGAUCAUACCAGCACUAAUGCACCGGAUCCAUCAGAACUCCGCAGUUAAGCGUGCUUGGGCGAGAGUAGUACUAGGAUGGGUGACCUCCUGGGAAGUCCUUGUGUUGCACCUCUUUUUGCCAAAAUUUCGUGUUCUUUUUGUUAAUUAGCGUAAUUUUACGUCGUUCCGUUAAUUUACGCUACCUAACACUCUAUUAGUUAAUUAAUUAGCGUAGUUUGACGUCUUUUUUGAAAAAUAAAUUAGAAAUGCAUAUAUACAAUUACAACGCUUUACUCUCAGGUGCGAUCAUACCAGCACUAAUGCACCGGAUCCCAUCAGAACUCCGCAGUUAAGCGUGCUUGGGCGAGAGUAGUACUAGGAUGGGUGACCUCCUGGGAAGUCCUUGUGUUGCACCUCUUUUUGCCAAAAUUUCGUGUUCUUUUGUUAAUUAGCGUAAUUUUACGUCGUUUUGAAAAAUAAACUUCGAUUGUAUUCAUUUUUCCGUUAAUUUACGCUACCUAACACUCUAUUAGUUAAUUAAUUAGCGUAGUUUGACGUCUUUUUUGAAAAAUAAAUUAGAAAUGCAUAUAUACAAUUACAACGCUUUACUCUCAGGUGCGAUCAUACCAGCACUAAUGCACCGGAUCCCAUCAGAACUCCGCAGUUAAGCGUGCUUGGGCGAGAGUAGUACUAGGAUGGGUGACCUCCUGGGAAGUCCUUGUGUUGCACCUCUUUUUGCCAAAAUUUCGUGUUCUUUUUGUUAAUUAGCGUAAUUUUACGUCGUUUUGAAAAUAACUUCGAUUGUAUUCAUUUUUCCGUUAAUUUACGCUACCUAACACUCUAUUAGUUAAUUAAUUAGCGUAGUUUGACGUCUUUUUGAAAAAUAAAUUAGAAAUGCAUAUAUACAAUUACAACGCUUUACUCUCAGGUGCGAUCAUACCAGCACUAAUGCACCGGAUCCCAUCAGAACUCCGCAGUUAAGCGUGCUUGGGCGAGAGUAGUACUAGGAUGGGUGACCUCCUGGGAAGUCCUUGUGUUGCACCUCUUUUUGCCAAAAUUUCGUGUUCUUUUUGUUAAUUAGCGUAAUUUUACGUCGUUUUGAAAAUAAACUUCGAUUGUAUUCAUUUUUCCGUUAAUUUACGCUACCUAACACUCUAUUAGUUAAUUAAUUAGCGUAGUUUGACGUCUUUUUGAAAAAUAAAUUAGAAAUGCAUAUAUACAAUUACAACGCUUACUCUCAGGUGCGAUCAUACCAGCACUAAUGCACCGGAUCCCAUCAGAACUCCGCAGUUAAGCGUGCUUGGCGAGAGUAGUACUAGGAUGGGUGACCUCCUGGGAAGUCCUUGUGUUGCACCUCUUUUGCCAAAAUUUCGUGUUCUUUUGUUAAUUAGCGUAAUUUUACGUCGUUCCGUUAAUUUACGCUACCUAACACUCUAUUAGUUAAUUAAUUAGCGUAGUUUGACGUCUUUUUUGAAAAAUAAAUUAGAAAUGCAUAUAUACAAUUACAACGCUUUACUCUCAGGUGCGAUCAUACCAGCACUAAUGCACCGGAUCCCAUCAGAACUCCGCAGUUAAGCGUGCUUGGGCGAGAGUAGUACUAGGAUGGGUGACCUCCUGGAAGUCCUUGUGUUGCACCUCUUUUUGCCAAAAUUUCGUGUUCUUUUGUUAAUUAGCGUAAUUUUACGUCGUUUUGAAAAUAAACUUCGAUUGUAUUUCAUUUUUCCGUUAAUUUACGCUACCUAACACUCUAUUAGUUAAUUAAUUAGCGUAGUUUGACGUCUUUUUUGAAAAAUAAAUUAGAAAUGCAUAUAUACAAUUACAACGCUUUACUCUCAGGUGCGAUCAUACCAGCACUAAUGCACCGGAUCCCAUCAGAACUCCGCAGUUAAGCGUGCUUGGGCGAGAGUAGUACUAGGAUGGGUGACCUCCUGGGAAGUCCUUGUGUUGCACCUCUUUUUGCCAAAAUUUCGUGUUCUUUUUGUUAAUUAGCGUAAUUUUACGUCGUUCCGUUAAUUUACGCUACCUAACACUCUAUUAGUUAAUUAAUUAGCGUAGUUUGACGUCUUUUUUGAAAAAUAAAUUAGAAAUGCAUAUAUACAAUUACAACGCUUUACUCUCAGGUGCGAUCAUACCAGCACUAAUGCACCGGAUCCCAUCAGAACUCCGCAGUUAAGCGUGCUUGGGCGAGAGUAGUACUAGGAUGGGUGACCUCCUGGGAAGUCCUUGUGUUGCACCUCUUUUUGCCAAAAUUUCGUGUUCUUUUUGUUAAUUAGCGUAAUUUUACGUCGUUCCGUUAAUUUACGCUACCUAACACUCUAUUAGUUAAUUAAUUAGCGUAGUUUGACGUCUUUUUGAAAAAUAAAUUAGAAAUGCAUAUAUACAAUUACAACGCUUUACUCUCAGGUGCGAUCAUACCAGCACUAAUGCACCGGAUCCCAUCAGAACUCCGCAGUUAAGCGUGCUUGGGCGAGAGUAGUACUAGGAUGGGUGACCUCCUGGAAGUCCUUGUGUUGCACCUCUUUUGCCAAAAUUUCGUGUUCUUUUUGUUAAUUAGCGUAAUUUUACGUCGUUCCGUUAAUUUACGCUACCUAACACUCUAUUAGUUAAUUAAUUAGCGUAGUUUGACGUCUUUUUGAAAAAUAAAUUAGAAAUGCAUAUAUACAAUUACAACGCUUUACUCUCAGGUGCGAUCAUACCAGCACUAAUGCACCGGAUCCCAUCAGAACUCCGCAGUUAAGCGUGCUUGGGCGAGAGUAGUACUAGGAUGGGUGACCUCCUGGAAGUCCUUGUGUUGCACCUCUUUUGCCAAAAUUUCGUGUUCUUUUUGUUAAUUAGCGUAAUUUUACGUCGUUCCGUUAAUUUACGCUACCUAACACUCUAUUAGUUAAUUAAUUAGCGUAGUUUGACGUCUUUUUUGAAAAAUAAAUUAGAAAUGCAUAUAUACAAUUACAACGCUUUACUCUCAGGUGCGAUCAUACCAGCACUAAUGCACCGGAUCCCAUCAGAACUCCGCAGUUAAGCGUGCUUGGGCGAGAGUAGUACUAGGAUGGGUGACCUCCUGGGAAGUCCUUGUGUUGCACCUCUUUUUGCCAAAAUUUCGUGUUCUUUUUGUUAAUUAGCGUAAUUUUACGUCGUUUUUGAAAAAUAACUUCGAUUGUAUUUCAUUUUUCCGUUAAUUUACGCUACCUAACACUCUAUUAGUUAAUUAAUUAGCGUAGUUUGACGUCUUUUUUGAAAAUAAAUUAGAAAUGCAUAUAUACAAUUACAACGCUUUACUCUCAGGUGCGAUCAUACCAGCACUAAUGCACCGGAUCCCAUCAGAACUCCGCAGUUAAGCGUGCUUGGGCGAGAGUAGUACUAGGAUGGGUGACCUCCUGGGAAGUCCUUGUGUUGCACCUCUUUUUGCCAAAAUUUCGUGUUCUUUUUGUUAAUUAGCGUAAUUUUACGUCGUUCCGUUAAUUUACGCUACCUAACACUCUAUUAGUUAAUUAAUUAGCGUAGUUUGACGUCUUUUUUGAAAAAUAAAUUAGAAAUGCAUAUAUACAAUUACAACGCUUUACUCUCAGGUGCGAUCAUACCAGCACUAAUGCACCGGAUCCCAUCAGAACUCCGCAGUUAAGCGUGCUUGGGCGAGAGUAGUACUAGGAUGGGUGACCUCCUGGGAAGUCCUUGUGUUGCACCUCUUUUUGCCAAAAUUUCGUGUUCUUUUUGUUAAUUAGCGUAAUUUUACGUCGUUCCGUUAAUUUACGCUACCUAACACUCUAUUAGUUAAUUAAUUAGCGUAGUUUGACGUCUUUUUUGAAAAAUAAAUUAGAAAUGCAUAUAUACAAUUACAACGCUUUACUCUCAGGUGCGAUCAUACCAGCACUAAUGCACCGGAUCCCAUCAGAACUCCGCAGUUAAGCGUGCUUGGGCGAGAGUAGUACUAGGAUGGGUGACCUCCUGGGAAGUCCUUGUGUUGCACCUCUUUUUGCCAAAAUUUCGUGUUCUUUUUGUUAAUUAGCGUAAUUUACGUCGUUUUGAAAAUAACUUCGAUUGUAUUUCAUUUUUCCGUUAAUUUACGCUACCUAACACUCUAUUAGUUAAUUAAUUAGCGUAGUUUGACGUCUUUUUGAAAAAUAAAUUAGAAAUGCAUAUAUACAAUUACAACGCUUUACUCUCAGGUGCGAUCAUACCAGCACUAAUGCACCGGAUCCCAUCAGAACUCCGCAGUUAAGCGUGCUUGGGCGAGAGUAGUACUAGGAUGGGUGACCUCCUGGGAAGUCCUUGUGUUGCACCUCUUUUUGCCAAAAUUUCGUGUUCUUUUUGUUAAUUAGCGUAAUUUUACGUCGUUCCGUUAAUUUACGCUACCUAACACUCUAUUAGUUAAUUAAUUAGCGUAGUUUGACGUCUUUUUUGAAAAAUAAAUUAGAAAUGCAUAUAUACAAUUACAACGCUUUACUCUCAGGUGCGAUCAUACCAGCACUAAUGCACCGGAUCCCAUCAGAACUCCGCAGUUAAGCGUGCUUGGGCGAGAGUAGUACUAGGAUGGGUGACCUCCUGGGAAGUCCUUGUGUUGCACCUCUUUUUGCCAAAAUUUCGUGUUCUUUUUGUUAAUUAGCGUAAUUUUACGUCGUUUCCGUUAAUUUACGCUACCUAACACUCUAUUAGUUAAUUAAUUAGCGUAGUUUGACGUCUUUUUUGAAAAAUAAAUUAGAAAUGCAUAUAUACAAUUACAACGCUUUACUCUCAGGUGCGAUCAUACCAGCACUAAUGCACCGGAUCCCAUCAGAACUCCGCAGUUAAGCGUGCUUGGGCGAGAGUAGUACUAGGAUGGGUGACCUCCUGGGAAGUCCUUGUGUUGCACCUCUUUUUGCCAAAAUUUCGUGUUCUUUUUGUUAAUUAGCGUAAUUUUACGUCGUUCCGUUAAUUUACGCUACCUAACACUCUAUUAGUUAAUUAAUUAGCGUAGUUUGACGUCUUUUUUGAAAAAUAAAUUAGAAAUGCAUAUAUACAAUUACAACGCUUUACUCUCAGGUGCGAUCAUACCAGCACUAAUGCACCGGAUCCCAUCAGAACUCCGCAGUUAAGCGUGCUUGGGCGAGAGUAGUACUAGGAUGGGUGACCUCCUGGAAGUCCUUGUGUUGCACCUCUUUUUGCCAAAAUUUCGUGUUCUUUUUGUUAAUUAGCGUAAUUUUACGUCGUUCCGUUAAUUUACGCUACCUAACACUCUAUUAGUUAAUUAAUUAGCGUAGUUUGACGUCUUUUUGAAAAAUAAAUUAGAAAUGCAUAUAUACAAUUACAACGCUUUACUCUCAGGUGCGAUCAUACCAGCACUAAUGCACCGGAUCCCAUCAGAACUCCGCAGUUAAGCGUGCUUGGGCGAGAGUAGUACUAGGAUGGGUGACCUCCUGGGAAGUCCUUGUGUUGCACCUCUUUUGCCAAAAUUUCGUGUUCUUUUUGUUAAUUAGCGUAAUUUUACGUCGUUUUGAAAAUAAACUUCGAUUGUAUUCAUUUUUCCGUUAAUUUACGCUACCUAACACUCUAUUAGUUAAUUAAUUAGCGUAGUUUGACGUCUUUUUGAAAAAUAAAUUAGAAAUGCAUAUAUACAAUUACAACGCUUUACUCUCAGGUGCGAUCAUACCAGCACUAAUGCACCGGAUCCCAUCAGAACUCCGCAGUUAAGCGUGCUUGGGCGAGAGUAGUACUAGGAUGGGUGACCUCCUGGGAAGUCCUUGUGUUGCACCUCUUUUUGCCAAAAUUUCGUGUUCUUUUUGUUAAUUAGCGUAAUUUUACGUCGUUCCGUUAAUUUACGCUACCUAACACUCUAUUAGUUAAUUAAUUAGCGUAGUUUGACGUCUUUUUUGAAAAAUAAAUUAGAAAUGCAUAUAUACAAUUACAACGCUUUACUCUCAGGUGCGAUCAUACCAGCACUAAUGCACCGGAUCCCAUCAGAACUCCGCAGUUAAGCGUGCUUGGGCGAGAGUAGUACUAGGAUGGGUGACCUCCUGGGAAGUCCUUGUGUUGCACCUCUUUUUGCCAAAAUUUCGUGUUCUUUUUGUUAAUUAGCGUAAUUUUACGUCGUUCCGUUAAUUUACGCUACCUAACACUCUAUUAGUUAAUUAAUUAGCGUAGUUUGACGUCUUUUUGAAAAAUAAAUUAGAAAUGCAUAUAUACAAUUACAACGCUUUACUCUCAGGUGCGAUCAUACCAGCACUAAUGCACCGGAUCCCAUCAGAACUCCGCAGUUAAGCGUGCUUGGGCGAGAGUAGUACUAGGAUGGGUGACCUCCUGGGAAGUCCUUGUGUUGCACCUCUUUUUGCCAAAAUUUCGUGUUCUUUUUGUUAAUUAGCGUAAUUUUACGUCGUUCCGUUAAUUUACGCUACCUAACACUCUAUUAGUUAAUUAAUUAGCGUAGUUUGACGUCUUUUUGAAAAAUAAAUUAGAAAUGCAUAUAUACAAUUACAACGCUUUACUCUCAGGUGCGAUCAUACCAGCACUAAUGCACCGGAUCCCAUCAGAACUCCGCAGUUAAGCGUGCUUGGGCGAGAGUAGUACUAGGAUGGGUGACCUCCUGGGAAGUCCUUGUGUUGCACCUCUUUUUGCCAAAAUUUCGUGUUCUUUUUGUUAAUUAGCGUAAUUUUACGUCGUUUUGAAAAUAACUUCGAUUGUAUUUCAUUUUUCCGUUAAUUUACGCUACCUAACACUCUAUUAGUUAAUUAAUUAGCGUAGUUUGACGUCUUUUUUGAAAAAUAAAUUAGAAAUGCAUAUAUACAAUUACAACGCUUUACUCUCAGGUGCGAUCAUACCAGCACUAAUGCACCGGAUCCAUCAGAACUCCGCAGUUAAGCGUGCUUGGGCGAGAGUAGUACUAGGAUGGGUGACCUCCUGGGAAGUCCUUGUGUUGCACCUCUUUUUGCCAAAAUUUCGUGUUCUUUUUGUUAAUUAGCGUAAUUUUACGUCGUUCCGUUAAUUUACGCUACCUAACACUCUAUUAGUUAAUUAAUUAGCGUAGUUUGACGUCUUUUUUGAAAAAUAAAUUAGAAAUGCAUAUAUACAAUUACAACGCUUUACUCUCAGGUGCGAUCAUACCAGCACUAAUGCACCGGAUCCCAUCAGAACUCCGCAGUUAAGCGUGCUUGGCGAGAGUAGUACUAGGAUGGGUGACCUCCUGGGAAGUCCUUGUGUUGCACCUCUUUUUGCCAAAAUUUCGUGUUCUUUUUGUUAAUUAGCGUAAUUUUACGUCGUUCCGUUAAUUUACGCUACCUAACACUCUAUUAGUUAAUUAAUUAGCGUAGUUUGACGUCUUUUUUGAAAAAUAAAUUAGAAAUGCAUAUAUACAAUUACAACGCUUUACUCUCAGGUGCGAUCAUACCAGCACUAAUGCACCGGAUCCCAUCAGAACUCCGCAGUUAAGCGUGCUUGGGCGAGAGUAGUACUAGGAUGGGUGACCUCCUGGGAAGUCCUUGUGUUGCACCUCUUUUUGCCAAAAUUUCGUGUUCUUUUUGUUAAUUAGCGUAAUUUACGUCGUUUUUGAAAAUAACUUCGAUUGUAUUCAUUUUUCCGUUAAUUUACGCUACCUAACACUCUAUUAGUUAAUUAAUUAGCGUAGUUUGACGUCUUUUUGAAAAAUAAAUUAGAAAUGCAUAUAUACAAUUACAACGCUUUACUCUCAGGUGCGAUCAUACCAGCACUAAUGCACCGGAUCCCAUCAGAACUCCGCAGUUAAGCGUGCUUGGGCGAGAGUAGUACUAGGAUGGGUGACCUCCUGGGAAGUCCUUGUGUUGCACCUCUUUUUGCCAAAAUUUCGUGUUCUUUUUGUUAAUUAGCGUAAUUUUACGUCGUUCCGUUAAUUUACGCUACCUAACACUCUAUUAGUUAAUUAAUUAGCGUAGUUUGACGUCUUUUUUGAAAAAUAAAUUAGAAAUGCAUAUAUACAAUUACAACGCUUUACUCUCAGGUGCGAUCAUACCAGCACUAAUGCACCGGAUCCCAUCAGAACUCCGCAGUUAAGCGUGCUUGGGCGAGAGUAGUACUAGGAUGGGUGACCUCCUGGGAAGUCCUUGUGUUGCACCUCUUUUUGCCAAAAUUUCGUGUUCUUUUUGUUAAUUAGCGUAAUUUUACGUCGUUCCGUUAAUUUACGCUACCUAACACUCUAUUAGUUAAUUAAUUAGCGUAGUUUGACGUCUUUUUUGAAAAAUAAAUUAGAAAUGCAUAUAUACAAUUACAACGCUUUACUCUCAGGUGCGAUCAUACCAGCACUAAUGCACCGGAUCCCAUCAGAACUCCGCAGUUAAGCGUGCUUGGCGAGAGUAGUACUAGGAUGGGUGACCUCCUGGGAAGUCCUUGUGUUGCACCUCUUUUGCCAAAAUUUCGUGUUCUUUUGUUAAUUAGCGUAAUUUUACGUCGUUUUUGAAAAUAAACUUCGAUUGUAUUUCAUUUUUCCGUUAAUUUACGCUACCUAACACUCUAUUAGUUAAUUAAUUAGCGUAGUUUGACGUCUUUUUGAAAAAUAAAUUAGAAAUGCAUAUAUACAAUUACAACGCUUUACUCUCAGGUGCGAUCAUACCAGCACUAAUGCACCGGAUCCCAUCAGAACUCCGCAGUUAAGCGUGCUUGGGCGAGAGUAGUACUAGGAUGGGUGACCUCCUGGGAAGUCCUUGUGUUGCACCUCUUUUUGCCAAAAUUUCGUGUUCUUUUUGUUAAUUAGCGUAAUUUUACGUCGUUCCGUUAAUUUACGCUACCUAACACUCUAUUAGUUAAUUAAUUAGCGUAGUUUGACGUCUUUUUGAAAAAUAAAUUAGAAAUGCAUAUAUACAAUUACAACGCUUUACUCUCAGGUGCGAUCAUACCAGCACUAAUGCACCGGAUCCCAUCAGAACUCCGCAGUUAAGCGUGCUUGGGCGAGAGUAGUACUAGGAUGGGUGACCUCCUGGGAAGUCCUUGUGUUGCACCUCUUUUUGCCAAAAUUUCGUGUUCUUUUUGUUAAUUAGCGUAAUUUUACGUCGUUCCGUUAAUUUACGCUACCUAACACUCUAUUAGUUAAUUAAUUAGCGUAGUUUGACGUCUUUUUGAAAAAUAAAUUAGAAAUGCAUAUAUACAAUUACAACGCUUUACUCUCAGGUGCGAUCAUACCAGCACUAAUGCACCGGAUCCCAUCAGAACUCCGCAGUUAAGCGUGCUUGGGCGAGAGUAGUACUAGGAUGGGUGACCUCCUGGGAAGUCCUUGUGUUGCACCUCUUUUUGCCAAAAUUUCGUGUUCUUUUUGUUAAUUAGCGUAAUUUUACGUCGUUCCGUUAAUUUACGCUACCUAACACUCUAUUAGUUAAUUAAUUAGCGUAGUUUGACGUCUUUUUUGAAAAAUAAAUUAGAAAUGCAUAUAUACAAUUACAACGCUUUACUCUCAGGUGCGAUCAUACCAGCACUAAUGCACCGGAUCCCAUCAGAACUCCGCAGUUAAGCGUGCUUGGGCGAGAGUAGUACUAGGAUGGGUGACCUCCUGGGAAGUCCUUGUGUUGCACCUCUUUUUGCCAAAAUUUCGUGUUCUUUUUGUUAAUUAGCGUAAUUUUACGUCGUUCCGUUAAUUUACGCUACCUAACACUCUAUUAGUUAAUUAAUUAGCGUAGUUUGACGUCUUUUUGAAAAAUAAAUUAGAAAUGCAUAUAUACAAUUACAACGCUUUACUCUCAGGUGCGAUCAUACCAGCACUAAUGCACCGGAUCCCAUCAGAACUCCGCAGUUAAGCGUGCUUGGGCGAGAGUAGUACUAGGAUGGGUGACCUCCUGGGAAGUCCUUGUGUUGCACCUCU